GAGCAGAUCCAAGAGGAAAGAGAUGUUUUAACUUUUUGCAAUAUUUAACAGAAAUUAUGGUCAAAUUAGGAAAGCUUAUAGGUUGGAGAUCAUCAUCUGAUGAUGAACAAACUUGAUCCUCAGCAAUGAUUUGGUCCAAUUCAUCACAAUUUUGUAUUUCUAGGUUGACCAACCGUGAUAAACUUCGAGCAAUUGUAGGUGAAAAUAUGUAUCUUAGCCUCUUGCAAUCAAUCACCUCCAGAAUUGUAAGGUUUUCAAGAGUUACAACUUGAGCGACAUCCUUCCAUAUAAUCUGCUCUUCAGAUAAGUCCUCCAGGUGGAGUUCCUUUAUACGCCCAUGAACUUGGAAUACUUCUUCAUGACUCCCAACUGCUAUAUAUUCUUGAUUGCAGUUGGCUGAAAUACGCAAUUGAAAGCUAUUUACCAACUCAGAGAGAUAUAAUUCCUGCAAAUACAGACACCACCAAAUGUCACUAAAUACGUUCCUUUUCUAUUAGAUUGGGAAUAGAUGAGCAAAUAGUACUCAUAAUUUUUUAGAUGCCAAUUCACAAGAAAUCCUUACAUUUUUAAUGAUAGGACAUAUAUAUGUUUCAAAAUUUAAAUCCAAAAUUUUCAUGAAAUGGUCUGAAAGUGGAAUCCAAAGACAUCUAACCUCUUUCAAGUUUUUCUCUGUUAAUUUUUAACAUAAAACCAUUUAUGGCUUUCCUUUUCUUGUGUUUUUUUCUUUGUCAUUUUUUCUUUAAGCAUGUUGAUUUGAAAAGUAUAGAUAAAGUGGUAAAGUGUUAAUUUUUUUUAAUUUACCUAAAUUACAUAAAAAAAAAAAACAUAAAAGAAAUGAACCCCCUGGAAAGCCUAACUUUCUCAAUCUGUUUCUCUUGUCUGCAACAGCAAGUAGAAACACUUUGAAUAAAAAAAAAAAAGGGAACUCAUGGCCAAGAAGAAAAAGAAAACUUAAAUUGAAGAAGAAAGAGAAAAUUCGAAUCAGAGAAAGCAAGAGAAACUAGAAUCGAAGAAGAAAAAGGAAGCUCGAACAAGAAAAAAAGCAAGAUUUGUCGUCUUGAAGAAAAUAUAUGAUGAACCUCAAUUCAGAAACAAGGACAAGGAAAACCCAAAGAUCCCCACAAACAAAUUAAAAUUUGUUUUUCAAAAUAAAUAGUAUAAAAUUUUUGUUCUGCAAUUUUAAAAAAUAAUUGGAUUAGUUUGUGAGUGUUGAAAAAAAGAUUUAGCUCAAAGGCAAAAUCCAAAACCAUAAUUGAAGGAAAAGUGUAUAGAGAAAUACCUCUAGCUGAAUUUGCUCAUUAACUUCUUUUUGAAUAGUGAAAUUUCUCAAUUUAGGACAGUUGCAAACUUUCAACUUCUCCAAGGAUGGUGAUGAGAUGAGAAAGUUUUCUGAACUCAAAUUUAUCAAGUUUACAAGUUGAAAAUCUUGUAGGCAAGGGAGUCCAAUGGCACAAUGAGCUGGCCCUUUCCAUAUGCUCUCUAAUGCUGGUAAUAACCGUAGCUUCAACCUUCUUAAAUUUGAGAGUGGUACUGCCUGAUUUACCUCACAUAAAAAAAAAUAUAAAAUUUAUUAAUUAAUAAAUAAUGAAAAUGAAUUCUUUAUACUUGAUCUUAAUUACUGAGAAGAAAUAUAUUUUGUUAAAAAAAAGUAGAAAGAAGUAUUAAAAGUUAAUAAUUUAGAAAGAUUAGAUAGUAAUUAUUUAUAUAUUUGAUAAUUAAAAAAAAUCAUUAGAAAAACAAUAUACGAGACCAUUAUUAAAGGAAAAAUGAAGAGAUAAGAGGUACCUCUAGCUCAGUCAUUUCUUUAUCAAAAGCAAAGACUUGCUUUAAUUUUUCGCAUUCAGAUAUCUCACACUUCUCUAGAUGCAACAGACUUUGAGCAAGGCAAGGUGAAAAGAUAGAUUUCAAUUUAUCACAACCAUAAACUAUUACUUCCUUUAGACUUUGUAGGCUUACAUGAUGAGUUGGCUCUUUCCAUAAACUCUUCAAUGUUGGCAAUGACGUAAGCUCCAAAUAAGUUAAAUUUGACAAUGGUUGUACCUGAUUUUCCUGACAUAAAGGAAAAUAUAUAAUUUUUUAAUUAAUAAAUAUUGAAAUAUGAAUUCAUUGUACUUAAAUAUUGAGAAGGCAUAUAUUUUAAAAAAAUUAUAAAUAAUAUGUAUUUAAAAGUUAAUAAUUUAGAAAGAUUAGAUAGUAAUUAUUUAAAUAUUAAAUAAUUCAAUAAAAUGAAAGAUAAUUAGACAAAGAAUAUAUGAGAGCAUUAUUAAAGGAAAAAUGGAGAGAUAAGAGGUACCUCUAGGUCUACCAUUUCUUUGUCAAAAGCAAAGACUUGCUUUAAUUUUUCGCAUUCAGAUAUAUUAAGUGUUUCUAGAUGCAACAGACUUUGAGCAAGGCAAGGUGAGAAGAUAGAUUUCAGUUUAUCACAACCAUGAAUUGUUACUUCCUUCAGACUUUGUAACCUUACAUGAUGAGUUGGCUCUUUCCAUAUAUUCUCUAAUGCUGGCAAUGACGUCAGCUCCAAACUUCUUAAACUGGAGAUUGUGCGCGUCGGACUUUCUUCCUUUCCAAAAAGCCAAUUCAUUUGAAACACUGAUUGCAACUGCUUACAAUCGACAAUGUGCAAUGUUUCUAACCUUUUUAAGAAGCUAAUCGAUGAUUGACCAUGGCACAACUCUUUCAAAGAAGUCAUGAAUGUAAUGUCUAACUUCACCAAAUUAGAGAAUGCAGUGGUUGGACUUUGUUCUCGUGUUGUAUCGAACAAGCAUUCUAGAUUUUCACAAUAUACAAGCUCAAGAGAAGUUAAUUCCUUUAGUCCGCGCUGAUCUACAUUUGGGACAAUAUUUUUGUGUUCCAUGGUGACCUUGGACAAAGUAAGCUUCUCCACAUUGCAAAAUAGCUCCUUGAAUGCAUUUAAUGAGGAUGAGAAAUCCUUAAUUCUCAAGGUUCUCAAGCUCAGCCCCUCCAAAACUUCGAUACCUUCAUAAUAUUCACUUACAGCUAUAUUGUAGCUUUGUAGUUUAGGGAACACAAAGUUUUCUUGAGAACAUUGAUUAGUAGAAACUGUCAGUGCUAAUCCAGUCAAACCAGUCAAUGAAUUCAGCUCCAAUAAGUUAGCAUUGUUAUCACUUGUCAUGUGUAGCUCUUGGAGUGAGGUCAACCUGUUACAAACAAACACAAAAUGUAAUUAAUGCAAUAAUAGCACUUUCAACCGAAUGAUAAAAAUAGCAAGGUAAUGAAAUGAAUAAGAUAACAUAAACUUUUUUAUUUCUUCAUUCUUAAAGCUACUUUUGUACUACGGGUUGCAAUGUUUCAUAAUAAUAGCAGUGACCAAAAGCUCAUGCUAGAUAUAUAUAUGUUUGUGAUAGUCAAAUCAAAUAAAGUAAAUAAUAGAGAAAAAAGAUAAAAUAAAUUAUAUAAAAUUAAAUAACUGAAAACAAUAAGAUAAACAGUUUUACCUUGGUAGCAAGUUAGGGGGGAAAUAACAGUAUGGCCCUUCAUCGUAAGAAAAAUAUAGUGAUUUUAGUUUAUGCAAUCCCACUAAUUCUUCUGGUAGCUCAUAAAUAUUAGUCUCCAGCAAUGCAAAAAUCUCAAGGUUUUCCAGAUUCCUCAAUGAUGAGAUGUUCUCAAGCUCACAAUUUAUAAUGCACAGAGUUCGAAGGUUUGUCAAGAAUUGAAGUGCUUUGAGUGCGAGUACCACAUCUUGAAGAAGUAAAACUUGGAGGGUUGUCAUUCUUUCAAAAAAUGCACACGAAACUCUCAGUGAAUUGUUUCCUGUGAGAAACAAAGUCUUGAGUUUUGAAAAUUUCACUUUGUUAGGAAGAUGAUUGAUCUCAAUGUUCCAUAAGGAGAUUGCCGUAUAACAUCCAAACCUUUCACUCAUAGGCCAUUCCGUCAACCAAUCUUUUACCAUGAAUAUGUUUUCCCCUCUCGAUGUUAUCCAAUGAGCAAAAUCACGAACCACAUCAUGCAUUUUUAUAUGUUCUUUAUCAUUAGCUUCCAAUAAUAAACCAGACUUUUGGAGUUUUGACAGUGCUAGAUGAAUUUCCCUCCUUAAGUCUUCCAUGAAGUAAUUAUUAUUAAACAAUCCCUGACCAAUUCCACAUAUAGUCAACAAUUCAAUACUAAUCUCAUAAUCUUCCGGAAAAAGGGCACACAACAAGAAACAUUGCUUGAUAUUAUCUUGAUCCAAAUAAUCAUAACUAAGCUCAAGGCAUGUAUAAAUACCUCCACAAACAUGUUGAUUAUCCAAAUGCCUUGAGCUCUUGAGUCGUUUAUUUGCUGCUAUCCACGCAUCUAGACUUUCACCUUUUAGAGCCUUUGCCACAGUUACAAUUGCAAGAGGCAAACAGCCACAUUCAGGAGCAACCUCCUUCGCUACAUUCAAGGUGGGAGAGUCAUCUUUCAGACCAGCUUUGUCUUUGAAUAAAACCCAUGCUUCAUGUUCAGAUAAAAUGUUCAGCUUAAAUUCCUCUUCACAAUCCAUUUUACAACAAACUUGUUGAUCACGUGUAGUUAAAAGAAUUUUGCAACCCUCGUGUUCACCACCGAAUGGAAUUCCUAUAAUUUGCAAUUCAAGUUCUUUCCAAACAUCAUCGAGAAUUAUGAGAAUCUUCUUCUCACUUUUUAAUCUCCGCCAUAACUCUUCUGCUUUUCCUUUUUCUGUACUUGCUUUAAAGUUAAAAUGUAAGAUUUCGGCAAUUCUGUCUUGAAUUUUGUUGAAGUUCGGAGUUUGGGACACUGUAACAAUCACAACUUUAUCAAAGAGCUUUUGUUCCGUAGCUUGCUUCCCCACUACUUCCGCCAAAGUUGUUUUACCCACUCCUGGCAUUCCAUGCAAUCCAAUCAUGUUCACACCAUCACUUUUUAAAGCCUCCAUAAUCCCACUGAAAGCUAACAUUGAAGAUUCGGAACGCAUGAAAUCCUUGGGUACUAUGAACUCUAUUCCUUGAAGAGGAGGACGCUGGCCGACUCGUGAAAAGUUACAAGUCUCUAAAAGCUUAGAGAUAUCAAGUGUCUUCUUCUCUACUUCCUUACUUAAAGAGGAUCUCCAGCUCAUACCAGACAGCCAUUUGGAACGCUUGUUACUUUCUAUUUUAUCUGACAAAUUCUGCACAUCUUUCAGUUCUUGUCUUGCCUUCGUUAGCCAUUCCUCAACGUCAUGAUUAAUUACCUCAGUUUGCCUUUCGGCUUCAUUCACGUCAUUCUGUACCUUAUCGAUUGCAAGUAUAAGUUGUUCCCUCUUUGCAUUGAAAUCUUCAAUAAUUUCAUCAAAACCGAAAAUAGGUUUUCCCAAUUUCCCUGCCAAUUUUUUCAGAGCAUUUGUAGUGAUAUUGGCAGCGACAUUGGAAAACACAGAGGUUGCAAAUUCAGCAGGACUGGUUUCCUUAGUAUCCAUUCACUGAUUAUCUGAGGUUGAAGAACAGGUUUGUUUGAGCAAAAGUAGUAACAGAGAGACAAAAGAAAUUAUUAAAAAUUUCAUUUUGUAAUAUAUAAAAGUAAAAAAAAAAUCAAAAAAAGAAAGAAAAUUGCAAAAAUCAACUUCUACAAAGCUAUAUUGGAAGCUAUGUUCUUUAGUUAUUAAAUAUUAAUGCAUUACAAAAUUGACUAAUAAUGACAAAAUUUCAUAGUUGAAAAUUUGCAGUGGAUUUGGUUGACUAAUAACUACUACUAAUUAUUAAGAAACUGUUUCCCCUAAACCCAAGAGAUCAGCUCACAGAAAAAUAAAAUAAAAUGCAAAUAUCUGUCAAGCUAAGAUGAAAAGAAUAGCUUAAUUUGAAAAUAGAAAAUAUCAGCCAAAGCAUCUGAACUCGAAAAUAUAUACUCAACUGUAAAACCAAGAAGAGGAUGAAGAUUUACAUACCAAGGAAAUAUAUGUGAACUUUGAGGAGCCAAGACAGAGCUUCAUAUAUUUCAGACACUAACAAAGUCGGUGAAGGUUUUUUUUUUCUUUUUUUUUUUGACAAAUAAAUUAUUUAUACUCAUAAGGACAUAUUUACGAAAUAAUAGUGACUAAAUUUCAUAGUUGAAAUUUGUCAGUGGAUUUGCUUAACUACUAGUAGGAAUCAGUUUUCUUGUGGAUUCCAAAUAGUAAAGUACCGAAAAAUCAAAUAUCUACUCAAAUGUAAAAUCAAGACAACUAAACCGCCAAAGAGACAGAUGAAAAUUUACAUACCAAGGAAAUCUAUAGAUGAACUCAGGGGAGCCAAGACGGGCUUCUGUUUUGAUCCAGGCAAUCUCACAAGGUCGUUGAAGUUUUUUUCUUUGUUUUUUUAUUUUUUUUUGUGUUCAAAGAAAACUGAAGUUGAAAUAAACUUUGCACUGCAAUGAUGAGAAGGCCAAGGAAUUAAUAAAUAACAGACUUACACUUGUCUUCUUUUUAAUGCGUAUAGAUAAUUCUGCUUCUGGAAGGUACUGAAAUCCUUUCUUGAAACUUACCACUCUGUUCUCACUACUUGAAUGUGAAAGGGUAAGAGACAAAUACAAGUUUCUAGCUCUCUGCUUCACACAAAUGCCAUGAGUGGAUUGUAACUGUAGACGAUCAAAACUGUUAAUUUGGCCACACAAAAUAAUUCAGUGCCAAUUUUGCAUGUAAAGAUUGCAGAUGUAUUCUCAAAUGCAUAAACCAUAGAAGAAAAUGAUGCACAUAUAUACCAAGGAAACAUGAAGUUUGAGGACCCAAGGCCAAGCUUUUCUCUAUUGAUCAAAGAAAACUCAAGUAGAAAUCAAGUUUGCACUAUAAUAACCAAAAGCCCACUAGCAGAGGGAAUUAAUAAACAACAAAUAUCUGUCAAUCUAAGAUCAAAAGAACAACUUAAUUUGAAAAUAGAAAACAUGUGUCAAAGCAUCUAAACUUGCAAAUAUCUAUACUCAAAUGUAAAACCACAGAAGAAGAGGAUGAACAUUUACAUACCAAAGGAGUAAUACAUGAACUUUAAGGGGCCAUGACAGAGCUUCUAUUUUGAUCCAGCCAAAAUAUAUUACAGAAACUGACAAAGUCGGUGAAGGGUUUUUUUUUUCUUUUUUUGAGUUCAAAGAAAACUGAAGUUGAUAUAAUAAACUUUGCACUGCAAUGAUCGGAAGGCCAGGAAAUUAAAACAACAAAAAGACUUUCACUUAUAAUUCUGUUUCUGAUAACAAAAACAGUAGUUGAACAUAGAAAGUAGAAACUCUUAAGGCAAAGACUUGUUUUCUUUGGAGUCGUGGAGAUACUCUGCUGGUUGGCUUUCCAGGAAGUGUUAUUGGAACAGACCACCUUCAACUUGCAUAUUGAUGUUAUUGGAACAAAGUGGAAACUUUAAAAAACGGGUGAGCAUUAUGGUAAGUCUAACCUUAUUGUAUGGUCAAUAAAUAUAAUUAAAAAAAAUAAUAAAAAUUUGUUUGAUAGUUUAACAAGUAAACUAUAUACUUAAUUUUUAAGCAUAUCCAUUUUAUUUUAUGUUAAUAACAUAGAUCAUUUUUAAAUUUAUUUAUUUUUUAAAUAUCAUUUAAUUUUAAUUUUAUUUUUAUCUUAAAAUAUAUGAAUAUUUUUAUUUUUAAUAAUAACAUUAUUUCUAAAUAAUUUAAUUCAAUCAAAAUUUUUUUUUUUCUCAAUUAAGCUUGUUAUCAUGGUAGGUUACGUUAAAUCUUACAUAGUUACAUCAAUAUUUAAACAAUUUUUGUUCCACUUUUAUGAUUUUUUAUGUUAAUUCUUAUAUAUUUGCGUUAAGAUUUUUUAAUUGUUAAUUUUUACUAUAAUUAUUUUUAUCCUUAUUAUUAUUCAUUUAUAAAUUAAAAUUUAAAUAUUUAAUUUUUAUAAAUAUUAUAUUUAUUUUAACUUAAUUGAUUUAUUUUGUUAAAUUUUAUAUAUUUAUAUUAAUAUUUUAAUAACAAUUAUUCCACUUGCAUAAUUUUUUACUUUAAUUUUUAUAGAUUUACGUCAUACCUUUUCCUUUUUUUUUUAAUUGAACAUAUUGUCUCCUAUGAUUUCAAUAUAUUGAAUCUGUAUAAAUCACUAGUUGCAAACAAAAAAAAAAAAAGAUCUCCAAGCUUUCUUUUUUCUUUUUUCCUUUUCCUAAAUUUGGAACAAUAGAGAGUCGACUCCUAAUUCUUUGAACAACAGCUACAUAGAUCAAUUACUGAGUGUCUAAGUCAAAUGCUUGGGUGCAUCCACAAACUUCUGUUGAAUUACUUUAAUAAAACUUAAGUUAAUUUCUCUAAAAAUUUACCAUGAUUCAAACGUAAGUUCACACCUUCUAUUUAUAUUAAUUUCUUUAAUAUAACCUUUUAUUACGUAAGUUCAGACUUUCACUUAUCUUCUUUGGAAUGCAUGCAGAUUAUAAUUCUGCUUCUGAUAACAAAAACUGUAAUUGAAUAUAGAAAGUAGAAACUCUAAGGCAAAUUAAGACUUCUUUUCUUUUGAAUCUCUUUUUCUUUUUAUUGUUACUAAUUUUUCUUAUUCAUAUCCUUAGUGAAUGACAAGGGCCCCAACAUCUUAUGCCUUAUCAUUGACCAAUUCUCUCACAAAAAGACUGGAAAAAAAAAAGUAAAGAAUGGAGUCAUGAAAACUCUCUGCUAAGGACACUGGUUUUUUUUUUUCUUAUAAUUGGGGAGGGGGGAUUCGAACUUUACUUUUUAAGUAGGGAGAUUACACACCAACUAAUAAAUCAAAUGUUCGGGUGCAGCUGAGGACCUUGGUUACCUUCCAGGAAGUUUUAUGAAAACUAGAGGAUGGGCUUGCGAGGAUGUCAAUGUAUAGAAAAUUUUUGAAAUUCUGCUUCAAAUUCAUUGAAUGAAUAUAUUAAAAUGAAAAGCCAUAAACUUAUAUGUAUUAUAUGUGUGAAACUGAUGGCUUUUCCGUCACAUUUAACAAUAAAUUGAAGUGGAUCAAACCUUAAGCAGCUGAUUUUUGAAAAAGCAUUUGGUUAAUUCUCACUCAAAGACAAAAUAUUGAUGAAAGUCUAAUUAAUGCAAAAUUGACUUCAUCAGAAAAUCAUGCCUCCUCGUGGUUAAUUAAUGUAUCUGUCUGAUUAUUUCAUUGGGAGGGUAAAAUAAAAUGAAUGCCUCUUCUCCCGUCCUUCUCCUCUUCCCUAAAGAACAUGUGACAGUGGGUCCGCACUUUGAAUAUUGUGUGUAAUAGGGAAGAAAGAGGUUUGGUCAGUCGUCACCUAAUUCAUUAUCUCUGCUCUAAAGUUAACAAAGAAAUAUUAAUUUGGAAUUAGGACUCUUCUUAGCUCUUGCUUUCGAAAGAAUUAAGUCUAACACGAAAAUCUUAUUUAUCAAAGUAAAAGGGAGAUUCUUGGAAUUUUCCCAGAUAUUUUUGAUUCAUGGUGGAAUAUUUACGCCACAAAAUUUUUGAUUCUUGGAAUUUACUUUUAUUCUAAGGAUAAUUAAGUUCAUACCUUUCAUUUUUUCUUUGUGUAUAUAUGCAAAUGAGACACAAAAUUAUUGGUGGAAUUUUGAAUUAUUGAUGCCUUUCUUUUUGUCGUUUUUCAUUUAUUUUUCAGUAUUAAUAUCUGAUCUACUUGGUUAGUUUACAUGAAAAACACUUGACUCUCCUUUUAAAUAGAAACUACUAUUAUUAUCUCGUAAGUGUCUUUAAGAGUUAUCACUUUACCCUAAUUUAUAUUUCUGUAGCAAUUAAGCAUUACUUGGUAAAUUAUCUUCUAGAAAUGGGUAACGACCUACAUUUAGAAGCAUUUUGUGAACUUUUGCGGUGCUAAAUCAUCAUGGACAAAUUUUAGUGAACAAAAGAUUCUUCCCGCAGCAGCUUUCUAAUAAAUUCUUAUACAUGAUGUAAUCAUGAGUGUUGUUUCUUGAGCCGGAAAUGACUUUAUUUAUAGGGAUGAAUAGAAUAUAACAUAUCCAACUUUGAUAUUCAAAUAAUAGAACAAAGUCAAGACAAGAUAAGUGUUUUGCUUAAGAAAAAGAAGAAUAAAGGAAAGGAAGACAGAUAGGCCAAUUUGGAUUUAGUUGACUUAUAGUUACGAUGACUUGCACUCAAUCCUAUAGAUGGGCCAAAGAAAUUGAAUUACUUCAAUGAAGCAUAGAUUUCCCCUAAAUAAAAUUUACUUUUAUUCUAAGGAUAAUUAAGUUCAGACCUUUCAUUUUUUCUUUGUGUAUAUACGCAAAUGAGACACGAAAUCAUUGGUGGAAUUUGAAUUAUUGAUGCCUUUCUUUUUGUCAUUUUUAAUUUUUUUUUCAGCAUUAGUUUCUGACCUACUUGAUUGGUUUACACAGAAAACACUUGACUUUCCUUUUAAAUAGAAACUACUAUUAUUAUCUUGUAAAUGUCCUUAAGAGUUAUCACUUUUCCCCUGUUUAUAUUUCUUUAGCAAUUAAGCAUUACUUGGUAAAUUUUCUUCUAGAAAUGAGUAAGGACCUACAUUUAGAUGCAUUUUGUGAACUUGUUGUGGGGCUAAAUCAUCGUGGACAAAUUUUAGUGAACGAAAGAUUCUUCCUGCAGCAGCUUUCUAACAUAUUCUUAUACACGGUGUAAUGAUGAGUGUUGUUUCAUGGGCUGGUAAUCGCUUUAUUUAUGGGAAUGGAUAGAAAAAGAUAUGCGUUUUGCUUAAGAAAAAGAAGAAUAAAGGAAAGGCAGACAGAUAGGCCAAUUUGAAUUUGGUUGACUUAUAGUUAUGAUGACUUAUACUCGAUCCGAUAGAUGGGCCAAAGAAAAAAAGGGAGAAAAGGAUGGAGUUCAUGGAAAUGCUCUCGUAAGGACCCUGGUUGGCUUUCCAGGAAGUGUUAUGGCAAGAGGAUGGGACUUGCGAGGAUGUAAAUGUAUAGGAAAUUUUCCAACUGACCACAAUUGUUGAAAGUCUGCUUCAAAUCUCUGAGUGUUCUUUUUCUUUUUUUGUGCUCCUACGAAUUUAGAAGAAAAUCGAUACAUUAUUAUGAAGACUUCCUUGUUUAAUGUAGUCAUCAGUUUCACAAUUAGUUCAAUCUUUUUUACUGAAGCAUAUUUAUAGUAUAUUGUCCUUGUUUAAUAUACUUGUAUAAGGAUUAGUAUAAUUUAUGAAGGGAGCCUUGUGAUGAAUGGUGGUAGUUUAUCUGACCGCCUUCUGAUGCAUCUUUCUUUAUCAUGAAGGGAGCCUUCACAACCAAAUAAAGUGGGACAAAAAGAACAAGCAUUAUUAAUUUUAUGUUAACAAGUAGUAUAGCAUAUAACAAAUAAACAAAAAUCAGUGAUAGUACAGAGCACUGUUAUUUCUCUUCGUCCCCAAAUAGUUUCUCUAGUUCAGAAGCAACUUCUGCUGUGAUUAUUUAUAGUUUUGGCAGAGCAACACUAACUGGAAAGAGACUUUUCAGUUUAUUGCAGCCUCCAAUUCUGGUUUUAUUCAGUGCACAUAAACAUAGAGGUUGGAAUGAAUCCUUUGAUGAUGAUGAUCCAAUUCCAAGUGCAUGUAGAAAUGAUCCAAUCCCAUUUUAUAGUUCUUUUUACUAGAAUUUUCUUUUGAUAUAGAGUAAUCACUUAAUUUUUUAAAAUUCUUUUGGUGAACUUGUUGCAUGGCUAUACUACCAUGCCUAGAUCUUGUAGGUAGGAGUAGCAAUCAAACUUUUCAGUAUUUCAAUAAAUCACUCGAAAACUUCUCAAAAUAAAAAUCUGCCUGGUUUUAAUUUUUCAUGUCUUAAUUCCUACCUAACAUAUUUACACAACUUAUUCACCAAAAAUUUAAAAUACAAAAAAUAAGGAUAAGAAACAGAGAAAUUUCACUCUUGUUUUUCUACUUAUUGCACAUAUAGAGAGCAACAUAACAUUGAUUGGGUAAAUUAUUGAAUUCGAUUGAAAACUCCAUUAAGCAAACAUCUUUAACAGGUCAAAAAUUAUUUUUAAAAUUUUUGAUUUUGUAUAAUAUUUUAAAAAAUAAUGAUCAAAAUUGAGUUUAUUUUUAAUGAAAAAUAUCCAAUAGAUACAAACAAAAUGGGAUGGAGAUAGCAUGUAUUUGUAAUAAUAUUCGGUUCCGUUGAUGAAUAUUUUUGCUUUCUUUUCUUUUCUCUUUUUUGCAAAAAAAGAAUAGAAAGGAAAAGGAAAAAUAAAAAAAUAAAUAGCAAAAAAGAAGAGAUAAAAGUAUCAAACUGGUACGGAAUUUUAAAAAAUAGUCAUGUAAUAUGGAUAAUUAUGGAAAUAAAAUGUAUGCUAUGGUAAGAAAAGGAAAUUAAAUUGAACUUACUAAUUCUCUUGCUUUUGAGCCUUUUUUGUCUUUUGAUAGGGUUAGCUUUUUAGUCUCAUGGUUUAUGAUGCUACCAAUUUUUUUGAGUAGCAGAUCCGAUUUGGAAAUUGUACAGGAUCUCUUCACCCUCACCAGCAGUUUAUAUUAUGAGAGUCUUUUGCAAAUUAACUUGAGACUUGAAAUGACAUGUCAGGUGUUAAGAUAAAUAAAAUCCACUUUUCAAAAAAAAAAAAUCUAAUUCUAAGUGCAUGUAGAAAUGGUCCAAUCUCUUUUUAAAAUUCUUAUUGUAAGCAUUACUUGGUAAAAUUUUUUUCUAUCAAUGAGUAUUUACUUUAUUUUAAAUGCUUUUUAUGAACCUAUUGCCUGGCUAUACUACCAUGGUCAGAUCUUAUAAGUUGGAGUAACCAUCAAACUCUCAAUAUUUCAAUAAAUCACUUGAAACUUUUAUAAAAUAAAAAUCUACCUGCCUUGUAUAGGGAAAUUAAAGUUUAAUUUUCCAUGUCUUGAUUGCUGCAUAACAUAUUUGCAUAACCCUAAAUACAAAAAUAAAGAUAAGAAACAGAAGAAUUUCAAACUUGUUCUUCUGCUUAUUAUACAUAUAAAGAGUAACAUAACAUUGAUUGGGUAAAUUAAUGAAAGCAAGUGAUCCCUUCGCUUGACAACUCUAUGAAACCAACAUCCUGACCGACGAAAAGCACAAUAAUUUCAAGUAACUGUUUUUCUCUUCUUUUUUAUGUAAAUAAUAAAAGUUAGCACAAGUAAAUCACCAAAACUUGAUUAAGACUAGGCAAAUAGGUGAAAAAAAUGAAAAUGGAAAGCAACCUUUGCUUUACCAGUGUUUACUCAUUGAUGUUUAAAAAUACCUUUGCAACUUCCCCUGCAAUCAUCUCACCAUUCUUCCAUGUAAGGUGGCAGCUGAUAAUUAAUCCAACUUUCUCGGUACCAUUCUACGGUCUUGGUGUGGACUACAUUUUGAGCAGCGGCGGACCCUUCAGUGACGUCUUGCUUAACUAGUAGCGAUGCCUUUUUAAACAAUUGAAAAAGUGAAAUAUAAAAUAAAAGUAUUACUGCAGAAGGUAGGAAGGAACCAAAGUCAGCGUACCAGUUGGAACCCCAACCUGCCCCAGCGAAGCUUACGCCAGGUGGUUUGCCGACAGGGGUUACCAGCCCACCAUCACGGGGUACUCAGAGUGAAUCGUCAGGUGGACCGGGUUGCCCACUUAAUCAGAGCACAGGAGCCUGCAAAAACAAUAACCCACAAGGCAUGUCAAACUUGCCAUGGAAGUAAAACCUGCUUACAUUUUGUAGUCUUCAGCUAAUUGCGUGGUAGGCACGGGCUCUUGUGUUGUGUUAGUAUUCAUCAUAAGCAGGCAGGCUUCAGUUUGUAAUUUAAGCAUUGUGUAAGUGAAGUAGAAUUAUGCGUUAUCUUGUACUUUGUGACCCCGUUGCUAGAUAGCUAGAAAGGGCUACUUGGGCAGACGGCUGAGGGGAUGCUCUUUGCACUUGUAAGGUGAUGUUAGAAGUUUGAGAAAAGGGCCAUGCUCUUUGGUGUUUUAGACUGAGAUGGUGAGUUAGUUUGACUUCCUUGUCUUUGUUGUAGUUGCUUCUUUUGUUGCCCAUCAGAGUUAACUAGUGUAAUUUAUCUGUUUCUCCAUUCAUCAUUAUCAAGUUGAUAUUGAUGCUAGUUGAGCUCAGCUGGGUGUUUACUUAUAUGCGGACGAUGGGUGACGAUGCUUUCAAUGUUGAAUGCUAAUUUGCCACUAUUGAUCUCUCCACUCAGCUUUCGUAUGCAUUUCUGUAAGAGACAUCAUUAUUCCUAUAUCUGAUUGCCAUCCAACAUAAAAAAAAAAAAAAUCUCAUGUUAUGAGGGCAAAAGAAAAAAAUAUACAUAUUAUGAUUUAUAAGCAUUUUAAGCCAAAAUUCAUUCAAGUUGGAUUUAGAAAAUUUUUUUCUUUUAUUAAUUUUCGAUGAUUUAGAAAAGAGAGGUUUAGUAAUUUUCAAUAUUUGUGAAUUUUGGAAAGAUAAUGUUAAAAAAAUCAUUAGUAAAAUUAUGUUGCAAUUAGCUUUUACAUUUGUUUAAGAUAAUAAAUGCAUGCUGCCAAUAUAAAUGUUUUGUUAGGAAGUAACAGAAAAAAAUUAAGAAAAUACUUUGUGCUUUCCAUCAAUUUGUCAGCCUUGUCCAUCAAGUCCAAAACGGAAGCAAUGAGGGUGCGCAACUAGAGAACGGGGAAUGGACAGUGUGGGUUUCAAGAAGAGUUGUGUUCAUUGAAAUGAUAGAAAUUUUUGUAAGCGUAAGUAAAAUGAUAUAAGUGAAAACUUAAGCUCUCCAAGGUACAAUCGGCAUACCUUAUAAGACAUUGGAGGCUUGCAACUUGGAUGGGACUACUCAUAAAUCCCAAAGAAAGUACACAUAGCAGUCUAUGCAUCUAAUUACUCAUAAAUCAAAGGGAUUACUUUAAUAUUCGUUUGAUUUGGUUACAAAGGUCAAUUAACUUAUGACUUGACACGUAAAAAGUCGAAAGCUAACUUUUUCUAUUUUCAAAAAUUUAGAUUAGUUCAUAUCUUUUUAUUAUAUCUAAUUAAAUCUCUGAAUUGUUAUUUUUCACUAUAUAUUAAAAUAAUUUUAGAUGAAAUUCAUGGAUGACUAUUAAUCCCUUAACAUUUAUAAGGCAUGUGAAAAAUAUGAUGUCAUAAUAAAAUACUGGUUAUAUUUACUAAUUAGAUCAGUAAACUAUAUUUAUUUUACCAUGUCAUGUGUCCAUCAUUGCCGCAUCAUAUUUUCCACUUGUCCUACAAAUGCCAACAUUGUCACAUAAUAUUUCUCAUGUAUCCUAUAAAUGCCAACAUGACAAGGGAUUAAUGCGUCCAUGGAUUCUAUAUAUCCAAAUAAGGGAGAGUGUUUGGAUAGUGAAAUAUUAUAUUUUAGAGCUUAAUUAAACAGCUUUAAAAGUCUCUUGCGACAUAUAAUGUGAAACAUCCGCGGCCAAAUCCCCAACAAAGAUUGUGUAAUCAAGACCCUCAUCUUGCCUCUUUUCCCCGUAUCCAAGUGCCGCCCAAUUCAAUCUAAAAUUCUAUAAACAGAGGGAAGAGAAUCCAUAAUAAAUAAUAAAUAAUUUACAACCGUCAGAGCUAUAAUUUCUUACUCUAUCUCUUCAAAGUAAGAAAGUAACUCGAACAUCCUCAAAAAUUGUAUGAAAUUCCAACUACGUGAUGUCAAAGUUAUCAGUUUUAUAUCUCCUAUUUGACAUUUGCAUUGUAAUUUUGAAAGAAGUAUUAAAUAAAUGUAUAUAUCCAUUAGAUUUGUGUCAUUUUUUUUUAUGUUAAACUUGUAAUUUUUACAUCCAAAUGUUGAUAUCGUUUUUCCAAAAGUUACAUUUUUCUUAUUUAAAAGCCAUAAAUAAACAUAUAUAUAUAUAUAUCCAUUAGAUUUGUGCUAUUUUUUUCAUAUUAAACUUGUGAUUUUAACAUUCAAAUAUUGAUAUUGCUUUUUCAAAAAUUAUAUUUCUCUUGCUUAAAAGCCAUAAAAGCAUAUUGAGUUCGGCUAAGUUAAGGCCUAUACAUAUCAAGAAGAAGUGGGCUUUACCCCUGUAACAUGGCUAAUUUGAUGGAAAAAAAAAAAAAAGCUCAUUUUCAGAGCUACUAGUAAGUCCAAAUUUUUGUUUAAAAAAAAUCAUCCAUACGGUUGUAAAAUUAUAUCUUAAUUUCACCAUUUUACCAUAUUUGUAACAAUUUUGUAAUGUCAUGUCAAUAUUUAUUAUAAUUUAUUAAUAUAUCAUAUUGAUGUUAUCUGAUUUAAAAUAAUAAAUAAUAUUUCAAUUAUUAAUACUAAAAAUUUAUUUAAAUAUAAAUUAAAAUAAAUAAAAAUUUAUUUAAAAUUGUAAUACUAUAUAUGUCUAAAAUAUUAAAAAAAUAAACUAAAAUCUUAAAUUUCAAUCUUUUACAAUAAUUUAUCUUAAAACUAAAUUAAUAUAAAUUAUUAUUUUCUAGAGGUUUUUCUUUCUUGCAGAUUUUUUUUUGUUUUGCUGUUGACUUUGAUAAUUAUGAUUAGGAAGACGACAUUAACUUCUUCUUUUUUGUUUUUUUUUAUUAAGUAAUAUUAUUCUGUUUUUAAUAAGAUAUAUAUGAAUCAUUAUUGUUUAUGGAAUUAAUGAAAAAGAAAUUUUUUUGGCCUUCCCACUUUAUGGGUUGUGGGUCCCGCGCCCGUACGAGUGCGUUCAAACAAGCAUCGGCAGGGGCGUCAAAUAACCUGACGGUAUUCGCCCCCACCCCAAAUAAAAAUAAAAAAUAUAAAUAUAAAGUAAAUAAACAGCCCGAGACCCAGAGAAGUUACGGACCCGAAGCCUGAGAGGAGUCGAAAAAGGAAAAAGAAAUUGGUUAGUCUCCGUCGUUCCCUUCCAAACCUUAAAAAGUACAACUUUCCUGGCCUGCUCCGGAACUCUCUCGAACUUUCUCUAAUCUACCUAUUAUACCCUCCCACACUUUAUACUCCUAAGUUCUGUCUAUUAUGGCUGUACCUCUUGCAUUGUGAACAUCUCCAUGCUCGACUACCUUCACCAGCUGAUGGAAUCCUUUUCCUUCUAGGUCUUCCCGCUUGGCUUCACCAAGGUGGGGGCAAGACGAUAAUUUAUUUCACAUGAGGGGGGAUGUCCCACUCACUAGGAUGCCCUACAGGCCUAAUGGAUCAUGAAUAACCCUCCACCAAAACGGUUGUCUUAUAGUAGUCAAUGCAGAAUUCAAUGGCUUCACGAUUGCAUUUACUGAAAAAUACAAUAAACUCAAUCGUCAAGCACAAUGUAAAUGCUAUGUCAAUUACUGUUCAAAUAAGAAAUAAAGAUAUUCUGAUCUUAUUGCUGCAAUGGCAUGGCUGCAUGGCAUUAAAUCUGUUUAGAACUCACAAGAUGAACAUGUCUUCCUAAACAGGUUUAUAAGUCUGUCCAUCUUCCCGUCUUUAACUUCAAACUCCACUCGAUUGAUAGGCUUAACUAGAAAGCGAUGUGCAUCAUUGAACCGUUUGCUCAACUACCUGGCAACCCAAAGGCUGAAGGGCGUGGUCACCUUGACGGCUUCCUCGUACCUGUCAUGGAACCAAUGCUGGAACAUAUCUCUGAUGAACUCGAUCAAAACAGUGAUUGGCAUUUGUCUUGUAUGCUUCAAGCAUGAGUUAACACAUUUCGCAAUGUUGGAUGUCAUCAUUUGGUAUCGCCUUGCCGGUGAACAUGCACGUGCCCAUUUCUCAGGCCCUAUUCUCAUAAGGUCAGCGUGGGCUCCCGAGUGAAUCUGCUGUAGCUGGUUCAUAUGUCUAUUGAAAUCAGCCACUUUAUAGCAAUCUCGAACAAGGGUAAAAAGCAUACAAACAUCGUCGCGCUUGAACUUGUUUUUAAAGUUUUUUUCAAGUGGUAACCACAUAAACCAUGGUGCGCUUCUGGGUAUGCAUUUUGGAUUGCUUUCUUAAUGUCGAGAUGCUGAUAAAAAAUGAACAUAGUGUUUUCAGGACAACCAACCGCAUCACGCAGCUUGCUAAGACACCACGUCCACGAGUCUUCGUCUUUAACAUGGCCGAUGCCAAACGCAACUGGAAAUACGCACUUGUUCGCAUCUUUGCUUACAGCGACAAACAGAACACCCUUGAACUUGCCUUUCAGAUGUGUCGCAUCAAUUGCAACCGUAAGAAGCAUUACAUCCCUAAACCCCCGAAUACAAGCCCCGUAUGACCAGAAACAAUAUUUGAAUCUUUCUUCCUCAUUAGUAGCUACUACAGUCACUGUGCCAGGAUUUUCUUGUUUCAACAUAUAAAAAUAUGAGAGUAGUAGUUGAAAUGACUCCUCCGGUGGACCAAAAACAAGCCUCUCCGCAUACUCCUUCGCUUGCUAAGCCUUACCAUACAAGCAUUCCAAUCCCCACUGAACCCUCAUCUCACAAAUUAUGUCCUUAGGUCUCAAUGCUACUCCAUUAGCUCGAAGCUUGUGUGACAUAAGUUCACCAAUCAUCUUUGCACUCGUAGUUGAAAACCGCCCUUGCAAACCAUCAACGGUACAGGUGUGUACUUUGUGGAAUGUCCGAACUUGCCAAUAUUCUCCUAUAUCAGGUAACUUCGUUGCACGCACACUGAACUUGCAUGCCUUGUCCUUGCAACCAACCUCAUAACGAGCUUUACAUGACAUUUUUACUCUUAUCGCAAACUUCUCUUUUAUAACCAACAUGUUCAAAGCUCGUUUCAACUCAGCCUUUGAUGAAAACAUUUUUCCUUUGUAUAAGCGAUCUUCAGCACAUGUCGACUCCUUAGUGGUAAUUGUUUGGAAGGAGAACCUUUCUGCACCUGCAAUUACCCACGUACAAGAUAUCCCUGUAUUUUCCCUUUCUUGAUCACUGUCAUCGAGCAAUGCAUUAAGGGAACAAAUCCCGUUCUCACCAGUGAUGGGGUUAUUGUAUAUGGGGUCAUCACGCUAAACAUCUAGGACAUCAACACCUCCAACAGGUUCCGUUUUGCCUUCAACAUUAUUACGAAUUGGAAUGUCACUGUCACAAAGGCAGUCAUCGUCUGAAUUGUCAUCUUGCCAUUGUUCAAGCCCAUCAUUUGAAGUGUCAUCAAAUCUAUCUUCACCAGCAGUGAACAAAUCCUCAUUUCCCUCAUCAAAUGCAGUAUUAUCCUCUAGUGUCGUAGUGUCACCCUCCAACCUCACAUUGUUGUCCUUAAGUGUCGUAUUCUCAUUUAACAAUGGCAUUAUGCACUCUACAGUUUCACUUGAUCGUUGCAUUUGUUAGAGAAAAACAAGAAAUUGGUUUGAUGCACAUCCUGAUCGAAAUUGUGUAGCCAACUAUUCUGUGAAUGUCGUUUGUCUACCGGGCUGCAAAAGCUCUUGUGCAUACCUCAAUUGCCAUUGUUAUGGGUUCCGAAUCGAAUGCUGUGGUAUAUGUGAAGCAUUUUAAAUCUCAUUUUGAUUGAUCUGAUUACCAUGUUGUCCAACUUCUUCAUGUGACAUAACAUUUGUUCGGCGUCCCUUAAUGCUGACAUACACAGUCGAAACAUUCCUCUGUUCUAGCAGAAUUAAUGCAACAUCCUCAUCGUCCUUAAUAAUUGGCCGUGAUAGCUCUCCAGGCAUAUUGAUCAAUGCAUGUAACUCAAUCUUGUCAAUUUCUGAGUUUACCCCAAUAAAAUCUUCAACCAGCUUCAUCAAGCCCGCAAACGACAAAUCACUCCUAACCUCCCGCAUUCGUGACUCACCACCCUUGUAAAUGCCAUCCACCCACUGACCACCAUGUCUUAUCACAAGUCGCACAAUUGGAACCCCACUGAAAUUUUGAAAAAAAAAUAUUGUUAAUCAUUUUACACAAUACACGUCGUGAUAAAAAAUUUAUCAGUCGUGUUGUUACACGCCAUGCAUAUAACGUAAAAUAUUGUAACACAUCAUGCAUAUCAAAUCAAAUGUCGUGACACGUCAUGCAUCACUAUCGUGACAUGCCAAUCACAGUAAUUACUGACUCGUUACACCAACAACCAUGACACUGUAAAAACCCAAAAAACCAGUUUAUCCACAACACGCCAGGAACAACCGUGACACACCCAAAACCCAAAAAACCAGUUAACCCACGACACGCCAGGAAUAGCUGUGACAUGCCAAAAACCCAUAAAUUCAGUUGUCAUGCCAAGAACAAUUGUGACACGCAAAAAAUCCAUAAAUUCAGUUAACCCACGACACGCCAGGAACAACCGUGACAUGUUAAAAACCCAUAAAUUCAAUUAACCCACGACACGCCAGGAACAGCCGUGACACGCUAACAACCAAAAAAACUAGUUAACCCACAACACGCUAGGAAUAACCGUGACACGCUAAAAUAACGCUAACACAUGUUAUAGAUGCAUGGCGUGUAACAACUCUGGGCAAUGUUUCUAAUCUAACUUCUAAUUUACACCAAAUGUUUCAGAAAUUUAAGUGUGUUGCAAAAAUAAACCCAAUAACAGGUACCUUGAUGUCAUCUCUGCUAUAGGGUCCGUUAAUCUACGAUAAUGUGGCCAGAUGCCUAGAGAUAGACCAUAGCCGAUGACGAUGGUGCUCAAUAGAGAGUUCACAGAGCUUAUACAGUUCAGAGAUCUAAGAGAGUUGACGACGAUGGUGCUCAACAGAGACUUGCCAGAGUUGAGACAGUUCAAAGAGUUGAGAGAGAAAGAUGACCGAGCCUAAACAGCUGCGCGCAUUUAUUUUUAUUUUUUUCUAUUUUCUCUUUGGCAUGAGGCAUAUAGCUCAAACAAAUGAGCAUUUAUUUGAAACGAUGUUUUUAAGGGUAUUUUGGUCUACUCAUGCUUAUUUUUUGCUAGAAACAGAUAAUUUUAUAUGGAUAGUUAUUUCUAAAAUCACCUUAUCACAAGGUCCUUUUCUUACAAUUUUCUCUUUUUUUUUUUGCUAUCAUUUCUUGUCUUCUUUUUGCCUCAAAUGUUUUUUUUUUAAGUUCUCAUUAAUUAAGAAGAUACAGAUUACUACUUCCAAAAAAAAAAAAGAAGAUAAAGAUUACAAAUGGGACAUAGACAUCAUUGCUAUCAAAGCUUUUGAAUGAUUGAUAAAUGUCUUUUAGAUUUUUGUCAUUUUGCAAUCAUUUUUACCUUGGGAUCCAUUUAUUUCUGACUUUCUUGCUUGGUAGGUUUAAUGGCUUUCAUGGAAAAAUACUUGCCCUAUUUUUUUUUUUUUGGAUUAAAUUCUGUGUUUUAAGGGAUUGAAGCUUUACACUUCGUUUAACACAAGGAAAAAUGGCGAAAUACAUCAAACGAUUCAUAUAGUGCAAGGAUCAUGUUUUGCUUGAAGAGAAGUAGAAGGUCAAGGCACAUCUCUACUUUUUGAGCUAUCAUUUACAGAUCCUUAGGAACGUUUCCUCCAUGGCUGGUGAUCUAACACAAGAAAGAAGAUCAUCUAAGCCUAAAUUGUUCUAAUCAAAGCUAUUUCGAUUCAUUGAUCCCUCGAUUAUUGUUCUUUAUUUUUUUCAUUUUUCAAUCAAUUUUAUCUUGAGUUGAUGGCUUCCAAUUAUGUUGCCCCUUUUCGUAAUUUUCUGAACUACUUUGUUGGUUUAAUGGAUUUCAUGUAAAAACACUUGCACUAUUUAUUUCAAUUUUGGGUUUAACUUUUGUGAUCAAAUUAUGCCCCCAAUGGAUGUAAAAUUUAAUGAAAAAAUAAAUAAAUAAGGUUCAAGAUUCAAUUUCAUGUAUUGAAAGAAGUACAAAUAAAAAUAUAUAUAUUGAAAGAUGUAACUAAUUUAGAUUAUUUAAGGUGAAUAUUCUGGUUCGGCCAAAGAAAAAAAAGGCCUUAUUCUGUAAAUGUUUUAUAGUAGUUGUCUCUAAAUUUUCUAUUGUUCUUUGUAAGGGACUACAAUUAUUUGAUAGUUCUAUGAAUCUAGAUUUGUCAUAUAAAUUAAGGCAGAAUUCCCCCUACCCCUUAAAUUAAAUCCCUCAGCCAAAAGAAAAAAAAUCCAAAAGUUAAACUCUACAAAAUCUAUUUGUCAUUGGAAAAAAAGGAAAGCCCAAGAAAUGAUUUCUUGGGCUGGAAAUGGCUUUAUUUACGUGGAUGAAUAAAACACAACCCUUUCAACGUUCAUAUUCAAACGUUGUACAAUUAAUGGAAUACGUAUUUUGUUUAAAUAAAAAAAAGAAGAUUAAAAGAAAGGAAGGCAGAUACACCAAUUUGGAUUUGAAUGAUUUAUAAUUAUGAUGAUUUUCAUAUUCAUAUUCACUUUUGUUAAUAAAAAAGUUUUUGAAAAAGAAUUUUUAUAGACAGUUGAAAUUUGGUGUUAAUAAGCAUAGGAAAAAUAAAAAAAAUAAGUAAUUAAAUAGACUUGAUUUUUUAUCAUCUCGGUCCAUCUCAUUAUCUUUGUUCUUUAUUGAUUUUUUUAUUAAAUAAACUCGACUUUGAUCAUUAUUUUUAAUCACAUCAUAAAGUUAUAAAAUUUUUGAAAAUAAGAUUUGUAAAUUUUGAAUUUUAAACUUUCAAAAUAUAUUUUUUGAAUUUUGAAUUAUAUAUAAUAUUUUAAAAAUAAUGAUAAAAAUUGAGUUCAUUAAUUUGACGAAAAAAAUCAAACAGAUAUAAAUAAAACGAGAUGGGGAUAGCAUGUAUUUGUAAUAAAAUUAGGCUCCCGUUGAUGAGUACUUUUACUUCCUUUUCCUUUUUCUAUUGCAAAAAAUGAAUAAAAAGGAAAAGGCAAAAUAAAUAUAUAAAAAAAGAUAAAAGUAUUAAACUGGCACGGAAUCUAAGUGCAUGUAGAAAUAAUCGAAUCCCUUCUUAUAAUUCUUAUUAUAAGCAUUACCUGGUAAAAUUUUCUUCCAUCAAUGAGAAAUUACUUCAUUUUAAAUGCUUUAUGUGAACUUGCUGCCAAGCUAUGCUACCAUGGCCAGAUCUUAUAGGUUGAAGUAACAAUCAAACUCUCAAUAUGUCAAUAAAUCACUUGGAACCUUCAUAAUAAAAGUGUACUUGGCUUGUAUAGGAAAAUUAAAGUUUUAUUUCCCAGGUCUUGAUUUAAAAAUCAAAAAUAAAAACAAGAAAUAGAAGAAUUUCAGGCUUGUUCUUUUACUUAUUGUACAUACAAACAGCAACAUAACAUUGAUUGAGUAAAUUAUUGAAAGCAAGUGAUCCCUUCCCUUGACAAGUCCAUGAAGCCAACAUCUUGACCAACGAUAAGCACAAUAAUUUCAACUACCCGUUUUUCUUUUUUUUUAUAUAUAUAUAUAAAUAAUAAAGGUUAGCACAAAUGAACCACCAAAACUUGAUUAGGACUAGGCAAACAAGUGAAAGAAAUGAAAAUGGAAAGUAGCCUUUGUUUUACCUGUGUUUAGUUGACGGCCCCAAAAUACUCCUUGAUAUUUAAACAUGCCUUUGGAACUUCUCCUACAAUCAUCUCAUAGUUCUUCCUUGUAAGGUGGUAGAUGAUCACCCGGACGCUGCCGGCGCCAAUCUAUGGUCUUGGUGUGGACUACAUUCUGAUCAGUGACAGAUUCUUCGGUGGUAUCUUGCUCAACCAGUUGCGGUGUCUUUUUAAUAAUUGAAACAGUAAAAUGUCAAACAAAAGUAUUAAUGUUACAUGUUAUAAGGGUAAAAGAAAAACUAGACAUUAUAAUUUAUAAGCAUUUUAAGUCAAAAAUUUAUUAAAGGUGACGGAAAGUGAUAUUCUAGACCAACAAUCAUUUAAGUAAUUUUUUUUAAAGUAUUUUAAGUAAUUUAAGUAAAGACUUUGAAGAUUAUGUCUUAUAAUAUUAUUAAAGACUUGAAUUGCCUUUGCACACACCAAAUAAAAGCUUCUAUUUAAUGCAGUAAUCAAUAGUAAAAGCUCUUAAUCAUCAUUAACAAUUAUGUUGGGAGGAUUUGGAGAAUGAAGAAGGUAUUUACAGUUUUUGUGAAUAAUAUUCUUGCAAGAGUCCAUUAUUGAAGAUGGCUUCAAAGGAUUUCUUAUCAAUUUGGAAAGGUUGUCAAUACAUUUAUAGGGAGAAAUAAAAGCAAAUAUGGUAAGAGGCAUCCAUUUAUCAUAUUUGGAUCUUUUAAUAAAGCUAGAAGAGCAGGCCAAAAUUUAAAUGGAGCCUGACUUCUUAACCAAAGGCUAGAGGAACCAAAAAGGAAGCUUCUUAUGGACCUAGUACUAACGACAAUGGGAAAGAAACCUGCAGUGGGAUUUUGAGACAAAACUCGACCUUAUUCACUAAGCCAUCUUAUGCUCUGGUAUUGAAGGGUGCUUUUGAAAGUGGUGGAGCUUCAAAUGAAGAGAGAGGAGAUGAUCUUCAAUGUCCUAAAAAGCAUGGAAAACAUGCUUUGUUUGAAGAGAAGUGUUGUGGUAACAACAUAAUGUAAUUCAGAUUCAGCAAAUUUAAUGGCAUUAUUUAAAAUGCAAGGCAUUUCAGGGCUGCUUGAGGAGUUUGUCUAACAAAGAAUUUCUGCUAAACUUUAAGGAUAAGGAGCUGUUUGAAGAGUUCAAAGAUAAAGGUUGGGAUUGGCUUAACAAAUGGUUUACUAAGGUGGAAACAUGGUUAGAGAAUUUUUCAUCAAAACUCCUUAGCAAGUGGUUUAUUGUACAGGGCAUCCUUUAGAUGUGUGAAAUAGGCAUAUUGUAAUUUAUAAGCAUUUUAGGCCAAAUUCAUUAAAAGUGAUAUUCUAGACUAAGUUUUGGUUGUAGUGUCACACACAAUCAUUUAAGUAAGUUAAGUAAAGACUUUGAGGAUUAUGCCUUAAAAUAAAAAAGAUUAAAGUUUUUAGGGUGUAUACCUCUAUUUUGGCGUGCACAUAUUCCUCUGAAUCUAUGAAGAAGCCUGUAGUCAUCUUGGGACAUUCUCUUACUUUCAAAGAAAUCAAAGCCGAUAAUACAAAGUGAUAUCCUCUCGGGCAGAAGUCAAUGAGGCUUGGCAGUUCUUUAAGUGAUAAAUAUUUUAAUUGAUCAAACUUUAUUUCUUUUUCAGUUAUCACUUCUACUUCAUCUUCAAGUUCAAACAGUUGCUCCAAUUUAGAGUUCCCUUUAACUGUUAACUUUUCAAGUUUUGGAAGACAACAAGCAGAUCCAAGGGGAAAGAGACAUCUUAGCCUCUUGCAAUCAAUCACCUUUAGAAUUGUAAGGUUUUUGAGAGUAACAACUUGAGUGACAUCCUUCCAUAUAAUACACACUUCAGAUAAAUCCAACAGGUAGAGUUCCCUUAUAUGCCCAUGAACAUGGAAUACCUCUUCAUGACUCCCAACUGCUAUGUAGUCUUGACUGCAAUUGGCAGAAACACGCAAUUGACAACUAUUUCCCAACUUAGACAGAAGUAAUUCCUGCAAAUAUAGACACCACUAAAUGUCACAAGUACAUUCAUUUUCUAUUAGAAUGGGAAUAGUUGAGCAAAUGCUACUAAUAAUUUUUCAUAAUUUUAUAUGCCACUUCACAAAAAAUCCUUACAAUUUUAACGGCAGCACAUAUAUAUGUUUCAAAAUUUAAAUCCAAAAGUUUCAUGAAAUUGUUUGAAAGUAGAAUCCAAAGACACCUAACCCUUUCAAGUUUUUCUCUGUUAAUUUUGAACUUAAAACCAUUUAUGGUUUUCCUUUUCGUUUGUAUUUUUCUUUGUCAUUUUGUCUUGAACAAUGUUGAUUUGAAAAGUAAACACAAAGUGAUAAAGUGUCAAUUUGUUUUUGUAAUUUUCCUUAAUUAUAUAUAACAACACAAAAGAAAUCCACCCCCCCCGCCCCCCCAAACGGAAAGCCUAAAUCUCUCAAUCUCUUUCUCUUGUCUGAAACUUGAAUUGAAGAAAGUAGAAACACCUUCAAUAAAAAAAAAAGGAACUCAUGGCCAAGAAGAAAAAGAAAACUUAAAUUGCAGAAGAAAGAGAAAAUGGAAUCGAAGAAGGAAAAGGAAGCUCGAACAAGAAAAAAGGAAUUGCUAGGAUGUCAUCGUGAAAAAAAUAUAUGAUGAAUUUGAAGUCAGAAACAAGGACAAGGAAAACCCAAAGAUCCCCAGGUUACCCACAAAUAAUAUUUAUUUUUCAAAAUAGAUAGUAUAAAAUUUUUGAAUUGUAACUUUAAAAUGUAGUUGGAUUAGUUUAUGAGUGUUGAAAAGAUUUGGUUCAAAGGUAAAAUCUAAAACUAUAAUUGAAGGAAAAGUGUAUAAAAGAUACCUUUAGUAGAACCUGCUCGUUAACUUCUUUUUGAAUUGUGAAAUUUGUCAAUUUAGGACAGUUCCAAACACCCAACUUCUCCAAGGAUGGUGAUGAGAUGAGAAAGUUUUCCGAGCAAAAGCAACUCAAAUUUAUCAAGUUUACAAGUAGUAAAUCUUGUAGGGAAGGGAGUGCAAUGGCACAAUCAACUCCAUUCUUUUCUUUUGCCACAUGGAAGACUUGUUGUAACUGAGGAGAAUUGCUUAUCCAAAAUGAUUUCAAUCGUGGAAGAACUUGAGCCAAAGGAAUUUGAAAAAUAUUUUCCAAUAUUGGACAAUGACUUAUUCGUAGAGUUUCCAAUUUUGGCAAAAACGACGAAUGGAGAUGGGUAUUUGUUUCUAUUUCAUCAUCACAGUCCAACUCGGUGAUAAUGUGUUGCAAUCCAUCACAAUGAUCUAUCUGGAGUUGUUCAAGGAGCACCAAGCUUUGAGCAAGGGAUGGUGAAAAGAGAUGUUUCAAUCUAUUGCAGUAACUAAUUUCGACAAACUUCAAGCUUUGGAGGCUGACAAAACAGGUGGACCCUUUCCAUAUCCACUUCAAUUCUGGUAAUAAUUUUAGCUCCAUCAGUGUUAAAUUUGACAACAGCGAUCCUUGAUUUUCUUUCGUAUCAUGAAGAAACUCAUCUAUUUGAAAUACUUCUUGCAACUGGCCACAGUUAAUAACUUUCACUUCCUCUAGAUUUUGUAGCGCGGGAGAUAAAAAAGCCAUUUCCAUGCAAUUCCUUGCUUCCAACGUCUUUAGUUUUUGUAGAAACCCUUUUGGAAACCCACCGUUGCACAACAUUUUCAAACCAGUCAUUUGUUCUAUGAAUAAUUCCACCAAAUUAGAGAAGGCAUUGGAUGAGACAUGGCCUUGUGUUGUAUCAAUCAAGCAUUCCAGCUCCUCACCAUCUUUAAGUGUAAGAAAAGUUAAUUCAUUAAGCCCCUUUGGAUCUACAUUUGGAAUAAGAUUUUUCUGAUUCUUGACUCCAUCCAAGGUAAGAUUUUUGACAUUGUGUAAUAACUCCUUCAAUGCAUGCAAUUGAUCACUCUGAUAAAUUCACAACAAAAUGAAUAUUAGACAAAUAGAAAAUAGCAUAAAAUUUAAAAAUUGACACAAAAGAAAACUGUUUUAUCUUUUCAUUGAAAGCUCAUUAAAGUUGAAAAACACACCAAAGCUUGGAGUAUAAGUAAUAGUGUACAUGCUGAAAUUUAUUGGAUACAUGGAAAUAUGAUUUAGCAAUAAAGUACACGUGGCGUGCAUGCAAGGAAGGAAAAAAAAUAAAAAUUUUUAUUGCCACAUGCUUGUUUGCUUUUUGUUCAUUAAAUGCAUUAAAUUUUUUAUUUUAUCAUGCCACGUAUCUGCUAUUGCCACGUCAUAGUUUAACAUGUCCUAUAAAUGCUAGCGUGGCUAGGAGUUAAAAAUCCAUGGAUUCUAUCCUAAUAAGGAUGCUUGGACAAUGACAAAGAACACUUUAAGAGCUUAAUGAGAUGCAAUUAUAUGCUAAAUUAUCAUGCAGCACUCUCAAUCUUAUAAUAUGAAUGAAUUCUUUUUUUUUUUUAAUGACAAGUACGCUAAGUAAUUAAUGAAGGAAUUGGAGACAAAGUUGCUGAUGAUGAGAGUUUGAAUUUUUCUAAGGAUACAAGUGUGACUUAUCCUAAUUUUUAUAAAAUAAUGCUUUGUAAAAACCUUUCUUGAAUAAGAGUUUUCAUCUUUUUCCUAUUUUGUUAUUCAAAUCCUUUUCCCAUUUCAAGAAAGAUUCAGAAUCAACUAGCUAAUUAUUGUACGAAUGUGCUGUUCUUUCUUUUUAAUUCAUGAGUAUUGACUUUUAAUAUCCGUCAAAAUAAAGAGUAUAAUUUUUGAACAACAAGGAAAAGUGUAUAAAAGAAAUACCUCUACUUGAAUUUUCUCGUUAACUUCUUUUUGAAUGUUGAAAUUUGCCAAUUUAGGACAGUUCCAAACUUCCAACUUCUCCAAAGAUGGUGAUGAGAUGAGAAAGUUUUCUGAGGAAAAGCAACUCAAAUUUAUCAAGUUUACAAGUAGUAAAUCUUGUAGGCAAGGGAGUGCGAUGGCACAAUCAACUCCAUUCUUUUCUUUUGCCCCAUGGAAGACUUGUUGUAACUGAGGAGAAUCGGUUAUCCAAAAUGAUUUCAAUCGCGGAAGAACUUGAGCCAAAGGAAUUUGAAAAAUAUUUUCUAAUAUUGGACAAUGACUUAUUCUUAGAGUUUCCAAUUUUGGCAAGAACGAAAAAUGGAGAUGGGCAUUUGUUUCUAUUCCAUCAUCAUAGACCAACUCGGUGAUAAUGUGUUGCAGUCCAUCACAGUGAUCUAUCUUGAGUUGUUGUAGCAGUACCAAGCUUUGAGCAAGGGAUGGUGAGAAGAGAUGUUUCAAUCUAUUGCAGCAACUAAUUUCUACAAACUUCAAGCUUUGGAGGCUGACAAAACGGGUGGACCCUUUCCAUACCCAAUUCAAUUCUGGUAAUGAGUUUAGCUCCAUAAGUGUUAAAUUUGACAACAGCAGUCCUUGAUUUUCUUUCGUAUCAUGAAGAAACUCAUCUAUUUGAAAUACUUCUUGCAACUGGCUACAAUUAAUAACUUUCACUUCUUUUAGAUUUUGCAGCGCAGGAGAUAAAGAGACCAUUUCCAUGCAAUUCCUUGUUGUCAACUUCUCUAGUUUUUGUAGAAAGCCCUUUGGAAACUGACCGUUGCACAACAUUUUCAAACCAUUCAUUUCUUCUAUUACUAAUUCCACCAAAUUGAAGAAUGUAUUGGUUGAGACAUGGCCUUGUGUUGUAUCAAUCAAGCAUUCGAGCUCCUCGCCACCUUUAAGUGCAAGAAAAUUUAAUUCAUUAAGUCCCUUUUGAUCUACAUUUGGAACGAGAUUUUUUUGAUACAUGACUCCAUUCAAGGUAAGAUAUUUGACAUUCUGUAAUAACUCCUUCACUGCUUGCAAUGGAACGUCCUGAUAAAUUCACAACAAAAUGAAAGAUAUUAGAAAAAUAGAAAGGUAGAUAAUACUCCUUAAAUCAGAAUUGAUUUUUUUUUUCUAUGCAUAAAAUUUAAAAAUUGAGACAAAAGAAAACUGUUUUAUCUUUUCAUUUAAAGCUCAUUAAAGUUGAAAAACAUACCAAAGCUUGGAGUAUAAAUAGUGUAUAGUAUUCUUUUAUGUACAUAUUAAUGUACUAAAAGAAAGAUGUUUUUCUAUGAUCAGAUAAAUAAUCAAUUAAUAAUUAUCAAAAGUAAAAUUGAAACAAACGAAAAUAUAACAGAACUACCAUCAAUAGAGACCGCGACCAAAGUCCUUCGUGAAUAUGGAAACGAGUCAUUGAUCCGCGUGGGAGACCAAUACUGCAAGCUUGGAAUCCCUUCAAAGAUGGCAACAUGACAAAAUAGUUUCUGGGACAAAAGUUCCUGAAGUUUAGUAAGUAUUCAAGUCUUAAAGACUGUAAGCGAGGGAGCAGAAUAUCGUGCCCAUACUCUUCUUUUGCCAUGUUGAAGACAUGCAUUAGUUGAGGGCAAUCAAUUAUCUGAACUGAUUCCAAGUGCGGAAGUCCUUGAGCCAAAGUGAUGGGAAACACAUAUCUCAAGCUUUCGCAACUAGCUAUCACAAGAGAUUUUAAUUUUGGCCAGCACAGAAGAGAGCGAUCCUUGUUUGAAAUUAUCUCAUCACCAUUUUCUGCUUCGGUGAUUAAAUGUUCCAAAGAGUUGCUUCCCUUUAUCCAGAGUUCUUCCAGAUGCACCAAAGUUUGAGCAAGUGUAGCUAAAAAGAGAUACUCCAGUUUAGAACACGAGCAAAUUCUCAUAGUUUUAAGAUUCUGGAGGUUAACAAGAUGGGUGGGUUCUCUCCAUAUGCACCUCAAUUCUGGUAAGGACUCCAGCUCCAAACAAAUUAAAUUUGAGAGUGGGGGUGCCUGAUUUUCCUCACAUAAAACAUAUAUUAUCAAUAAAUAAUUAUUUAAAUAUGAAUUCGUUGUACUUGUUCAAAAAAGUACUUAAAUAUUAAAGGCAUACAUUUUAAAAAAUUUUAAAACGAAGUGUAAAAAGCCACAAUUUAGAAAGAUUACAACUGAUGUUUACUUAUAUAUUUGGUAAUUUAACAUAAAAAAACACAAUUAGAUAAAGAACAAAUAAUAGAAUUAUUAAAGGAAAAAUGGAGAGAUGAGGGGUACCUCCAACUCAGCCAUAUCUUGGGCAAAAGCAAAGACUUGCUCUAAUUUCUUGCAUGCAGAUAUCUUGAGUUGUUCAAGAUGCAACAAACUUUGAGCAAGGCAAGGUGAGAAGAUUGAUUUUAGUUUAUCACAACCAUCAACUUUUACAUCCUUCAGAUUUUGUAGGCUUACAAGAUGAGUUGGCUCUUUCCAUAUACUCUCUAAUGCUGGUAAUGACUGCAGCUCCAAGCUUCUUAAAUUUGAGAUCGACCACAUACAACCAUUCAUUUGAAACACUGAUUGCAACUGUCCACAAUCGCAAAUGAUCAAUGUUUCUAAGUGUUGUAAGAAGCUAUUCGGUAAUUGACCAUGGCAUAACUCUUUCAAAGAAGUCAUUUUACCAAUGUCUAAGUUCACCAAAUUAGAGAAUGCAGUGGCUGGACUCUGUUCUCGUGUUGUAUCGAUCAAGCAUUCCAAAUCAUCGCAAGAUGUAAGCUGAAGAGAAGUUAAUUCAUUUAGUCCCCACUGAUCUACAUUUGGAACAACAGUUUUGUGUUCCAUGAUAUUCUCCAGACUCAGCCUUUCCACAUUGCGAAACAGCUCCUUAAAUGCAUUUAAUGAGGAGGAAUCUCUAAUUCUCAAUAUUCUCGAGAUAAGCUUUCUCGGAAUUUCAAUGUAUCCAUUUACACCUAUAUUGUAGCUUUGUAGUUUAGGAAACACAAAGUUUUCUUGAAAACAUUGAUCAGUAGAAACUGUCAAUGUUAAUGCAGUCAAACGAGACAACGAAUUCAACUCCGAUAAGUUGGCAAUGGUAAAACUUAACAUGUGUAGCUCUUGGAGUGACGUUAACCUGUUACACACAAAUACACAAUAUUAUUAACACAAUAACAGCACUUUCAAGCAGACAAUGAAAUAGCUACUAUUAAACUACAGCUUGCAAUGUUUCAUAAUAAUCGGAGUGACUAAAAGCUCAUGAUAUAUAUACAUAUAUAUAUAUAUAUAUAUGUAUAUAGUAGUCAAAUUGAAAACAACAAAAGGAAAAAUAAAAUAACAUAAAAUUAAAUUUUUUUUUUACUCAGCCAAGAAAAAAAAGAGAUUUAUAUAUAGACAGCUUAAAUGUACAAAAUAAGAAGAAACAAGAACAACCGCUCAAAGCAAAAAACUUAAAAAGAAGCAACUUGAUAGCUUGGCUGGAGGCAAAAUCAACACUUCAUAUGAGAUGACAUGUUACGGGAUUGGUGUCAGUACACAAGAGACCAACAUAUCAAACAGUCUCAUAAAAAUCGACCAAGGCAAAGAUGAAUAUAUUGGCACAAUCAGAUUGCCAGCGGGAAACAAUAAAAUUAAAUACUUAAGUAAAAACAAUUAGAUAAUCAGUUUUAAUGACAUCUAAGUAUUACCUUGAUAUCAAGUUAGGGGGGACAUGUCUGUCUUCAUCUCCAACCCAAAAAAUAUAUAGUGACUUUAGUCUGCGCAACUCCACUAAUUCUUCAGGUAAUUCAUCAAUAUAAGUUCUAAUCAAAGACAAAGACUCAAGAUUUUCUAGAUUUCUCAACGAUGAAAUGUUCUCAACGUCACACCUCAUAAUGCACAGAGUUCGCAGAUUUGUUAGGAAUUGAAGUGCUUCCAUUGAGAAUACAACACGUUGAAGAAAUAAAACUCGGAGGGUUUUCAUUCCUUCAAAAAAUUUACUCGGAACUCUUAGGUAAUCUUCUCCCGUUAAAAACAAAGUCUUGAGUUUUGAAAAUUCUAAUUUAUCGGGAAAAUUAACUAUCUUAAUAUUCCAUAAGGAGAUUGUUGUGUAACAACCAAAAAUUUCACUCUUAGGCCAUUCCGUCAGCUCAUUUUUUACCAUGAACAUAUUUUCCCCUCUUGAUGUUAUCCAAUGAGCAAAAUCACGAACCACAUCAUGCAUUUUUACAUAGAAUUCAUCGUCAGUUUCCAAUAACAAACCAAACUUUUGGAGCUUUGAUAGUGCUAGAUGAAUUUCCCUCCUUAUUUCUUCAAUUAAGUUAAUAUGACAAAACAGUCCCUGACCAAUUCCGAAUUCAGUCAACAACUCAACAUUAAUAUCAUAAUCUUCUGGAAAAAGAGAACACAACAAGAAACAUGACUGAAUAUUUUCUUCCUUCAAAUAAUCAUAACUAAGCUUAAGGCAGCUAUAGAUACCUCCACAAACAUCUUGAUUAUCCAAAUGUCUUGACUCCUUAAGUCGUUGAUUUGCUGCUAUCCACCCAUUUAGACUUUCACGUUUUAGAGCUUUCGCCAUAGUUACAAUUGCAAGAGGCAAACCCUUAGCUUCACGAGCAACCUCCUUGGCUACAUCAUUCAAGGUGGGAGAGGCAUCUUUUAGACCAGCAUUAUCUUUGAAUAAAGCCCAUGCCUCAUCUUCAGACAGAAUGUUCAGUUUAAAUUCUUCUUGACAAUUCAUUUGACUACAGACUUGUCGAAGACGUGUAGUUAGAAGAAUUUUGCAACCAGGGUGUUUGUCACCAGAUGGAAUUCCUAUAUUUCGCAAUUCAAACUGUUCCCAAACAUCAUCGAGAAUAAUGAGAAUCUUCUUCUCGCCUUUUAAUCUCUUGAAUAACUCUUCUGCUUUUCCUUCUUCUGUACUUGCAUUAAAUUUUAAACCCAAGAUUUCAGAAAUUCUAUGUUGAAUUUUGUUGAUGUCUGGAUUUUGAGACACCCCCCUAACAAUCACAACUUUAUCAAAGAGCUUUUCUUCCGUAGCUUGCUUCCCCACUACUUCCGCCAAAGUUGUUUUACCCACUCCUGGCAUUCCGUGCAAUCCAAUCACGUUCACACCAUCACCUUUUAAAGCCUUCAUGAUCCCAUUGAAAGCUAACGUUGAAGAUUCGGAACGCAUGAAAUCCUUGGGUAGUAGGAACUCUAUUCCUUGAAGAGGAGGGCGCUGGCCGACUAGUGGAAAGUUACAGGUCUCUAAAAGUUUAGAGAUACAAAGAUUCUUCUUCGCGACUUUCUUACUUAAGCAAUAUCGCCAACCCCAACUAGGACACCAAUUGAAACACUUGUUACGCUCUAUUUCUUCUUCCAAACUCUGAGCUUCUCCCAAUUCUUUAUCUGCCUUUGUUAGCCACUCCUCAACGCCCUUCUUAAUUACCUCAGUUUGCCUUAAAGCCUCAUCGACAGCAUCUUUCAACUCAUCUCUUUUUGAUUCAAGUUCAUUUCGCCGGUUCUUGAAAUCUUCAACAAUUUCGCCAAAACGGAAAAAGUAACGGAGAUAAGGUGAUGCGUAUUCUGUUGCUAAGUUCCCCGCGGUACCGCUAAUAGCAGCGCAAACACAUUCAAGAAACAUUCUUUGAUGAUCUGAGGCUGAAAAACAAUUUGGAUGAGUAAAAUGUUUUACAGAGAGACAAAAAGUAAUUACGAAAUGUUCACAAAAUAUCUCGCCUUUGCAGCAAUACUUUUAUAAAAUAUGUGAAUCACAAGAGAACAAAUUGUCCGCCGACUAACUUGGAAAUUGAAAAUGCUGCACAAGUAGAAAUUAUUCACUGGUCAUGUGUAUAGUAAUUAGAAAUAUAUCUUACAUGUUAGAGUAAAAUCAUAGUAUUAUGAUUCUAUAAAAUACUUUCUCAAAAUUUAAAAUAUCUAUUUAUUUCAGUUUUUUCCUAAUAGCUACAGCUUUUGUGUAACCAUGCAUGCUCGUCAUGGGCAAGGAAAGAAGUAAAGUGCAAAAUUAUUAUUUUUAUUUUCCAAGUGAAGAACUCAAGAAGUCAAAUGCAUAAGUGACAAGAGAAAUAAAAAGCAUAGCAAAAAUUAUAUAUGGACAAUAUAAUAUGUAUUGUUGAAGCUUACCUCACUUCGAAAGGAUCUUCUAACGCUGCAUGGAUUUUUUCUUCACCAACUCCGGAGAUCGGGAAAGUAAAAUUAAGGACUUCUUUUCUGGAUAGAAAGCAGAGAAAUCCAAAUACUAGAGGUAGCAGCUUUGGGUUUUUUUUUUUUUUUUGGCCUUUGUGGAGCUGAGGAAAGGAAACGUAGGGAUCAAAGAACAGUUUUUGUUUUUUAUUUUUCUGAGUUAAAAGAAAAUGAGGAAAGUAGAAACCAAUGGAAAAAACGAACAGAGAUUUUUUUUUUUUUUGAGUUGAAAGAAAAUGAGGAAAGCAGAAACCAAUGACAAUAAACCAACAGAGAUGCUUUUCUGUUUUUGAGUUGAAAAAUUGAGUGGAAAAAUCAAGGAAAAUGAAAUGGAAAAUUAAGGCAGAAAUCAAACAAAAUCUUUGGGAUAGUGCAGCUCACAGAUGUGGAGAUGGUAGAAGAAGAAGCUUGAAUGGAAACUCUAUGAAGACGAAGUAGUGAGAGUAGGUAUAGGAACUUUGGAACACUAAUAUUCAAAUUAGGAACAACGGAAAAAAAUUAGCAACUUGGCUUACACUUCCCAUGUAAGAUUCUCUUUUCUUUGAUAUGCGAGAGCUAAUGCUAUACAUUGAGAAAGUUAAUUUGUUUUAUUUAUCGUUUUUCAGUUGGCUUUUCCAUAGUUUGUCCCCCUUUUGUUUUUUCUUCCCUGGUUGUGGGUGGUGCUCGAGACACAAAUGUUUAUUGCUCCCUCUAGCUAAAAGCUCUUUGGCCAGCAUGUGCAAUCAACAUUAUUAUAUAAUGUUUAUAGAUUUGAGGAUUUUUGUUUACCACUAGAGACAGUUGCAUGUGAACGAAUUAGAUAUUCUAUUCAAAUUUUAAUUGGGAAUCAGUAAAAUUUCAUUAAUAAAAAAAUUAUUUGGUGAUUAAGUUUAUUUAAAGGAUAAAUAUAGUUAAUGAUUAAGAGUUUUUAAUGGAUAGGAAUUCAUGGUGACAAAGUAAUAUGGUUUUAUAAAUAUGGAAUGUGUCUUAACUUUUAAAAUUAAGAUAGAGAUGAGAUCUUUAUAUGAUCUUAUGUAAAAGAUAAUUUUUUUUAAAUGGAGUUUUUUGUAAAAACUUCACAGAAUUAUAGAGAUGUGAGAAGGAGCACGAGAAAUACAAGAAAGAGUAGGGGAAACGCAGUUUGCAUGGGAUCGAAAGUAUUUUAUGAGUUGAAACAAUAGGGAGCACAGAAACUGGAUUUGUUUCGAAGCUUAAGUUUAGUAUUUGUUUUUAUUUGUACUUUUUGUAAUCUCUAUGCCUAUAAUGAAUUUUUCUGAAUGCAUAUUAAAUAUUAUCUCUUAUAUGUGCUUUAUAAAUUAAAUUUUCAUUUGUAAUUUAUUUACUUAACUUACAAAAUAUAUAGUAUAAAAAGGAGGGUUUUUCUUUCUAGUUUUUUAGUGAUAUAUUACCUUGGACUCCGCACCUGGUCUUUAAGCUCAUGUGGUUAAAGCUCAGCAGAGUAAUAAGAUUUGGUCAUUAUCUUGGGCUUUACGUUGACCCAACCAGAGCAAUCUACUCUCAUUUUAAGGAAAGGAAGUACUUAUUGUAAACCUUGAACUAGUGGGAGUAAUUGUUUAUAUACCUUUCUCUCUUCCAAAACGUUGGUCCUAUCCUUUUAUUUCGAAUUUUUUCAUUUUUUAGUUAAUUUUCUUUUAAAAAAUUAUAUUCUGUGGAGGGAGGACAUGAGCCCGUAGUGAAAAUGUAUUUGUAUUAUCAAAAUCAAAUAAAAACUAAAAGAAAUAUCAUCAAAAACAGGGGUCAAAGCCUUGUACCCUUUCUAUACUUUUAUCACUUCGCUUUUUCCGUUAUAUUUGGUCUUUGAGGUGAUGGCCUUGGAGUAGUAAUGUAUUCUUCCAACAAUUACUAGUCAUUUUACAAUAAUAGGAAAUUUUUUAGUAAAAUAUUUAUAUAAUAUAUUGCCCUGUUUAAAUUGUGUAGGCCUCAAUAAGUUAAAUUUUGAGCUGAUUAAAUUAUCGAAAAUUAUCCAAUAAACUGUCAUGGAGUUUGAAAACUUUAUCAAUGGAAUUAGGAGGUUGCAACAUAUUCAUUCGGAUAUAUUUGAAAAAAUAAAUAAAUUAAUCUGAUAAAUAAAAGGAUAUUAAUUUGACAAUAUUUUAAUUUUACUAACAAAGUUAAAAUCUCACCGAGGAUGCAUAGAUUAAUAGUCCUUAAAAUAAUCCCUUUGUUUUUACAAUUGAGGGACAUUGAUCGUUACAUGCAUUAGUAGUGGAGAUUUGUUGCCUUUUCCUUAAAAGAUCAUUACAUUUUUUGCUUAAUUGCAUGCUUGUGUUCGGCUUAUAUAUAUAGGCUUUCAUUAGUGCUUGUUGAAUUAUGGCAGUGAAGUGUUUAGUAGAGUUGAUAUGAAUGAAGUGACUAUCCAGAGAUAUUGCAUCGUAUCGUUUUCUGCUUAUUGGGUUCCAUUGCUUGGAGCAUUUCUGCAGUUUCUGCGUACUUAUUUGCUACAACUUGAAAGAAAUGAGCAUGGCAAGAUUGUAUACAAAUUUGCCUAUGACUUCAAAUUUAGUUCGGCUUGAUCAACAAAAGAGGAAAAUUUCAGUUGAGAUUUUAGCAUUUUGGUUACUGAAUGAGUGACUCUAGGAAGAUGGAUAACGUUCAUGCAUGCUUGCGAAGCUCGUUUGGUAAUAUAUAGCACAAAAAGCAUAGUGAACCCAACUUCGAAACACAUGGAUGCCAUCUAUUUUUCUAACAACAGCCGUGGCAAGCGUGAGCAUACCAAUUCUAAGUUCUAACAUUGGGUUUAGACCACUUUAUCAAAUUUCAAAGCCUUUCUUUAGUGCUUUUUUCCCCUGGAUUUCUUGGUAGAAUUAACUGGUGCCGUAAAAGAGGGCCAUGUUGGGGAUGGCAGGGGACGGAUUAGUGUAAUUUUUUUAUAUUUAUAAUUGAAACAAAUUAGAGGAAUGCAGAUUAGGGGACAGUAGAUUAUGGAAACGGUGGAAGACAUUUCAGCAGGUGGAUUCUUUAAAGGAGGUGAUAGGCAGUGUAUUAUUCUGUGAGUGCUGAUUUUUUGGCAAAGGAAGGUGCAAGGAGAGAAAGUUUUUAUUGGAUAUUGUCAUUACCUUGAGAUUUACAUUGAGCCAGUGGGAUUAAUUAUUAUUAUUAUUUUUUUGUUUUUAAGAAAAAGAACCACUUUUUGUAAACCGUGAACUAAUGGAGGCAAUUGGUUUUAUAUACAUAUUGCUCUUGCAAAACAUUGUAAUUUAGAAAUUUAGAAGUAGAGGUAUACGUUGAUCCCUUCAUUAAUUCGACAACUUCCAUAUAAAACAAAAGCUCAGCAGAUGAAGACGAAGCUAGCAGCUAGCUUGGAGGGAAGUGUGUAAGGCACUAAGCAGCUAGCAGUACAAUUCCUGGCCUCAGUCAUGGUUCACUUUUUGCCUAUGGAGACGCAAUCUCUUUUUAUAAUCAAUUUGUUUUCAUUUGACACUCUGUUUAAGAUGUAGUAGCUCAAUCUCAGCCAUAUACACGAAUAAAAUAAAACGACGGUAUUUACUUGGUUAAUUGGUUGUUAGCCAACUUGAUGGAAAUCUAGUAAUUAAAAGCCAAAGGAAAAUAUCAUCAAAAUCAGGGGCCAAAGCCUUUCGCCUUUUUUAUAGUUGAUGCUCCUUCCAGCUUUUACCACAUUGCUUUUUCCUUUACACUUGGUCUUUGAGGUGAUAGCCUUGGAAUAGUAAUGAGAACCACCCAAAACCAAUUAAAGUAGAUGAUAGAUGAAAGAAAGAAAUGAGAAUACUUGUUAAUUUGCUACUAAGUAGCAGCAGCUAGUCAAAUUCAGAUUUAUGCAUUAACAUAGUUUCACCUUCUUGUUAAAAUUUAUUCUGAUUCUUCUGAUGUAGCUUUAUUUACCCAGCAGCGAGCCUUCAAAAUCAAACAAAGUGGGACAUGAAGAACAAAAAUUAGCUUGGGACAAUCUUCAACCGAAGAAGUCAAAUUUGGAAAUACAAGAUGGUAACAUUAUAUAAUAAUUGAGGGAGCACUAUUUGCUUCUCUUUCUGGGUACUUACUUCUUCAUCUGCAAUUCCAAAUAGUUGCUCUAGUUCAGAAGAUCCUUCGACUGUGAUUAUUUCUAGUUUUGGCAGAGCAACAUUAACCGGAAACAGACUUUUCAUUUUAUUUCAGUAACCAACACAAAAUCGAUUCUUUCAACAACCCCAACCCCCGCAUAAGCCAGAAUUUCAAUUUCAUUACUUUUGGAAAUGAGAAAAACAAGAAACUGAGUGCGUACUGGUAAUAUUCACAGUCAAACGUAUUGCAUAUUUCAUCUGAUGGUAAAGGUUGUUGCAUCAUAUUUGAUAAACAAAGAGGAGAUAUUCGGGAUUUUUUUUUCUUAAUUUUAAUUUGGGCAUUGAAAUUUUAUUAAAGAGUGUUAGGCCUUGAAAAAGGGGAAGAUGUUUUUGGCAUAGAAACUUCAAGGACUUUAUAUUUUUCUUCUUCCAAUUGCCAUUGGUUUGUAAGCAAAGAUGGGAGUAAGGAAUGCAGUUGCCAAAUCUAACAAGUUUGUUUCACAAUUGAGGGGCUAUGUGAUCUGAUGUCUCAGGGUGAAGAUUUGUUACUUUUUCUCCCAGCGUUUUACAAGCAUGGAAAACCAUGGGGAAAUUUGUUGAUGUCUGACUCAGACAUGCAAGUAGACAUUACAAAUCAACUAAACAUUGUAAAAGAGAAGCAAAGAUCAACCAGCUGCAAGUCAACUAAACACAGAGAAAAACCAUGUUGCUCACAGUCCUUUCCCAAGUCAGAGAGGUAUAACUCCUGCAAAGACAUAAAUAUAUCAUAAUUUCAUUAGAAAUUGAAUAGAUUACAAAGGGCCAAGACACUGUUGCCUAAAUAUUGGAAGAGAAAAAUGUCUUGAAUCCCAAAGAAAGAACAUAUAUCACUCUAUGCAUCUAAUUAAUCAUAACUCAAGCAAUUACUUUAAUAUACGAUUGAUUAUAAGUGUACGUUAAUAAACUCAGUUACAAAGAUCAAUUAACAUAUGACCUCAAAAGUACAAAGCUUUCAUAUUAUUUCAAAAAAAUUUAGAUAAGCUCAUAUCUUUUUAUUGUAUUUAAUUAAAUUUUUUAAAUAUUAAUUUUCAAUAUCCAAACCUUUUUUUUUUUGGAUAAAACCCAUAGAUGAUGGUUAAUCCUUUAACAUGCGAUAAUAACUCCGUCACUGCAUGCAAUUGAACUUCCUAAUAAAUUCACAACAAAAUGGAAGAUACUAGAAAAAUUGGAAAGGUAGAUAAUACACCUUAAAUCAGAAUUGAAAUAUUUUUAUAUGUGUAAAAAUUAGAGAUUUGGGCCAAAAGAAAAUUUUGUACCUUUUCUUUAAAGCUUAUUAAAGUAGAAAAAUAAACUAAAGUUUGGAGUAUAAAUAGUGUAUAGUAUAUAUACAGGUAAAUGUCAAUGUAAUAAAAGUUUUCGAUGGGAAAGAUGUUUUCUUAUGAAAUAAACAAUCAACUAAUAAGUAUCAAAAGAAACAUUGGAACAAAUGAAAAUAUAACAAAAUUACCUUCAACUGAGACUGCGACGUAAGUCUUUGUGGAUCUUGGGAAUGAGUCAUUAAUUGGGGUUGGGGACUAAUAUUGCAAGGGUCAAAAUCUUUCGAAGAUGGUAACAUGGCAGAAUAAUUUCUUGGACAAAAGCUCCUCAAGUUUUUCAAGUUUUCAAGUGUUUAAAUCUGUUAUUGAGGGAGCACAAUACGGUGCCCAUCCUUUUCUUUUCCCAUGUUGGAGACAUGCAUUAAUUGAGGGCAAUCAAUUAUCUGAACCGAUUCCAAGUACGGAAGUCCUUGAGCCAAAGUGAUUGGAAACACAUAUUUCAAGCUUUUGCAACUAGCUGUCUGAAGAGAUUUCAAUCUUGGCCAGCAUAGAGAAUAGCAAUCCAUAAUUGAAACUAUUUCAUCCCCAUUUUCUGUUUCUAUGAUUAAAUGCUCUAAAGAGUCGGUUUUCUCUAUAUGGAGUUCUUCCAGAUGCUUCAUAGAUUGAGUAAGGGCAGGCAAAAAGAGAUAUACAAGCUUAGAACAUGACCAAAUUCUCAUAGUCGUUAAGACUUCGGAGAUUAACAAAAUGGGCAGAUCCUCUCCAUAUGCAUCUCAAUUUUGGUAAUGACUCAAGCUCCAAACAAGUUAAAUUUGAUAGUACUUGUGCCUCAUUUUCCUCACAUAAAGAAUAACACAUAAAAGUUGAGAGAUAUAAAGCGUCUUCUUUGCAUCUUUGAUACUUAUGCAGUAUCGCCAGCCCCAACUAGGACACCAAUUGAAAUACUUGUUACGCUCUAUUUCUUCUUCCAAACUCUGAGCUUCUCCCAAUUCUAUCUCUGCCUUUGUUAGCCACUCCUUAACGUCCUUCUUAAUUACCUCAGUUUGCCUUACAGCCUCAUCGACAUCAUCUUGCACCUGAUCUUUUUUCGAUUGAAGUGCUUUUCGCUGCUUCUUGAAAUCUUCAACAAUUUUGGCAAAACAGAAAAAGAAAGUGAGAUAAGGUCAUGCUUAUUCUUUUGCCAGAUUCCCUACAGCAUGUAAAACUGCGGAUGGCAAUUGUAUUCAGCCUGCAACAACAUUGCCCGUAGACUAGAAAACUCAAUAUCACAGAGAAGGAAGGAAAGAUAUGGGAUGAAACAAGAAAGGGAACCAAAAUAAAAAAACAAAAAAGAGAUGAAGGAACCUGACCCUCUCAAAGAAAUAAAAACCACAACAUUGUACACCAGCCAAUGAAAACCCACAACCUUAAAACAUGUCGUAUCAAAGCAACACCUUAAGUGCCCUUGAAGAGUGGACCAGUUUCAAGCCACAGUAGAGCAACCACACCUCACUGCAAAAUACAAUAAAAAUAAAACACAUUAAGCACAACGUAUAUAAUGUCAGAAAAUGAUAAUGGCAGAUGUAGCGAGCAUAGACAAACUAGUCAUUUCAUUUGUUUUUUAUUAACCUUCCAUGCAAUUAAAGUAACAAAGGGUGGUCAAACAGAUUCAGCAUGCUUGCAUUCUUUCUGCUUUUGCUAAGAGCCAGGAAUAAUUAUGAAAAUAUGUAUAAUUCGUAAAAUCAUGUUUACCUGCUGUGGUUGUUGGUAAGCUUAUGGUUGCUGGUAAUUCCCAUAUCCAAGAUAGCCCCCAUAGGACAUGUUAGGAUCUUGGGGAGGAGGUGCAUAUCCAUAUGCUUCAAAUCCUUGAGCAUAUCCAUAAUAUCCACCAUUCCACUAGGCCUGAUCUGGUUGAGCCUGAAACUCCAACAGAUUUCCCUCUUAGUUUGUAGAAAUAUAUAUAGCAAGGUUUUAAUUACAAAAUACCAUGAUUUUAAAUACAAAACCUGAUUGCUUGAAGGACUACAUCCCCAUGAAAGUCAAAUGUUUCUUCCUCCUAAUACGAUGCCAUUCAAAACUGAUAAAGCUUGCUCUGCGUUAGUCCUGAAGUAUAUCAAAUUGCAGAAUAAAUUAAUAUAAUAUAAUAAUAUUUCACGCACUUAAAUAUUCGGAAGAAUUUACAGCUUACCUAUUAGCAUAUUGAACAAAACCACAACGCUUGUUAGCAGGAAUUUUUACAUGAACUACCUCACCCAGCUGGCUAAAUAUUUGUUUUAAUUGGUCUUCAGAAACACUAGGAUCCAAACCACCAACAAAUAUCUGCAUUUAAGCAUGUAAGAUUUCAGUCGACCACACCAUGAAAUAAGCAUAUUAAUAUAUAUAAAAAAGCUACCCACUGUGGUAUUAUUUGGAUCAUUCUCGCCAGGAUUUCCUUGAGUAUUUGGGUAAGAAGCUGCAAAUGACAAAUACAUGUAAACUACAAUAGAAUGAGAUGAUAAAAAAGCUCAUUGCUUCUCAAAACUCAAAUUAAACAUUGUUGAAAAAACCAAGCAUUAAGAUAAUACACUUAAAAAUACUAAAAAAGUUCUAAAAAAUUCCCUCCAUGGCAUGCAAAAGAACAAAAAUGUAAAACCACCAGCUAUACAUCACUCAAAAGUUACAAUUACAACCAUAAACCUCUUUGGGUUACAUCAAGGCUUACCAUUACCAGGGAAAGUGAAAAGUAUCAGACUAAAUGGAUUUCAAUAGUAGCCCAUAAAGAAAUCAUUAAUUACAUUACACUCAGGGAAUCGGUAAAGGUCCUAUUCUUUCAUUAACCUUUUACAAUAGCAUGAAAAGGAGAAAAAGGAAAAUUGAAAUCAGAGACUUAACUUUUCUCUGCACUUGACAUGAAAUAUUUCCUUUUGCUCCUUUCUUUCACACAUUUUUUGUAAGGGGGAGGGGAGGGAGGGAGGAAGCUGUCAGGGCUUAAAUAGAAUGAUUCACAACUUCAACUUCAAAGAUUAUGUUUUAGUAGAAAGAACCUAUCUGCUAAACUAAUUUCAGAAAUGCUUUAACAUUCUCUGCGUAGACAGAAACCUAUAGAGAUUAUAUUAGCAGCCACAAAAUGAUAAGAUGAAGAACAUAUUUAGAAAAUAAGGAAAUUCCUCUAAACUGAAGUGAUGCAAAACCUCAAAUGACAAGUAGAAAAAGAAUGCCUUGAAAAUGCAAUAUUAAUACUGGUAGAUUCAUACACAGCUAGGCCAUCACUAUUUAGGUUUUGGCAAUAAAGCAUGCACGAGUGAUCCACUUCCAUUGAGGUUAAAUCCAUUAACUGAAAAUGCCUUUAACUACAAGUCCCAGGUUUCUUUCCUGACUCAAUUUGUCCUCAUUUGUAACAGAGCAAUAGAAUGAGGACAAAGAAGUUACUAUAACGUUUAAAAGAAGCACAGAUAUAAAAUGCAAUAGAACAAAAAUUGCCCCAAGGCUCAAUAACAGAAUGGUGCAUGAUAACAUCCAUACCAACUUUACCCAUGGCUGCUUCACCUAGUUUUGAGCAUUACAGCUUGAAUUUAAAGGAAACAAAGAGAAGAGUGUAAACAUAUGCAAGUAUCAAAAGGGAACUUAUCUACGACGAACUUAGAAAAAAAAGGUUUCUGGAGUGGUAAAAGUAUCUAAAAAAAGAUUCAAAGGAAACAUGUUGGGAAAACUGAAACAACUUGUACUUGACUGGAAUACUUGAUAAGGAACUAGAAAAGUAAUUUACGAAUGUAGCACAAAUACUGCCACGAGAAAAUGAGGCUUACGAUAUAAACAAAGUAACUGACCUAAAAUGGGGCCACGCAUUAAAGUGGGAUCAUUUCAGCUGAUACCAGUUCCAGGCUCCCCAAAAUGAGAGCCUUUUUGGUGUCCUGCUUUAAGACAACAUGAGUUUUAAAUAAGUUUGUGAACGUUUUAAUAUAAUUAAACGUGCCCAAGUUUGCAAAGGCAAACUGAAAGGAAAUGACUUUGUAUAAAUUCUGCCGAUCUUCAAGUGCAUAACUGAAAGAAUUCAAAUUUUAAGGACACUGUAACAACUAACAAGUAACAACCUCGACUCAGAAAAUUAAAACCCAAAAACAAAAAUAGAAUAACCAACAAGCAUUCAACUUGUCAAGUCAAAGUUCUCUAAGAUAAAUCAUGGCAGAUAAAAACUAUAAAAAAACCAAGCAACCUUCAUGUUAGUUUGCCAAGAUCUAUUGAUGAGCAUGAAAAAUGCUCUGUAGAAAAGAGUAAAACCAGAAAACUAGAAGAAGAGAAAAACUGAUCAGGAAAUUGGAAGAAGAAAAACUAACUUCUCAUCGAGUCAAGAGUCUGUUACACCUAUUUAUACACAAGUCAUGCUGACAUCAAAGAAAGCCAAUCCUAAUUACAAAAUAAUUAAAUAUAUAAUCAGAUAUCUAUUUACACUUGGACACGUGUAUGUAUUUAACACUUCAUAUGAAAAUCAAGAUAAAUAAUGAAUUUAACAUAACCCGUUUGCUUAUUCCUAAUCAGCUUAGCUGAAGCCACCUAAACUAUCCCAAAAAAAUUAAACUUCCUUUAAUUACUUUUUACUGAUUUUAUUACUUAAGUAGUUAAGUUUAAAAGGAAAAGAAAGGAAAUUCAUUUAAAUAACAAAAGGGAAUAAUAUUUUGAUUUAUUAAAAUGUAUAUAAAACUGUGAAUUUUAUUGGACUAUAUUUGCUCCGUUUAAUUAAAUUUUAUUAUAUUUUUUUACUAUUUUACUAUUUACUUAGGCACUCUUAAAUCUUUUUUUUUUCUAAAAGCCCCUAAUUUUUUUUUCUAAAAUAAUAUAAUUAACUAAUUAAUUACCUCUCCAGUGUGAGCGAAGAUGUUGAUGAGGUAAUUCUCAUCCAUCCACUGCUAAAGAUCACCGAUCUAGAAGGAUCGAAUCUCACUGGAGCCGCAACGGCUGAAUCGGUGGAGUACUGCUGCAUCUGACCUAGCGGAGGAACGGGUUGUGGAGCCCAGUCGGAAGGUGGAGGAACCGGCUGACCCGCCUGUUGCUGCUGUUGUUGUUGUUGCAUCAUCAUCCACGGCUGCUAUUGCGGUUGCUGCUGGUACUGCUGGGUUUGAGACUGAUCAGCUGCCAUGGACUGCGGUGGAGCUACACCUCCUGCUGGGGGUUGUUGCAUCAUACUCGAUAGAUAGAUAGAUAGGGAAGAGAAUCGGGAGAUCUCAGAGAGGAGAGGAAACCCAAGUGGGGAAUUGAAAUUUUAUAAAGAGAGGAUUUUGUUUUAUUGACCAGAGGAUGCUUGUCGGGGUAACACGUGGAGAAUAGGAAUUACGUGGCAGUAAUGGGCUUUUGAUAGGGUAAAUCGAGUAUUCGGCUUGGUAUGGGCUAGAUUGGGCUGAGUUUGGGCUAAAAUUCUUUUUCUUUGUUAAUAAAAAACGUUUCUUAAGGAUGUAAUAAAAAAAGUUUUAAAAAAGAAUUUUUAUAGACAAUUGAAAUUUGGUGUUAAUAAGCAUAGCAAAAUUUUUUGAAAAUUAAGUAAUUAAAUGGAAUUGAAAUUUGAAAAUUAUUAAUAUAUUUUUAUGGUAUAAAAAUUAAUUAUUAUUUUAUUUUAUUCCCUUUAUAAAUUUUAUGACUUAUAAUUAUGAUGAUUUAGUAGAUGUCUGAUAAAUUAUUUCUUAAUCUAUUAAAUAGGAAAAUUUUUUUAUCAUUUCCCUUCGUCUCAUUAUCUUUGUUCUUUAUUGAUUUUUUUGUUAAAUAAACUCUGACUUUGAUCAUUAUUUUUAAAAACAUUGUAAAGUUAUAAAAUUUUGAAUUUUAAACAUUUAAAAUUUUUUUUUGAAUUUUUAAUUUUAUAUAGUAGUCGUUUAAUAUGGUAAGAAAAGUACAACAUGGUAAGAAAAGAAAUUAAAUUGAACUUAAUAAUUCUAAGUGCAUGCAGAAAUGGUCCAAUCCCUUUUUAUAAUUUUUAUUGUAAGCAUUACUUGGUAAAAUUUUCUUCUAUCAAUGAGUAAUUACUUCAUUUUAAAUGCUUUUUGCGAACUUGUUGCCUGGACUUUACUACCAUGGCCAGAUCUUAUAGGUUGGAGUACUAAUCAAACUCUCAAUAUUUCAAUAAAUCACUUAAAACCUUCAUAAAAUAAAAAUCUACUUGGCUUGUAUAGGGAAAUUAAAGUUUAAUUUCUGACGCAGGAGCGUCAAUGAUUGUAUUUUAUUAAAUUUAGUUUUUGCUAAUUUAGUUGAUUUAUGAUUUAUUUUCUUUAUUUUAUUUAAAUUAGGAUUCUUUUCUUAUUUUUAUUUUAAUACUUUUAAGAAUUAGUAUUUGAUUAGGAUAGUUAUGUUCUAUUUAGGAAUAGAACACCUAUUUUAUUUAAAUCUCUUAUUAAUUAUUCUAAUUGUAUUAGAUAACUAGGAGUAGAGUUUUAUUAGGAUUUGGGCCUAUAAUACUAUAAAUAGGACCCUUAGGCUUAGUUACGAGACAUUCAGAAUUGAGAGUUAAUAAAUAAUAUUUUCUUAAGCAGGAGUGCUUAUUUCUCUAGACUCUUUUAAAGGGUAAGAGGUUUUAAUAUCUUUGGCCUAGCCAACCAAAGUGGGAUUUUGGCUAUUUUUCACCUUAGUGGGGUUUUCAACCUUGCCAAGAUUGGUGAUUCACCUUAGUGGGGUUUUCAACCUCGCCACGAUUGGUGUUUUUCAUAACGCCUAGGUGUCUUUACAACGCCCCGGCGUCAAUUUCCCAUGUCUUGAUUUAAAAUAUAGAAAUAAGGAUAAGAAAUAGAAGAAUUUUAAGCUUAUUCUUCUACUAAUUGUGGAUGCAGUGAGAAACAUAACAUUGAUUAGGUAAAUUACUGAAAGCAAGUGAUCCCUUUGCUUGACAACUCUGUGAAGCCAACAUCUUGAUCAACCCAAAGCACAAUAAUUUCAACUACCUGUUUUUUUUUUUUUUUUGUUUAUGUAAAUAAUAAAGAUUAGCACAAGUAAACUACUAAAACUUGAUUAGGACUAGGCAAACAAGUGAGAGAAAUGAAAAUGGAAAGUAGCCUUUGAUCUACCUGUGUUUAGUUAAUGGCUCCAACAUACUCAUUGAUGUUUAAACAUGCCUUUGCAACUUCCCCUGCAAUCAUCUCAUAGUUCUUCCUUGUAAGGUGGUAGCUCACAAAGGCUCUUGCUCCGUCGAAUGGUCUUGGCGUCUUGCUUAACUGGUUGCGGUGUCUUUUUUAAACAAUUGAAACAAGGGAAUGUAAAACAAAAGUAUUAAUGUUACAUGUUAUGAGGGUAAAAGAAAAAAUAGACAUAUUAUAAUUUAUAAGCAUUUUAGGCCACAAAUUCAUUAAAAGUAAUGGAAUCAUUCACUAAAAGUGAUAUUCUAGAUCAAUCUUUUGGUUGCAGUGUACUACUCAAUCAUUUAAGUAAUUUUAGUAAAGACUUUGAAAAAUUAUGUAGUAUAAUAUUAUUAAAGACUAUAAUUGCCUUUGCACAUACUAAAUAAAAUCUUAAACUUAAUUCACAAAUCAACAAUAAAAACUCUUAAUCAUCAAUAACGAUUAUGUUGGGAGGAUAAGGAGAAUGAAUAAGGUAUUUUUAGUUUUUGUGAAUAAUAUUCUUGCAAAAGUCCAUGAAGAUGGCUUCAAAGGAUUUGGGAUCAAUUUGGAAAGGUUGUCAAUACAUUGUAGGGAGAAAUAAAAGCAAAUACAGCUAGAGGUAUCCUUUUAUCAUAUUUGGAUAUUUUAAUAAGGAUAGAAGAGCAGUCCAAAAUUUAAAUGGAGUCUGGCUUCUUAACCAAAGGCUAGAGGUCAAUAUAGCCAGCUAAGGAAGCCAUGAUUCAUUUUGAAGAAGGAAGCAAAAAGGAAGCUUCUGAUGCACCUAGUGUUAACCACAUUAGGAACGGAACCUGCAGUGGGAUUUUGAGACAACUUGGUUUUAUUCAUUAAGCCAUCUUAUGCUCUGUUAUUGAAAGGUGCUUUUGAAAGAGGUGGAGCUUCAAAUGAAGAGAGAGGAGAUGAUUUUCAAUGUCUGAAAAGCAUGGAAAACAUGCUUUGGUUGAAGAUAAGUGCUGUGGUAACAACGUAAUGUAAUUCAGAUCUAGCAAAUUUAAUGGAAUUAUUUAAAAUAGAGGGCAUUUCAGGGCUGCUUAUGAGGAGUUUGUCUCUCAAAGAAUUUCUGCUAACCUUUGAGGAUAAGGAGCUGUUGGAAGAGCUCAAGGAUAAAGGUUGGGAUUGGCUUAACAAAUGGUUUGCUAAGGUGGAAACAUAGUUAGAGAAUUUUUCAUCAAAACUCCUUAACAAGUGGGUGACUGCACAGGAUAUCCUUUUGAUGUGUGAAAUAGGCAUAUUAUAAAUUAUAAGCAUUUUAGGCCAAAUUCAUUAAAAGUGAUAUUCUAGACUAAGUUUUGGUUGUAGUGUCAUUCUCAAUCAUUUAAGUAAUUUAAAGACUUUGAAGAUCAUGCCUUAAAAUAGACAAGACUAAAGUUUUCAGGGUGUAUACCUCUGUUUUGGCGUGCACAUAUUCCUUUGUAUCUAUGAAGAAACCUGUAGUCAUCUUGGGACAUCCUUCUACUCUCAAAUCAUCCAAAGCUGAUAAUACAAAGUGAUAUCCCCUUGGGCAGAAGUCAACGAGGCUUGGCAGUUCUUCAAGUGAUAAACUGUAUAGUUGAUCAAACUUUAUCUCCUUUUCAGUUGUUGCUUCUGCUUCAUCUUCAAGUUCAAAUACUUGCUCCAAUUUAGAGUUCCCUUUAACCCAUAACGUAACAAGAUUUGGAAGACAACGAGCAGAUCCAAGAGGAAAGAGUCGUUUCAACUUUUUGCAAUAUAGAACAAAAAUUUUGGUCAAAUUAGGAAAGCUUAUAGGUUGGAGAUCACCAUCUGAUGAUGAACAAACUUGAUCCUCAGCAAUGAUUUGGUCCAAUUCAUCACAAUUUUGUAUUUCUAGAUUGACCAACCGUGAUAAACUUUGAGCAGUUGUAGGUGAAAAUAUGUAUCUUAGCCUCUUACAAUCAAUCACCUUCAAAAUUGUAAGGUUCUCAAGAGUUACAACCUGAGCGACAUCCUUCCAUAUAAUCCACUUUUCAGAUAAAUCCUCCAGGAGGAGUUUCUUUAUACGCCCAUGAACUUGGAAUACUUCUUCAUGACUCCCAACUGCUAUAUAUUCUUGAUUGCAGUUGGCUGAAAUACGCAAUUGAAAGCUAUUCACCAACAUAGAGAGAUAUAAUUCCUGCAAAUACAGACACCACUAAAUGUCACUGAAUAAGUUCCUUUUCUAUUAGAUUGGGAAUAGAUGAGCAAAUAUUACUCAUAAUUUUUUAGAUGCCGAUUCACAAAAAAUCCCUACAUUUUUAAUGAUAGGACAUUUAUAUGUUUCAAAAUUUAAAUCCAAAAUUUUCAUGAAAUGCUCUGAAAGUGGAAUCCAAAAACAUCUACCCUCUUUCAAGUUUUCUCUGUUAAUUUUUAAAAUAAAACCAUUUAUGGUUUUCCUUGUCUUGUGUUUUUUUCUUUGUCAUUUUUUCUUUAAGCAUGUUGUUUUGAAAAGUAUAGAUAAAGUGGUAAAGUGUUAAUUUUUUUUAAUUUACCUAAAUUACAUAAAAAAAACAUAAAAGAAACGAACCCCCCGGAAAGCCUAACUUUCUCAAUCUGUUUCUCUUGUCUGCAACAGAAAGUAGAAACACUUUGAAUAAAAAAAAAGGGAACUCAUGGCCAAGAAGAAAAAGAAAACUUAAAUUGAAGAAGAAAGAGAAAAUUCGAAUCAAAGAAAGCAAGAGAAACUAGAAUCGAAGAAGAAAAAGGAAGCUUGAACAAGAAAAAAAGCAAGAUUUGUCGUCGUGAAGAAAAAAUAUGAUGAACCUCAAUUCAGAAACAAGGACAAGGAAACCCCAAAGAUCCCCACAAACAAAUUAAAAUUUGUUUUUCAAAAUAAAUAGUAUAAAAUUUUUGUGCUGCAAUUUUAAAAUAUAAUUGGAUUAGUUUGUGAGUGUUGAAAAAAAGAUUUAGCUCAAAGGCAAAAUCCAAAACCAUAAUUGAAGGAAAAGUGUAUAAAGAAAUACCUCUAGCUGAAUUUGCUCAUUAACUUCUUUUUGAAUAGUGAAAUUUCUCAAUUUAGGACAGUUGCAAACUUUCAACUUCUCCAAGGAUGGUGAUGAGAUGAGAAAGUUUUCCGAACUCAAAUUUAUCAAGUUUACAAGUUGAAAAUCUUGUAGGCAAGGGAGUCCAAUGGCACGAUGAGUUGGCCUUUUCCAUAUGCUCUUCAAUGUUGGUAAUGACUGUAGCUCCAACCUUCUUAAAUUUGAGAGUGGUACUGCCUGAUUUACCUCACAUAAAAAAAAUAUAAAAUUUAUUAAUUAAUAAAUAAUGAAAAUGAAUUGUUUAUACUUGAUCUUAAUUACUGAGAAGAAAUACAUUUUGUUAAAAAAAAGUAGAAAGAAGUAUUAAAAGUUAAUAAUUUAGAAAGAUUAGAUAGUAAUUAUUUAUAUAUUUGAUAAUUCAAAAAAAAUCAUUAGAAAAACAAUAUACGAGACCAUUAUUAAAGGAAAAAUGAAGAGAUAAGAGGUACCUCUAGCUCAGCCAUCUCUUUGUCAAAAGCAAAGACUUGCUUUAAUUUUUUGCAUUAAGAUAUCUCAAGUGUUUCUAGAUGCAACAGACUUUGAACAAGGUAAGGUGAGAAGAUAGAUUUUAGUUUAUCACAACCAUCAAUUGUUACUUCCUUCAGACUUUGUAGCCUUACAUGAUGAGUUGGCCCUUUCCAUAUGCUCUCCAAUGCUGGUAAUGACUGCAAUUCCAACCUUCUUAAAUUUGAGAGUGGUACUGCCUGUUUUACCUCAUAUAAAGAAAAAUAUAAAAUUUAUUAAUUAAUAAAUAAUGAAAAUGAGUUCUUUAUACUUGAUCUUAAUUACUGAGAAGAAAUACAUUUUGUUAAAAAAAAGUAUUAAAAGUUAAUAAUUUAGAAAGAUUAGAUAGUAAUUAUUUAUAUAUUUGAUAAUUCAAAAAAAUCAUUAGAAAAACAAUAUACGAGAGCAUUAUUAAAAGAAAAAUGGAGAGAUAAGAGGUACCUCUAGCUCAGCCAUUUCUUUGUCAAAAGCAAAGACUUGCUCUAAUUUUUCGCAUUUAGAUAUCUCAAGUGUUUCUAGAUGCAACAGACUUUGAACAAGGUAAGGUGAGAAGAUAGAUUUCAGUUUAUCACAACCAUCAAUUGUUACUUCCUUCAGACUUUGUAGCCUUACAUGAUGAGUUGGCCCUUUCCAUAUGCUCUCCAAUGCUGGUAAUGACUGUAGUUUCAACCUUCUUAAAUUUGAGAGUGGUACUACCUGUUUUACCUCAUAUAAAGAAAAAUAUAAAAUUUAUUAAUUAAUAAAUAAUGAAAAUGAGUUCUUUAUACUUGAUCUUAAUUACUGAGUAGAAAUGCAUUUUGUUAAAAAAAAGUAAAAAGAAGUAUUAAAAGUUAAUAAUUUAGAAAGAUUAGAUAUUAAUUAUUUAUAUAUUUGAUAAUUCAAAAAAAUCAUUAGAAAAACAAUAUACGAGAGCAUUAUUAAAAGAAAAAUGGAGAGAUAAGAGGUACCUCUGGGUCAGCCAUUUCUUUGUCAAAAGCAAAGACUUGCUCUAAUUUUUCGCAUUUAGAUAUCUCGAGUGUUUCUAGAUGCAACAGACUUUGAACAAGGUAAGGUGAGAAGACAGAUUUUAGUUUAUCACAACUAUCAAUUGUUACUUCCUUCAGACUUUGUAACCUUAUAUGAUGAGUUGGCUCUUUCCAUAUAUUCUCUAAUGCUGGCAACGACAUCAACUUCAAACUUCUUAAAUUGGAGAUUGUGCGCGUCAGACUUUCUUCCUUUCCAAAAAGCCAAUUCAUUUGAAACACUGAUUGCAACUGCUUACAAUCGACAAUGCUCAAUGUUUCUAACUUUUCUAAGAAGCUAGUCGGUGAUUGACCAUGGCACAACUCUUUCAAAGAAGUCAUGAAUCUAAUGUGUAAGUUCACCAAAUUAGAGAAUGCAGUGGUUGGACUUUGUUCUCGUGUUGUAUCGAUCAAGCAUUCCAGAUGAGUGCAAAAUGAAAGCUCAAGAGAAGUUAAUUCCUUUAGUCCACGCUGAUCUACAUUUGGGACAAUAUUUUUGUAUUCCAUUGGGACUUGGGACAGAGUAAGAUCUUCAACAUUGCAAAACAGCUCCUUAAAUGCAUUUAAUGAGGAUGAGAAAUGCUUAAUUCUCAAGGUUCUCAAGCGCAGCCCCGCCAAAUCUUGAAUAUAGUCAUUUACAGCUAUAUUGUAGCUUUGUAGUUUAGGGAACACAAAGUUUUCCUGAGAACAUUGAUGAGUAGAAACUUUAAGUGUUAAUGCAGUCAAACCAAACAAAGAAUUCAGCUCCAAUAAGUUAGCAUUGUUUCUACUUGUCACGUGUAGCUCUUGGAGUGAGGCCAACCUGUUACAAAAAAAUACAAAAUGUUAUUAAUGCAAUAAUAGCACUUUCAACCGAAUGAUAAAAAUAGCAAGGUAAUGAAAUGAAUAAGAUAACAUUAACUUUUUUAUUUCUUCAUUCUUAAAGCUACUUUUGUACUACAGGUUGCAAUGUUUCAUAAUAAUAGGAGUGACUAAAAGCUCAUGCUAGAUAUAUAUAUAUGUUUGUGAUAGUCAAAAUCAAAUAAAGUAAAUAAUAAAAAAUAAAUAAUUUAAAAAUUAAAUACUUAAUUGAAAACAAUAAACUAAACAAUUUUACCUUGAUAGCAAGUUAAGGGGGAAAUAGCUUAACGACACUCCACUGUAAGAAAUAUAUAGUGAUUUUAGUUUAUGCAAUCCCACUAUUUCUUUUGGUGGCCCAUAAAUAUUAGUCUUUAGCAAUGCCAAAAUCUCAAGGUUUUCCACAUUCUUCAAUGAUGAGAUGUUCUCAAGCUCGCAAUUUAUAAUGCACAGAGUUCGAAGAUUUGUCAAGAAUUUAAGUGCUUCCAGUGUGAGUACAACAUCUUGGAGAAGUAAAACUCGGAGGGUUGUCAUUCUUUCAAAAAAGGCACACGAAACUCUCAAUGAAUUCUUUCCUUUGAAAAACAAAGUCUUGAGUUUUGAAAAUUCCACUUUGUUAGGAAGAUGAUUGAUCUCAAUGUUCCACAAGGAGAUUGCCGUAUAACAUCCAAACCUUUCACUCAUAUGCCAUUCCGUCAACCCAUCUUUUACCAUGAAUAUAUUUUCCCCUCUCGAUGUUAUCCAAUGAGCAAAAUCACGAAUCACAUCAUGCAUUUUUACAUGGUCUUUAUCAUUAGCUUCCAAUAAUAAACCAGACUUUUGGAGUUUUGAUAGUGCCAGAUGAAUUUCCCUCCUUAAGUCUUCCAUUAAGUAAAUAUUAUUGAACAAUCCCUGACCAAUUCCGCAUAUAAUCAACAAUUCAAUACUAAUCUCAUAAUCUUCUGGAAAAAGGGAACACAACAAGAAACAUUGCUUGAUAUUAUCUUGAUCCAAAUAAUCAUAACUAAGCUUAAGACAUCUAUAGAUAUGUCCACAAACAUGUUCAUUAUCCAAAUGUCUUGAGCUCUUGAGUCUUUUAUUUGCUGCUAUCCACGCAUCUAGACUUUCGCCUUUUAGAGCCUUUGCCACAGUUACAAUUGCAAGAGGCAAACAGCCACAUUCACGAGCAACCUCCUUCGCUACAUUCAAGGUGGGAGAGUCAUCUUUCAGACCAGCUUUAUCUUUGAAUAAAACCCAUGCUUCAUGUUCAGAUAAAAUGUUCAGCUUAAAUUCCUCUUCACAAUCCAUUUUACAACAAACUUGUUGAUCACGUGUAGUUAAAAGAAUUUUGCAACCCUCGUGUUCACCACCGAAUGGAAUUCCUAUAAUUUGCAAUUCAAGUUCCUUCCAAACAUCAUCGAGAAUUAUGAGAAUCUUAUUCUCGCCUUUUAAUCUUCGCCAUAACUCUUCUGCUUUUCCUUUUUCUGUACUGGCUUCAAAUUUUAAACCAAAGAGUUCUGCAAUCCUUGCCCGAAUUUCGUUGAGGUUUGGAGUUUGGGAUACUGUAACACUCACAACCUUAUCAAAAAGCUUUUGUUCUGUAGCUUGCUUCAGCACUACAUCCGCCAAAGUUGUUUUACCCACUCCUGGCAUGCCGUACAAUCCAAUUAUUGUCACACCAUCACUUUUUAAAGCCUUCAUGAUUCCAUUGAAAGCUAACAUUGAAGAUUCAGAACGCAUGAAAUCCUUGGGUAGUAAGAGCUCUAUUCCUUGAAGAGGAGGACGAUGGCCAACUCGUGGAAAGUUACAAACCUCUAAAAGUUUAGAGAUAGAAAGUGUCUUCUUCGCUACUUUCUUGCUUAAGCAGUAUCGCCAGCCGCAACUAGGACACCAAUUGAAACACUUGUUACGUUCUAUUUCUUCUUCCAAACUCUGAGCUUCAUCCAAUUCUUUCUCUGCCUUUGUUAGCCACUCCUCAACGCCCUUCUUAAUUACCUCAGUUUGCCUUAAAGCCUCAUCGACAGCAUCUUUCACCUCAUCUCUUUUUGAUUUAAGUUCAUUUCGCCGGUUCUUGAAAUCUUCAACAAUUUUGCCAAAACGAAAAAAGUAGCCAACAUAAGGUGAUGCGUAUUCUGUUGCCAGGUUCCCAACGCAAUUGGCAAUAGCAGAGGUAACACAAUCAAGAGCCAUUCUUUGAUGAUCUGAGACUCAAACAAUUUGGAAAAGUAAAAAGUAUUGCAAAUAUCUCUCAAGCUGAUUAAGAUGAAAGAAUUACUUAAUUUGAAAACAGAAAACAAAUAAACCAAAGAAGAAAAAGAUGAAGAUUUACGUACCAAGGAAAUCUACAGAUGAACUUUCAGGAGCCAAGACGGAGCAGCUUCUAUUUUGAUCUAACCAAGCUCACCAACUCGGUGAAGGUUUUUUUUUUUUUUUUUAAAGUUCAAAGAAAACUGAAGCAGAAAUGAACUUUGCACUGCAACAAUCAGAAGAUCAAGGAAUUAAAAAAAAACAGACUUUCACUUAUCAUCUUUUUAGUUCUGCUUCUGUUACAAAUGAACAAAGGAAACCAGAAAAAGCAAAGUAAACAGAGCACUCUUAAGGCAAGAAUUUUUUUUUUUUAAAGUAUCGCCUUUCUUUCCCUAAAGCAAAGAGGUGAGCUUACAAAAAAGAAAUUAAUAGUGGAGAAGGUACUGAAAUCUUUUCUUGGAACUUACCUCUGUAUUCUCAACAAUUGAAUGUGAAAGGGUAAGAGACAAACACAAAGUUUCUAGCUCUCUUCUUCACACAAAUGCCAUGGGUGGAGUGUAACUGUAUAAGAUCAAAAGAGUUAAUUUGGACAUAGAAAAUAAUUAAGUGCCAAUUUUGCAGGUAAAGUUUGCAAAUGUAUACUCAAUUGCAAAAACCAAGACAAAAAUAAGCCAUGGAAGAAAAUGAUGCACAUGUAUACCAAUGAAAGAUGAAGUUUAAGGAGCCAAAGCCAAGCUUUUCUAUAUUGGUCGAAGAAAACUUAAGUAGAAAUUAAGUUUGUACUACAAUAACAAAAGGCCACUCGCAGAGGGAAUUAAGAAACAACAAACAUUUGUCAACCUAAGAUCAAAAGAACAACUUAAUUUGAAAACAGAAAAUAUGUGUCAAUGCAUCUAAACCUGCAAAUAUCUAUUCUCAAAUCUAAAACCACAGAAGAAAAGGAUGAACAUUUACAUACCAAAGGAAAUAUACAUGAACUUUGAGGUGGCAAGACGGAGCUUCUAUUUUGAUCCAGCCAAAAUAUAUCACAGACACUGACAAAGUCGGUGAAGUUUUUUUCCUUUUUUUUUUUUUUGAGUUCAAAGAAAACUGUAGUAGAUAUAAUAAACUUUUGCACUGCAAUGAUCAGAAGGCUAGGAAAUUAAAAAAACAAAAAGACUUUCACUUAUCUUCUUUAGAAUGCAUGCAGAUUAUAAUUCUGCUUCUGAUAAGAAAAGCAGUAGGUGAACAUAGAAAGUAGAAACUCUUAAGGCAAAGACUUGUUUUCUUUGGAAUCUCUUUUUCUUUUUAUUGUUACUAUUUUUUUCUUGUUCAAAUGCUAAGCGAAGACAAGUGCCCAACGUCUUUUGCCUUAUCAUUGACUAAUUCUCUCUCAGACGGAUUAGAAAAGAAAAAGAGAAAAGGACGGAGUCAUGGAGAUGCUCUGCUGGUUGGCUUUCCAGGAAGGGUUAUGGAAAGAGGAUGGGACUUGCGAGGAUGUUAGUGUAUAGAAUAUUUUUGAAUGAAAAACAUGAACUCAGUGUUAUUUAUGAUUAUUUUGUAAUUGAGCAUUACUUGGUAAAUUCUCUUUUUAUAAUGACUAAUGACCUACUUUUCAAAAGCUUAGCCUGCCCAAAUCUUUUAAGUUGGACGUAGCAAAUAAUUUAGUUUUAAUCUUGGGUGUAAAGUUUGCAGAUGUAUACUCAAAUGCAAAAACCAAGAGCCAUAGAAGAAAAUGAUGCACAUAUAUUUUGGAUGAAUUACAAUAAUCAAAGAAACAAGUGGAAAUCAAGUUUGCACUACAAUAAUCAGAAGCCCAAUGGCAGAGGUGAUUAAGCAACAACAGUUUAUUCUUCUUCGGCUAGCGAAAACACUUGAAUACAGGAGAGAAAAUUUUGAAUACAUGAUGUGAUCCUUCUAUUAUUGUCCUUUCUAUUUUUGUCAUUUUGCAAUCAUUUUUCCCUUGAGAUCCAUUUAUUUCUCACCGACUUGCUUCCUCUGUUUAAUGGCUUUCAUGGAAAAAUACUUUACCAUAUAUAGUACAAGGGAAGAGAGCUUCCCGGAGCUUUCAUAUAGAUUUUUGUCCCUUUUAUUUACUCCAAUUCCCCCUUUAAUGGUUACUUACUCCCUAUUGAUGAAAAGACGAGACAGACUCACGGCUUUUUCUCUGUCAUUGAUGCUUAGUUAGAAUGACUAAUGGAUGGCUUCCAAUUAUGUUGCCUAUUUUCGUAAUUUUCUGAUCUACCUGGUUGGUUUAAUGGAUUUCAUGUUAAAACACUUGCACUAUUUAUUUUAUUGUUGAGCUUAACUUUUGUGAUCAAAUUAUGCCCCCAAUGGAUUUAAAAAUAUUAUUUGAUGAAUGUACAAAAAUAGGUAGCGAUGAACAUAUAGCAUGUUACUAUUGACUACUGAGAUUGUAAUCAAUUAUUGUGAUAAAAUAUUAUAACUGAAAACGAACGGACAAUAAUCUGAAAAGCCAGUAGUUUCAACCGAAUGAUAAAAUAUUACAAACAAACAAAUAGCAAAAUAUUACAAACAAAUACAAAAUGUUAUUAAUGCAAUAAUAGCACUUUCAACCGAAUGAUAAAAGUAGCAAGGUAAUGAAAUGAAUAAGAUAACAUAAACUUUUUUAUUUCUUCAUUCUUAAAGCUACUUUUAUACUACGGGUUGCAAUGUUUCAUAAUAAUAGGAGUGACCAAAAGCUCAUGCUAGAUAUAUAUAUGUUUGUGAUAGUCAAAAUCAAAUAAAGUAAAUAAAAAGAAAAAAGAUAAAAUAAAUUAUUUAAAAAUUAAAUACUUAAUUGAAAACAAUAAAAUAAACAGUUUUACCUUGAUAGCAAGUUAAGGGGAAAUAGCUUAACCGCACUCUACUGUAAGAAAUAUAUAGUGAUUUUAGUUUAUGCAAUCCCACUAUUUCUUUUGGUGGCCCAUAAAUAUUAGUCUUCAGCAAUGCCAAAAUCUCAAGGUUUUCCACAUUCCUCAAUGAUGAGAUGUUCUCAAGCUCGCAAUUUAUAAUGCAUAGAGUUCAAAGAUUUGUCAAGAAUUGAAGUGCUUCCAGUGUGAGUACAACAUCUUGAAGAAGUAAAACUCGGAGGGUUGUCAUUCUUUCAAAAAAUCCACACGAAACUCUCAAUGAAAUCUUUAUUUUGAAAAACAAAGUCCUGAGUUUUGAAAAUUUCACUUUAUUAAGAAGAUGAUUGAUUUCAAUGUUCUAUAAGGAGAUUGCUGUAUAACAUCCAAACCUUUCACUCAUAGGCCAUUCCAUCAACCCAUCUUUUACCAUGAAUAUAUUUUCCCCUCUGGAUGUUAUCCAAUGAGCAAAAUCACGAAUCACAUCAUGCAUUUUUACAUGCUCUUUAUCAUUAGCUUCCAAUAAUAAACCAGACUUUUGGAGUUUUGAUAGUGCUAGAUGAAUUUCCCUCCUUAAGUCUUCCAUUAAGUAAUUAUUAUUGAACAAUUCCUGACCAAUUCCACAUAUAGUUAACAACUCAACACUAAUCUCAUAAUCUUCUGGAAAAAGGGAACACAACAAGAAACAUGACUGGAUAUUGUCUUCCUUCAAAUAAUCAUAACUAAGCUUAAGGCAGCUAUAGAUACCUCCGCAAACAUCUUGAUUAUCCAAAUGUCUUGAGCUUUUGAGUCGUCUAUUUGCUGCUAUCCAUCCAUCUAGAUUUUCACCUUUUAGAGCGUUUGCCACAGUUACAAUUGCAAGGGGCAAACCGCCACAUUCAUGAGCAACCUCUUGUGCUACAUUCAAGGUGGAAGAGUCAUCUUUUAGAGCAGCUUUAUCUUUGAAUAAAGCCCAUGCUUCAUCUUCAGAUAGAAUGCUCAGUUUAAAUUCCUUUUAACAAUCCAUUUGACUGCAGACUUGUUGAAGACGUGCAGUGAGAAGAAUUUUGCAACCUUCGUGUUCACCACCAAAUGGAAUUCCUAUAGUCUGCAAUUCAAGUUUUUUCCAAACAUCAUCGAGAAUUAUGAGAAUCUUCUUCUCGCCUUUUAAUCUCCGCCAUAACUCUUCUGCUUUUCCUUUUUCUGUUCUGGCUUCAAAUUUUAAAUCAAAGAGUUCUGCAAUCCUUUCUCUCUCGAAUUUCGUUGAAGUUUGGAGUUUGGGACACUGUAACACUCAAGUAGAAAUCAAGUUUGUACUGCAAUAACCAGAAGCCCACUAGAAGAGGGAAUUAAGAAACAACAAAUAUCUAUUCAAAUAUCCAAGAUGAAAAGAAUAACUUAAUUUGAAAAUAGAAAAUAUGUGUCAAAGCAUCUAAACUUUCAAAUAUCUAUUCAAAUGUAAAACCAAGACAAAUAAACCGCAGAAGAAGAGGAUGAACAUUUACAUAACGAAGGAAAUAUACAUGAACUUUGAGGAGUCAUGGAGAUGACUAAUCAUUGACUAGUUCUCUCUCAGACAGAUUAGAAAAGAAAAAAAGAGAAAAAAGAAAAGGAUGGAGUCAUGGAGAUGCGCUGCUAAGGACCCUGCUGUUUGGCUUUCCAGAAAGUGUUAUGAAAGAGGAUGGAAAUCUAUCUUCUUGGUUUAGUUUCUUUUAUCCUUUGCUUUCAUGAUCUUAUCUUUUACUAUUUUAUAAGCUUUUGAAUAUUAAAAGUUAUGAAUGAAAUAAUUUUUACAAAUAAUUCUAAAUUUGUUAUAAAUAAUUCUAAAUUUGUGGAGAGUAAUUGAUAGAAGUGGCCAUUUUUUAUGGAAUUCAAGGAAAGUGACUUCACAACUUCUAUCAUGACUUUGCAUUGACUUAUGCUAAUGAAGCAUAGUAUUCUCUAAACCAAAUUCACCAUCAUUUUAAAAGCAAGUUCACACCUUCAAUUCAAUUUUUUUUUUGGUCUUACGUCUCCUUUUCUUAAUCAGUAUUUUCCUGGUGUUAUGCAUUCUCGCUGUCAUUUCCUGUCUUCUUUUUGCUUACCCUUCUAUUUUGCUUCAAACAAAUUUUUUUUUUUCAAUUUGUCGUUAAUUAAGAGGAUAAAGAUUGCCAAUGGGACAUAGACAGCAUUGCUAUCAAAGCUUUUCAAUUAUUGAUCUGAUCUCUUUAUUAUUGUCUUUUAGAUUUUUGUCAUUUUGCAAUCAUUUUUCCCUUGGAGGUCCAUUUAUUUCUGAGUUUCUUGCUAGGUCGGUUUAAUGGCUUUCAUGGAAAAAUACUUGCACUUUAUAUUUUAUUUUUUGGACUAAAUUCUGUGUUUAAGGGAUUGAAGCUUUACACUUUGUUUAACACAAGAAAAAAUGCCGAAACACAUUAAAUGAUUCAUAUAGUGCAAGGAUCACGUUUUGCUUGGGGAGAAGUAGAGGUUCAAGGUACAUCUCUACUUUUUGAACAAUCAUUUACGGAUCGUUAGGAAUGUUUUCCUACAUGGCUGAUAAUCUAAUACAAGAAAGAAGAUCAUCUAAGACUAAUUUGUUCUAAUCAAAACUAUUUUGAGUUAAUUUCCACUAGAAAAAUUAAGAGCUUCAAGGAGAAACCUGACCCAUCAAACUUGAUUUGGAUUCAAAAAUGGUUUGGAAUUGAUCAGUGUAUUAAUAUAUUAUAAGCUGUUAUGAAAAUUGUGCAAAAAAUAAUAAAGAUAAAACUCAGAGAAAUCAAGCAAAUAGAAAAACAUAAGAAUUUAUGUGGUUUGCCUUCUUGCUUAUGUCCAUGGAGUAAAACCGUUCUUCUAUUAUUGAGAAAUUAAAGUACAAUAAAUUAACUUCUAUGGUUUCUCAAACCAACCCAAGAUCCCUUGCACACCAUUUUUCAAUAACUUCCUAAGAACACUCACCCAAACCACUUUAGCUCCACCUAGAACAAAAGACAGAGUUACAAGGUGUUUCCUCCCUAGAGCUCUUAAAGCACUACUCACUAUUUUAAAGCCUAGAAAUCCACCUUUAUAAUAUAGAAAUCAAAAGUAUAAUAGGAUUAGGACUCAAUGUGGAAUAAAAAGUUUAAAACCAUACAACUACUCAAUGUUGUACACAAAUAAAAAUCCUAAUCAAAUAAGAUUUAGAAUUCUAGGGAACCUAAAACUCAAAAAAUCUCCACCUUUGACUUGAAUUCAAACUCCUUAAGUCUCUUCCGCUAGUUGCACCCAAUUGUAACUUUCUAACUCCACCUACUUUCCAACACUUUGAACAACUCUCCAAGAACAAGACUUUCCAAACCACCAGCCUUCAAAAUUAUCACAACUACACAUACCAAAUCAAGCAUGGUCCAACACUCGAUUCUAUAGAACGACCAAUGCACCUAUGUAGUCGUCAAGUCAAUGACAGUAAUUGACUUCAGAAAGGAUCUCGACAACCCUUCUAAUUCACUAUUGACAAGAUUUUUCAUCCUUUCACCAUCGUCUACACCAUGGGAAACUUUCAUCACCUCCUCAGCAAAUGAAACUCAUUUUGGUAGCUACCAUCUUCUAUGCACUGUUCUCAUCCCUUCGAGGCCUCAUAUUCUAGACGAUGCAAACCAUUAUGUAAAUUCACCCUCAUCAGGACCAUGUCGUCUUGUGUCACUUUUACCAUCCCAUCAAAAGUAGAAUAUCCAUACCUUUAUGAGUGUAACAAGCUCAAUGAUAUUAGAUUCUUAAACAUCCUUGGGAUAUAGGCCACGCCAUCCAAUGAGUGCAUGACCCUAUCAAACAUUUUGAUAUUCACCACUCCAAGACAAAUGACCUUCACUAUUAACUUAUUGUCCAAAGUCAAAUUCCCAGCUACCCCUUCUUGAAGUAAAUCAAAAUAAUCCUUUUGAUAGCAGAUAUGAGUGCCUAAAGCAAAAUCUAAAUACCAAUAAAAAUUUGCAUCCAUAUUUCUUGAGAUUACAAGGACAUUACAAUCAUCACCUUCAACAACGAAAGCACACUCACCUUUGUUCUCGUCACUUUCAUCCCCUUUUGUAAGAAAAUCCCUUUUAAUAUGUCUAUACCCUUUACAUUGAAAGCACUGAACAUUGCUGGAUCUAGACUUGCCACCUUUAAAUCCCAUGCCAAUUGAUUUACUCCUAUGAACCUCAGUUACCAAUGCCAAGCCACUUGAAUCUCUAUCCCUUUUCUUAUUUUUUUUUCGAGCUUCACAAGACAUUAAUAUUGCUUGUGCUUGUUCUAUCGUUAUUGUAUCUAUCACACAUAUAAAAGAUUCCACAAAUACCUCAUAUGAGUCUGGGAUUGAUACUAGGGACAAUAGUGUGUUUUCCUCUUCCUCCACCUUCACAUUAACCUUAUUCAACUGAUUAAUGAUCCCAUCGAAUUCAUUCAUAUGCUUCAUGAGAUCUCUAUUCUCCUCCAUCUUUAAGCUAUACAACUUUUGCCUAAACUGCAACUUGUUGGAAAUACUUUUCACCAAGAAAAUCUUCUCCAACUUUGGCCACAAUCUUGGAGCAGAAUCCUCAUCAAUAAUAUGGCUAAACACAUUAUCUUCAAUGCAAAGUCGAAUAGUGCUCACACACUUUGCUCCAACUCUGCUUAUUCAACACCUUUCAUGUCAUCUAGUUACCCUUCCUCUUUUCCUAGAAAGGGGUGCAUCAAACCUUGCUGUAUAAGAAGAUCUUUCAUUUUUCUCUGCCACUGUGUGAAACUAGUCUUCCCAUCAAACUCGAUUGAAAAUUUACAGAACUAGUAACUUUUGACAUCCUUAUUGAAUCUUCAAUUUAUUGAACCCAAAGCUCUGAUACCAGUUUGUUAUAAAAAUUGCCCAAAAAAUGAUAAAGAUAAAACCUAGAGAAAUCGAGCAAAUAGAAAAACACAAAAAUUUACUUGGUUCGGCUUCUUGCUUAUGUCCAUGGAGUGAAACUGUUAUUCUAUUAUUGAGAAAUUAAAGUGCAAUCAAUAGACCACUAUGGUUUCCCAAACCAACCCAAGAUCCCUUGCACACUCUUUCUCAAUAACCUCCUAUGAACACUCAUCCAAACCUCUUUAACUCCACCAAAACAAAAGACAAAGUUAUAACGUGUUCCCUCCCUAGAGCUCUUAAAGCACUACUCACUAUUCUAAGGUAUAGAGACCUACUUUUAUAAUAUAAAAGUCCAAAGUAGAAUGAGAAUAUGACUCGAUGUGCAACAAGAAAUUUAAAACCAUACAACUAUUCAAUGAUGUACACAAACAAAAAUUCUAAUCAAAUAAAAUUUGAAAUUCUAGUCAACCUAAAACUCAACAUAAACAACUUUAAUAACCAAGGCUAAUGUGACAAAUUCUAUGCAAUAAUAAAGUUUACACAAUCUCUCCUUAGAAUUUUAUUCUUUUUCUUUAUCAAAAAAUAUGCCUCCUCCUGAUCCUUGUAUCUGUAACAUUAUUUGAUUGGGAGGGUAAAAGAAAAUGAAUCCCCAAUUUUCCCCUUCCUUCUUCUCUUCCCCGUAGAACAUGUGAUAGUGGUUCUACAUUCAGAAAAGCUAAGCUAAAAAUUUUUAAAAAACCAUUUGGAGAUAACACACUUUAUUAUGGAUAUCUCCAUUUUCACUUGUUUCUUUUGAGAAAAGAAAAUUUUUUAGUUGUAUUUAAGAGAGUCUUGUCAGUUGUUUUUCUCCUUGUCAAUUCUUUUGCUUUCAUCUUGAAAGAAUUGAAUCCAACACGAAAGCUCACUUUAACCAAAAAGGGAGAUAUCCGGAGCUUUUUCACAAAUUUUUGAAGAAGUAUUUUGAUUAAUUCUCUCCCGAAAAAAAAAAAGAAGGAAGAUUCUCUGUUAAAGGAAAUUUUAAUUAAUGCAAAAUUAGCUUCAUGUUUGUGAUCUUAAACAUAAUAACAUUUUUUCCAUAAAAUUUAUAAAUCAAUUGAAAACAAAAAAGAAGAAGAAAAGAUCAGCAAGCUUCCUUUGGAUUACUUUAACGAAGCAUAAAUUUCUUUGGGUUUGGGGUAGUUAUGACGUGCUAAAGGUUCUCUGAGAUUUCAUUUUUCUCUGUACAGCACAGAUCUUAGGUUAAGAGUAGAGAGCUUACUUUUGUUUCUUGCUCAGCUUAGGGAAGGAACUGCUACCAUUUUCGCCAGGCAGUUCUCUUGCUAUUUUGUACUUCCCUUAUGCACAAGCCUCUUUAUUAUGCCGACGAAAGUCUUUAGCAAAGUGUCGAAGACUUUGGAUGGUACGAAGACUUGCUGUUAAUAAAACCAUUUUUCAAGAAAAAAAACGAAACAUAAAUUUUCCUUAAACAAAAUUGAUCAUGAAAGAACAGACGUUGAAAAACAUAAUCAUGGGAUGAUCAUGAAUUCCAAAACUGAUGAUGAUUUGUAUUUUUUUUCCUUUCUCUUUUUUAUUAUUUUUAUUUUUUUCCAUCUUUUCCAUUUUUUUAAUUUUAAUUUAUAUAUAUUUUUUUUCUUAAUUUUUUUCUUUGUUUUUCUUUACACAAAAAAACAAAGUUUCUAUUAAAAAAACUUAACACAUCAUACAUCGAGAGACCACGUGAAACGUAAACUUACUCACAACAAGAAAAUCAUUCCUCUCUUUUGUAUAAUUUCUUGAUGCUAUGAACAUCUAAAUUUACCCUUUGUUUGAAUAAACGUGGAAGCCAUCGACACAACUCUGCAAAUCCAGGAGGAAAACACGUUCAUUAGAUUUUCUUAAAUUAAUUCAGGAUUGGGCGGAACACAAUGGAUCAAAAGAGAAUUGAAAAUAAGAGGAAAAAUAAGAAAAGAAAAACUGGAUAUGCAACGCAACACAAAUGAAGAGAAAAAUCAGAACAAAAAAUACUUAUGAAUGGAUGUGGAAACUCAUAAGUGAAAAGAAAGGAAAAUCAAAAUGCUCAGUUAAAUUGAAGUACCAGAAGAUUGGAGCAUUUUCGUCAAUGUUAGUGUUUGGUUAGUACAGUAAUAGUUUAUCCAAAAGGUUAAUCUUCACCUGUGAAAAGCGCAGUAAUUUUAAGCAACUGUUCUUUUUAUGGAAAUUAUUGGUUUUCUAAUAAUGAGCAAUGAUGUACCUCAUUGUUGCCUGGCUAAGUCAUAAUGGACAAACUCUAGUGAACAAAAAAUUCUUCCCGCGGCAGCUUUCUAGUUCAUACACAUGGUGCAGUGAUGGGUGUUGUUUCUUGGGCUGGAAAUGACUUUUAUGUAUGGGAUGAAUAGAAUAUAACACCUCCAACUUUCAUAUUCAAACACUGAACAAAUAAUGGAACAAAAUCAAAAUUCACAUUUUGCUUAAGAAAAAGAAAAAUAAAGGAAAGAAAGAGAAGUCAAUUUGGAUUUGGAUAACUUAUGGUUAUGAUGAUUUAGGGAGUGUCACUAACAAAUCUUUUCUCGAUCCGAUUGAUGGGCCAGAAGAAACCAAAAGAGAGAAAAGGAUGGAGUCAUGGAGAUGCUCUGUUAAGGUCCCUUGGUUGGCUUUCCAGGAAGUGUUAUGGCAAGAGGAUGGGACUUGCGAGGCUGUAAAUGUAUAGGAAAUUUUCCAACUAACCACAAUUGUUCAAAUUCUGCUUCAAAUCUUUUUUAUUUUUAUUAUUUUCUUUUUUGUGCUCCUACCAUUUGAGAAGAAAAUUGAUCCAUUAUUAUGAAGACUUCCUUGUUUAAUCUUGUCAUCACUUAACAAUUUAUUUAAUCUUUUUUAUUGAAGCAUAUUUAUAAUAUAUUGCCCUUGUUUAAAUUACAUAGACAUCAAUAACUUAAAUUAUUCUAGAUAUGAUUGUGUAAGAAAAUUCAUAAUUAAGGAAAGCUUGUAGGAACCUGUUGGAAUGCCUAAUUAAUGAAAUUCAUCAUCAAGUCCUAAAAAGCAUAACUAGCUUUUUGACCACGCUUGUCAUUGGAAAAAUAGGAAAGCCCAAGAAAUGAUGAGUGUACAAAUAAUGAAAUACACAUUUUAUUUAAAUAAAAAAAGAAGAAUCGAAGAAAGGAAGGUCGAUAGACCAAUUUGGAUUUGGAUGACUUAUAGUUAUGAUAACUUUUCUGCAUUGAGAAACACGGUUCAAUAAGUGAUUUAUACUUAUAGUUAUGAUUUGGAUUUGGAUAGGCCAAUAAGUGAGCAACACGGUUCAAUCUCCCUGGGCAUUGAGAAACUUUUCUGCAAUUCACCUUCUCCAUAUAAUCAACGCAAUCUUGGUAGAUAUUUCCUAAAGCACUAGAAAAUUUCUUCUCAUUUAGCUUUUUCACCACUGUUACGUUGUCUAACUCCACCUCUGUUAUUCCCAUAUUUUCUCUACAGAAUAUCAUUAAUGACCGAAGUAGGGACUAUAACUCUACAUCCUCAAUCUUACCACCAAAAUUAAACUUUGCUGUACCUGCCAAAAUCAUUUCACCAUAAGCAUCACGCAGGACAAAUCCUACUCCUAUCAUUGUAACGCCACUAUUGACAAAGAUCGCAACAUCAGUGUUUAAUUUAUUUCUUGCAGCUCUUCUCCAGUGAUCACAAGUUCCUGUUACCAUUUCUUCAUUAAUACCACCCGGCUUGUUGGCACUUCGAAAUUCCCUGCAAAUGUCACACCCCAUCUCCACAACAGUCAUGGGAUCCAAUUUCUACGGUUAGAAAUCCAGCAAAUUCCUAGCCUUUCAUAAAGCCCAUAAUACACAACUUAUUUCUUCUGCAUCCAGUAUUUCAACAAUCAAUACAAACCAAAUUAUCCAAUCAGCAGCCGAAUCAAAAUGGUCUUUGACACCCCGAAAUCCCCACUUAGAAUAAAGCCAAGCAGCUCUUGCAUAUUGACAAUAGCACAAGCAGUGAAAAUCUGUUUCUACUUUCUCCACACAGAAGGGACAUGAUGUUUCCGCAUUAAGAUAGGUGAAAUUCCUUUAAUAGCUUUCCAUGUAAAUAAAAUAUUUUUCCUAAGAAAGGUUCCAUAGCUUCUUCCAGACGGUCACGAAAUUUCCAUAGCUUCAUAGGUAAAAACACUUGAAUAUAGAAAUUUUUGAAUAAUUGAUGUGAUCCCUCAAUUAUUGUCCUUUUCUAUUUUUGUCAUUUUGCAAUCAUUUUCCCUUGAGAUCCAUUUAUUUCUCAGCUACUUGCUUGCUCUGUUUAAAGGCUUUCAUGGAAAAAUACUUUACCAUAUAUAGGACAAGGGAAGGGAGAUUUCCGGAGCUUUCGUAUAGAUUUUUUUCUCUUUUUACUAGUGGGACAUGGAAUCAGGAGCACUUCUUUUAUCAGUUUGUGAAGAAAAAUGAUAAAUUAAUAUGAAGACUAGCUUUGUUUAAUUUAGUCAUCACUUCACAAUUUGUUUAAACUUUUUUACUGAAGCAUAUUUACAGUACAUUGCCCCUGUUAAAUUACAUAACCAUCAGUAACUUAAAUUUUAAACAAAUUUUGCAAUCAUUUUUCCCUUGGAGGUCCACUUGUUUCUUAGCUUCUUGCUUGGUCGGUUUAAUGGCUUCCAUGGAAAAAUACUUGCGCUUUUUAUAUUAAUUUUUUGGAUUAAAUUCUGUGUUUAAGGGAUCGAAGCUUUACACUUUGUUUAACACAAGGAAAAAUGGCGAAACACGUCAAAUGAUUCAUAUAGUGCAAGGAUCAUGUUUUCCUUGGAGAGAAGUAGAGGGUCAAGGUACAUCUCUACUGUUUGAACUAUCAUUUACAGAUCCUUAGGUACGUUUUCCUCCAUGGUUGGUAAUCUAAUACAAGAAAGAAGAUCAUCUAAGCCUAAUUUGUUCUAAUCAAAACUAUUUUGAAUUAAUUUCCACUAAAAAAAGUAAGAGCUUCAAGGAAUAACCUGACCCAUCAAACUUGAUUUGGAUUAAAAAAUGAGACAGAAUUGAUCAGUGUAUUAAUAUAUUAUAAUCAACAUUAAAAACCAAGGCUAAUGUGACAAAUUCUAUGCAAUAAUAAAGUUCACACAAUCUCUCCUUAGAAUUUUACUCUUUUUCUUUAUCAGAAAAUCAUGUCUCCUCCUGGUCCCUGUAUCUAUCUCAUUAUUUGAUUGGGAGGGUAAAAGAAAAUGAAUCCCCAUUUCUCCCGUUCCUUCUCCUCUUCCCCAUAGAACAUGUGAUAGUUGGUCUACACUCUGAAAAAUUAUCUGUAAAUGUGGUUGGUUUUACCUUGUUCCCAAUCCCACCUGAAUUGCAGGGUAGUUAUAGGUAUUAGGACUAUUCUUGACUCUUGUCUUAAUCGAAAUGAGUCUAACGUAGAAAUCAACUUUACUAGAGUAAAAGGGAGAUUCUCCGAGCUUUCUCCGAGUUUUCUGAUUCCUUGAAUCGAACACAUUAUUACUGUCUCCAUUAAUGGAGAGUUUAAUGUCUUUGAAGAAGAAUUAUUGACUUAUUUUCUCUUGAAGAAAAAAAAAAGGGAGAUGCUUUGUUAAAGGAAAUUCUAACUAAUGUAAAAUUGAUUUUAUGUUUGUGACCCUAAAGAUAAUAAUAUCUUCUCUAUGAGAUUUUAAAAAAUCGAAUUACUUUAAUGAAGUAUAAAUUUUCCCUAAACAAAGUUUACCAUUAUUAAGAAGGCAAUUAAGUUUACGCCUUUAUCAAUUUUCUGGGUGCUCCUACACAAAUGAUUGUUAUUAUUAUUCUCACAAAGCAUAAAUGGGACAUAUAUGGAAUCAUUUAUGCACUCUUGAAUUAUUGAUCCCAUUAGAUGACCCAAUUUGUUUUAUCAUCUAUGUAUUUAUAAUAAUUAUAAGCUCCUUUUUAUAGAUAUUUAUGUUUCAAAUCCCUGUGACCAAUUGAAACUACAGAGAAAAAGUUCCAGCAAAAACUUCUUUCCUUUUUUUCUUAUUCAAGUUCAUAUCAUUAGUGGAGGACAAGGGCCCAAACAUCUUUUGCCUUAAGGAACUACUGGCCUCAUUUUUCCUUUCCUUUCUUUUUUGAAAUUGUAAACUUUGUGAUGCGCUGGACAUAUAUAAACACCACUUUCCCUCUGAGUUAAAGAUACUUUAGAACAAAGAAUUGAAUGACGAUGAAAAAAAAAAAUAAGGGUCCAAUCGGCGGUGGCGGAACCGGUGGAGUGCUGCUGCAUCUGACUGGGCGUAGGGACGGGUCGCGGAGCCCAAUCAGAAGGUGGAGGAACCGGCUGACCUAACUGUUGCUGUUGUUGUUGCAUCAUCAUCCACGGCUGCGACUGCGGUUGCUGCUGAUACUGCUGGGUUUGAGACUGAUCAGCUGCCAUGGACUGCGGCGGAGCUACACCUCCUGCUGGUGGUUGUUGCAUCAUACUCUAUAGAUAAGACAGCGGGUAGAGAAUCGAGAGAUCUCAGAGAGAAGGGGAAACCCUAGGUCGAAAUUGAAAUUCUAUAAAGGAAGCAAUUUUUUUUUACGGAGCAGAGGAUGCUUGUCGGGGUGACACGUGGAGAAGAGGAAUUGGGUGGGAGUAAUGGGCUUUUUGAUAUGGUAAAUCGGGUGUUGGUCUUGGAAUGGGCUUAGAUUAGGUUAAAAUUCUGCACUUUUGUUAAUAAAAAAAGUUUUAAAAAGGAAUUUUUAUAGACAAUUGAAAUUUGGUCUUAAUAACAAUAGGAAAAAUUUUAAAAAAUUAAAGUAAUUAAAUAGAAUUGAAAUUUUAAAAUUUAUUAAUAUAAUUUGAUGGUAUAAAAAUUAAUUAUAAUUUUGUUUUUUUUCUCUUAUAAAUUUGAUGACUUAUAAUUAUGAUGAUUUAAAGGAUGCCACUAAUAAAACUUUUCUUAAUCUAUUAGAUGGGAAAAUUUGUUUUAUCAUCCCCUUCUGUCUCAUUAUCUUUGUUCUUUAUUGAUUUUUUGGUUGAAGAAACUCAACUUUGAUCAUUCUUUUAAUAACAUCGUGAAGUUAUAAAUUUUUUUGAAAAUAAGAAUUGCAAAUUUUGAAUUUUAAACUUUUCCAAAAUUUUUUUUGAAUUUUUAAUUUUAUGUAAUAUUUUAAAAUAAUAAUCAAAUUGAGUUCAUUAAUUUGACUAAAAAAAUUAAAUAGAUAUAAACAAAAUGGGAUGGAGAUAGCAUGUAUUUGUAAAGUUCCCUUUUAUGAAUAUUUUUGCUUUUUAGUUUUUGCAAAAAAUGAAUAGAAAAAAAAGGCAAAAUAGAUAGAAAAUAAAAUAUAAAUAGCAAAACAAAAAAAAAAGAGACAAAGAUAAAAGCAUCAAGCUGGUAUGAAAUCUUAAAAAAUAAUCUUGUAAUGUGGAUAAUUAUCAAAAUGAAAUGUAUGAUACAGUUAGAAAUAAUUCUAAGUGCAUGUAGAAAUGAUCCAAUCCCUUCUAAUAAUUCUUAUUGUAAGCAUUAUCUAUUGAGCUUGUAUAUGGAAAUUAAAGUUUAAUUUUCCAUGUCUUAAUUUAAAAUACAAAAAUAAUGAUAAGAAAUAGAAGAAUUUUAGGCUUGUUUUUCUACUUAUUGUACAUAUGGAGAGUAACAUACUAUUGAUUGGAUAAAUGAUUGAAAGCAAGUGAUCCCUGCUCUUGAUAACUCUACAAAGCCAACAUCUAGACCAACAAAAAGCACAAGUGAUUAAUAAAAGUUAGCACAAGUGGACCUCCAAAACUUGAUUAAGACUAGGCGAACAAGCGAAAGAAAUGAAAUAGGAAAGUGGCCUUUGCUUUACCUGUGUUUAGUUGACGGUCCCAACGUACUCAUUGAUGUUUAAACAUGCCUUUGCAACUUCCCCUGCAAUCAUCUCAUAGUUCUUCCUUCCAAGGUGGUAGCACACCAUUAAUGUCCUUCCACCAGAAUAUGGUCCUAGUAUGGACUACAUUUUGAGCAAUGCCUAUCCCUUCAAUGGCGUCUUGCUCAACUAGUUGUGGUGUCUUUUUAAACAAUUGAAAGAGUGAAAUGUAAACCAAAAGUAUGAAUGUCUCAUGUUACGAAGGAAAAAGAAAAAAAAAAGACAUAUUAUAAUUAUAAACAUUUUAGGCCAAAAAUUCAUUAAAAGUAAUGGAAUCAUUCACUAAAAAUGAUAUUUUAGACCAAUCUUUUAGUUGCAGUGUACUACUCAAUUAUUUAAAUAAUUUAAGUAAAAACUUUUAAAAAUUAUGCAAUAUAAUAUUAUUAAAGAUUUCAGUUGUCUUUGCACAUACCAAAUAAAAGCUUGUACUUAAUUCAGUAAUGAAUAAUAAAAGCUCUUAAUCAUCAAUAAUGGUUAUGUUGGGGGGAUAAGGAGAAUGAAGAAGGUAGUUUUAGUUUUUGUGAAUGAUAUUCCUACAAGAGUCCAUGAAGAUGGCUUCAAAGGAUUUGGAUCAAUUUGGAAAGGUUGUCAAUACAUUUGUAGCGAGAAAUAGAAGCAAAUACAGUAAGAGGUAUCGUUUUAUCAUAUUUGAAUAUUUUAAUAAAGCUCGAGGAGCAGUCCAAAAUUUAAAUGGAGUCUGGCUUUUUAACCAAGAGCUAGAGGUCAAUAUAGCUAGCUAUGGAAGCCAUGAUUCAUUCUGAAGGAGGAAGCAAAAAGGAAGCUUCUUAUGCACCUAGUGUUAACCACAUUAGGAACAGAGCCUGUAGUGGGAUUUUGAGACAGAACUUUGCCUUAUUCACUAAGCCAUCUUAUGCUCUGUUAUUGAAAGGUGCUUUUGAAAGAGGUUGAGCUUCAAAUGAAGAGAGAGGAGAUGAUCUUCAAUGUCUUAACAAGCAUGAAAAAACAUGCUUUGGUUGAAGACAAGUGUUGUGGUAACAACAUAAUAUAAUUCAGAUUCAGCAAAUUUAAUGGACUUAUUUAAAAUGGAAGGCAUCUCAGGGCUGCUUAUGAGGAGUUUGUCUCUCAAAGAAUUUCUGCUAACCUUUGAGGAUAAGGAGCUGUUGGAAGAGCUCAAGGAUAAAGGUUGGGAUUGGCUUAACAAAUGGUUUACUAAGGUGGAAACAUAGUUACAGAAUUUUUCAUCAAAACUCCUUAACAAGUGGGUGAUUGCACAGGAUAUCCUUUUAAUGUGUGAAAUAUGCAUAUUAUAAAUUAUAAGCAUUUUAGGCCAAAUUCAUUAAAAGUGAUAUUCUAGACUAAGUUUUUGUUGUAGUGUCAUUCUCAAUCAUUUAAGUAAUUUAAAGACUUUGAAGAUUAUGCCCUAAAAUAGACAAGAUUAAAGUUUUCAGGGUGUAUACCUCUGUUUUGGCGUGCACAUAUUCCUUUGAAUCUAUGAAGAAACCUGUAGUCAUCUUGGGACAUUCUCUUACAUUCAAAUGCCCCAAAGUCGGUAACACAAAGUGAUAUCCCCUUGGGCAAAAGUCAACGAGGCUUGGCAGUUCUCCAAUUGAUAAAUGUUCUAAUUGAUCAAACUUUAUCUCCUUUUCAGUUGUCGCCUCUGCUUCAUCUUCAAGUUCAAAUACUUGCUCCAAUUUAGAGUUACUUCUAACUGUUAAUUGCUUAAGUUUUGGAAGACAACGAGCAGAUCCAAGAGGAAAGAGUCGUUUCAACUUUUUGCAAUAUUGAACAAAAUUUUGGUCAAAUUAGGAAAGCUUAUAGGUUGGAGAUCACCAUCUGAUGAUGAACAAACUUGAUCCUCAGCAAUGAUUUGGUCCAAUUCAUCACAUUUUUCUAUAUAUAGCUCGUCCAACUGUGAUAAACUUCGAACGGUCAUAGGUGAAAAUAUAUAUCUUAGCCUCUUGCAAUCAAUCACCUUCAGAAUUGUAAGGUUUUUAAGAGUUACAACUGAAGCGACAUCCUUCCAUAUAAUUUGCACUUCAAAUAAAUCCUCCAGGUGGAGUUUCUUUAUACGCCCAUGAAUCUGAAAUACCUCUUCAUGACUCCCAACUGCUAUAUAUUCUUGAUUGCAGUUGGCUGAAAUAAGCAAUUGAAAGCUAUUUACCAACUCAGAGAGAUAUAAUUCCUGCAAAUACAGACACCACUAAAUGUCACUAAAUACGUUCCUUUUCUAUUAGAUUGAAAACAGAUGAGCAAAUAUUACUCAUAAUUUUUUAGAUGCCAAUUCACAAAAAAUCCUUACAUUUUUAAUGACAGGACAUAUAUAUGUUUCAAAAUUUAAAUCCAAAAUUUUCAUGAAAUGGUCUGAAAGUGGAAUCCAAAGACAUCUAACCUUUUUUCAAGUUUUUCUCUGUUAAUUUUUAACAUAAAACCAUUUAUGGCUUUCCUUGUCUUGUGUUUUUUUCUUUGUCAUUUUUUCUUUAAGCAUGUUGAUUUGAAAAGUAUAGAUAAAGUGGUAAAGUGUUAAUUUUUUUUAAUUUACCUAAAUUACAUAAAAAAACAUAAAAGAAAUGAACCCCCCUGGAAAGCCUAACUUUCUCAAUCUGUUUCUCUUGUCUGCAACAGAAAGUAGAAACACUUUGAAUAAAAUAAAAAAAAGGGAACUCAUGGCCAAGAAGAAAAAGAAAACUUAAAUUGAAGAAGAAAGAGAAAAUUCGAAUCAGAGAAAGCAAGAGAAACUAGAAUCGAAGAAGAAAAAGGAAGCUCGAACAAGAAAAAAAGCAAGAUUUGUCGUCGUGAAGAAAAUAUAUGAUGAACCUCAAUUCAGAAACAAGGACAAGGAAAACCCAAAGAUCCCCACAAACAAAUUAAUUGUUUGUGAGUGUUGAAAAAAAGAUUUAGCUCAAAGGCAAAAUCCAAAACCAUAAUUGAAGGAAAAGUGUAGAAAGAAAUACCUCUAGCUGAAUUUGCUCAUUAACUUCUUUUUGAAUAGUGAAAUUUCUCAAUUUAGGACAGUUGCAAACUUCCAACUUCUCUAAGGAUGGUGAUGAGAUGAGAAAGUUUUCCGAACUCAAAUUUAUCAAGUUUACAAGUUGAAAAUCUUGUAGGCAAGGGAGUCUAAUGGCACGAUGAGUUGGCCCUUUCCAUAUGCUCUCCAAUGCUGGUAAUGACUGCAGCUUCAACCUUCUUAAAUUUGAGAGUGGUACUACCUAAUUUACCUCACAUAAAAAAAAUAUAAAAUUUAUCCAUUAAUAAAUAAUGAAAAUGAAUUCUUUAUACUUGAUCUUAAUUAUUGAGAAGAAAUACAUUUUUUUAAAAAAAAAGUAGAAAGAAGUAUUAAAAGUUAAUAAUUUAUAAAAAUUAGAUAGUAAUUAUUUAUAUAUUUGAUAAUUCAAAAAAAAAUCAUUAGAAAAACAAUAUACGAGAGCAUUAUUAAAGGAAAAAUGGAGAGAUAUGAGGUACCUUCAGGUCAGCCAUUUCUUUGUCAAAAGCAAAGACUUGCUCUAAUUUUUCGCAUUUAGAUAUCUCAAGUGUUUCUAAAUGCAACAGACUUUGAACAAGGUAAGGUGAGAAGAUAGAUUUCAGUUUAUCACAACCAUCAAUUGUUAAUUCCUUCAGACUUUGUAACCUUACAUGAUGAGUUGGCUCUUUCCAUAUAUUCUCUAAUGCUGGCAAUAACGUCAGCUUCAAACUUCUUAAAUUGGAAAUUGUGCACGUCGGACUUUCUUCCUUUCCAAAAAGCCAAUUCAUUUGAAACACUGAUUGCAACUGCUUACAAUCGACAAUGCUCAAUGUUUCUAACUUUUUUAAGAAGCUAAUCGGUGAUUGACCAUGGCACAACUCUUUCAAAGAAGUCAUGAAUCUAAUGUCUAACUUCACCAAAUUAGAGAAUGCAGUGGUUGGACUUUGUUCUCGUGUUGUAUCGAUCAAGCAUUCCAGAUUUUCACAAUAUAUAAGCUCAAGAGAAGUUAAUUCCUUUAGUCCCUGCUGAUCUACAUUUGGAACAAUAUUUUUGUGUUCCAUGGUGACCUCGGACAGAGUAAGCUUUUUCACAUUGCAAAACAGCUCCUUAAAUGCAUUUAAUGAGGAUGAGAAAUCACUAAUUCUCAAGGUUCUCAAGCUCAGCCCUGCCGAAUCUUCAAUAUCAUCAAAAUUUACAACUAUAUUGUAGUUUUGAAGUUUAGGGAACACAAAGUUUUCUUGAGAACAUUGAUCAGUAGAAACUGACAGUGUUAAUGCAGUCAAACCAGUCAAUGAAUUAAGCUCCAAUAAGUUAGCAUUGUUUCUACUUGUCACGUGUAGCUCUUGGAGUGAGGCCAACCUGUUACAAACAAAUACAAAAUGUUGUUAAUGCAAUAAUAGCACUUUCAACCGAAUGAUAAAAAUAGCAAGGUAAUGAAAUGAAUAAGAUAACAUAAACUUUUUUAUUUCUUCAUUCUUAAAGCUACUUCUGUACUACAGGUUGCAAAGUUUCAUAAUAAUAGGAACGACCAAAAGCUCAUGCUAUAUAUAUAUAUAUAUAUGUUUGUGAUAAUCAAAAUCAAAUAAAGUAAAUAAUAGGGAAAAAAGAUAAAAUAAAUGAUAUAAAAUUAAAUAACUGAAAAUAAUAAGAUAAACAGUUUUACCUUGGUAGCAAGUUGGAGGGGAAAUAGCUGUGUGGCACUCCAUCGUAAGAAAAAUAUAGUGAUUUUAGUUUAUACAAUCCCACUAGUUCUUCUGGUAGCUCAUAAAUAUUAGUCUUCAGCAAUGCAAAAAUCUCAAGGUUUUCAACAUUCCUCAAUGAUGAAAUGUUCUCGAGCUCGCAAUUUAUAAUGCACAGAGUUCGAAGAUUUGUCAAGAAUUGAAGUGCUUCCAGUGUGAGUACAACAUCUUGGAGAAGUAAAACUCGGAGGGUUGUCAUUCUUUCAAAAAAGGCACACGAAACUCUCAAUGAAUUCUUUCCUUUGAGAAACAAAGUCUUGAGUUUUGAAAAUUCCACUUUGUUAGGAAGAUGAUUGAUCUCAAUGUUCCACAAGGAGAUUGCCGUAUAACAUCCAAACCUUUCACUCAUAUGCCAUUCCGUCAACCCAUCUUUUACCAUGAAUAUAUUUUCCCCUCUCGAUGUUAUCCAAUGAGCAAAAUCACGAAUCACAUCAUGCAUUUUUACAUGCUCUUUAUCAUUAGCUUCCAAUAAUAAACCAGACUUUUGGAGUUUUGAUAGUGCCAGAUGAAUUUCCCUCCUUAAGUCUUCCAUUAAGUAAUUAUUAUUGAACAAUCCCUGACCAAUUCCGCAUAUAGUCAACAACUCAAUAGUAAUCUCAUAAUCUUCUGGAAAAAGGGAACAUAACAAGAAACAUUGCUUAAUAUUAUCUUGAUCCAAAUAAUCAUAACUAAGCUCAAGGCAUCUAUAGAUAUGUCCACAAACAUGUUGAUUAUCCAAAUGUCUUGAGCUCUUGAGUCGUUUAUUUGCUGCUAUCCACCCAUCUUCACUUUCACCUUUUAGAGCGUUUGCUACAGUUACGAUUGCAAGGGGCAAACCGCCACAUUCAUGAGCAACCUCCUUUGCCACAUUCAAGGUGGGAGAGUCAUCUUUUAGAGCAGCUUUAUCUUUGAAUAAAGCCCAUGCUUCGUCUUCAGACAGAAUGUUCAGUUUAAAUUCCUCUUGACAAUCCAUUUGACUGCAGACCUGUUGAAGACGUGUAGUGAGGAGAAUUUUGCAACCUUCGUGUUCACCGCCAAAUGGAAUUCCUAUAGUAUGCAAUUCAAGUUUUUCCCAAACAUCAUCGAGAAUUAUGAGAAUCUUCUUCUCGCCUUUUAAUCUCCGCCAUAACUCUUCUGCUUUCCCUUUUUCUGUACUGGCUUUAAAUUUUAAACCAAAGAGUUCUGCAAUCCUUUCUCGCAUUUCGUUGAAAUUUGGAGUUUGGGACAAUGUAACACUCACAACCUUAUCAAAAAGCUUUUGUUCUGUAGCUUGCUUCAGUACUACUUCCGCCAAAGUUGUUUUACCCACUCCUGGCAUUCCGUGCAAUCCAAUCAUGUUCACACCAUCGCCUUUCAAAGCCUUCAUGAUCCCGUUGAAAGCUAACGUUGAAGAUUUGGAACGCAUGAAAUCCUUGGGUAGUAGCAACUCUAUUCCUUGAAGAGGAGGACGCUGGCCGACUCCUUGAAAAUUACAAGCCUCUGCUAAAAGUUGAGAGAUAUAAAGUGUCUUCUUCGCUACUUUCUUACUUAAACAGUAUCGCCAGCCCCAACUAGGACACCAAUUGAAACAAUUGUUACGCUCUAUUUCUUCUUCCAAACCUUGAGCUUCUCCCAAUUCUUUCUCUGCCUUUGUUAGCCACUCCUCAACGUCCUUCUUAAUUACCUCAGUUUGCCUUAAAGCCUCAUCGACAUCACCUUGCACCUGAUCUUUUUUCGAUUGAAGUGCUUGUCGCUGCUUCUUGAAAUCUUCAACAACUUUGGCAAAACGGAAAAAGUAAGUGAGAUAAGGUGAUGCGUAUUCUGUUGCCAGAUUCCCUACGGUAUUGGCAGCAGCAGCAGCAGCAAAUUCAGCAGCCAUUCUUUGGUGAUCUGUGAUUGAAAAACAACUUUGAUGAGUAAAAGGUUUUACAAAGAGACACAACACUGCGGAAGGAGGAAAUAUAAAUAUAAAUCUAAACCUGCAAAUAUCUACUCAAAUAUAACACCAAACAAAUAAAUCAGAGAUGAAAAAGAUGAAGAUUUACAUACCAAGACGAUUUUCAGGAGCCGAAACCUGCAAAUAUCUUCUAUUUUGAUCCACGCAAACUCACAAAGUGGGUUAAGGGUUUUUUUUUUUUUUUUGAAGUUGAAACAAAACGGAAGUAGAAAUGAACUUUGCACUGCAAUGAUAAAAAAUAACAGACUUUCACUUGUAAAGAUAAUUCUGCUUCUGACAGAGCAAAACAUAUUAUGUAUUAAUAUGGAGAAUUUAAUAUGUAUUCUUGAAGCUUAGCUCACCUCGAAUGGAUCUUCUAAAGCUUUGUUUUUUUAGAUAGAAAGCAGAGAAACCAAAAAACUAGAGAUAGCAGCUUUGAUUUUUUUUUUUUUGGCUUUGUGGAGCAAGGAAAGGAAAAGUAGGGAUCAAAGAACAGUUUUUUGUUUUUUUUUUUUUGAGUUAAAAGAAAAUGAGGAUAAUAAGAUAUGAUCAUUGUCUUAAGAUUUUAUUUGAAGGAAAAGAAGCACUUUUUUGUAGUAAUGUAUUUUUCCAACAAUUACUAGUCAUAUUUCAAUAAUGAGAAAUUUUUUAUUAAAAUAUUUCUAUAAUAUAAUGCCCCUUUUUUUGUUAUGUUGACCUCAAUAAGUUAUAUUUUGAACUAAUUGAAGUAUAAAAAAUUAUCCAAUAAACUGUCAUGGAAUUUAAAAACUUCAUCAAUGGAAUUAGAAAGUUGUCACAUAUUCAUUAGGAUAUAUUUGAAAAAAUUAAUAAAUUAAUCUGAUAAAUGAAAGGAUAUUAAUUUGACAAUAUUUUAAUUUUACUAACAAAGUUAAAAUCUCACCGAGGAUGUAUACAAUAAUAGUCCUCAAAAGUCAAAAUAAUCCGUUUGUUUUUACAAUUGAAGGACAUUGAUCAUUACAUGCAUUAGUAGUGAAGAUUUGUUGCUUUUCCUUGAAAGAUCAUUACUUUUUGUGCUUAAUUACAUGCUUUUGUUCGGCUUAUAUAUAUAAAUAUAUAUAUAUAUGCUUUCAUUAGUGCUCGUUGAAUUAUGGCAAUAAAAUGUUUAAUAGAGGUGAUAUGAAUAAAGUGACUAUCCAGAGAUAUUGCAUUGUAUCUUUUCUGCUUAUUGGGUUCCACUGCUUGGAGCAUUUCUGCAGUUUCUGUAUACUUAUUUACUCCAAUGGUUACUUACUCCCCAUUGAUGAAAAGACGAGACAGACUCACAGCUUUUUCUCUGUCAUUGAUGCUUAGUUAGAAUGACUAAUCGAUGGCCUUCAAUUAUGUUGCCUAUUUUCGUAAUUUUCUGAUCUACCUGGUUGGUUUAAUGGAUUUCAUGUUAAAACACUUGCACUAUUUAUUUUAUUGUUGAGAUUAACUUUUGUGAUCAAAUUAUGCCCCCAAUGAAUUCAAAAAUAUUAUUUGAUGAAUGUACAAAAAUAGGUAGCAAUGAACAUAUAGCAUGUUAGUACUGACUAUUGAGAUUGUGAUAAAAUAUUAUGACAAAAACAAACGGACAAUAAUCUGAAAAGCCCGUAGGAACCUGCUGACAUGAUAACUAGCUUUUUGACCACGCUGGUCAUCUGAAAAAUGGGACAGCCCAAGCAAUAAUAUACCUAGUUUCUUCUUUUUCUCUUCCUUGGAGUUAAAAGAGAAGCAAAAAUGAAGAUAAAUACUUCUUGACUUGGAAGUUGCAUGUGAGAACAAUGCCAAAACUCAAAAAAGGAGAAGAAGGAAAUUAUGAAGGAAAGUGUGCACGCACUAUCAGGAAAUCAUGCCUCCCUCCUAGUCCCUGUAUCUAUCCCAUUAUUUCAUUUCAGAGGGUAAAAGAAAAUGAAUUCCCCUUUCUCCCCAAAGAACAUGUGAUAGUGGGUCCACACUCUGAAAAGUUCUGUAUGAAGGAAGAAAUAGUUAUGGUUAGUCGUGACCUGCUUGAUUGUCUGCGUUCCAAAGCUAACAAAGAAACGUCAAUGUGGAACUAAGAAAUUUCUCGACCCUUGUCUUGAGAGAAUUGAGUCGAACGUGGAAAUCAAAUUUAUCAAAGCAAAAGGAAGAUUCUCGGAACUUUCUUGAUAUUUUUGAUUCAUUGUGGAAUCAAACACAAUAUCAAUGCCACCAGUUAUGGAGAGUGUACUGUCAUUAAAGAAGUAUUAUUAACUAAUUCUCUCUCAAAGAAUAAAAAAAAGGAUGAAGAUGCUCUACUAAAGGAAAUUUUAACUAAUGCAAAAUUGGUUUCAUAUUUGUGAUCUUAAACAUAAUAAUAUCUUCUCCAUAAAAUUUAAAACAUUAAAUUAUUUUAAUAAAUAAAAUAUAAAUUCCACUAAACAAAAUUUUAAGCACAAUAUCCACCACCUUGAUCCUUGGAGGCCAAUCCCUGUGAGAACAACAACCAGAGCAGAGCGCGAGUAAGCACCCACCAAGAGAAUAAACAAAAUUGAUUACAUGAAGGACCCCUGUAACAAAAGACAAUGCAGUGUGAACAAUCAACAAACGAUGGCCCCCAGAAGCAAUCAAAAAACUUGUCAAGAGCAGCCGCUAAAGAAAUUAAGUUCACACUUUUAACUUUUUCCUUGUGCUCCUAUAUAUGCAAAUGGGCGGUGGAAUCAUUGAUUCACUUUUGAAUUAUUAAUGCUUUUUUUUUUGUCAUAUUUCCAUUACUUUUCAGUAUUUAUUUUUGACCUAUUUAGUUGAUUUACAUGAAAAACAAUUGACUCUUUUUAUAAGCAAAAAUUAUUAUUAUUAUUUUAUAAAUGUCGUUAAGAGUAAACAUUUGACUCUCUUUAUUUAUGAUUCUUUUGUAAUUAAGCAUUACUUGGUGAAUUCUCCUCUAAUAAUGAGUAAUGACCUACUUUUAAGUUGUUGCCUGCCUAAAUCAUUUAAGUUGGACGUGGAAAAAAAUUUAAUGCCAAUAUUGCAUGUAAAGUUUGCAGAUGCAUACUCAAAUGCAAAAACCAAGAGCCAUAGAAGAAAAUGAUGCACGCAUAUACCAAGGAAAGAUGGAGUUUGAGAAGCCAAGGGUAAGCUUCUAUUUUUAUCAAAGAAAACUGAAAUAGAAAUCAAGUUUGCGCUACAAUAAUCAGAAGCCCGCUAGCAGAGGGAAUUAAGAAGCAACAGUUAAGUCUUCUUCGGCUAGCAAGAACAGUUGAAUACAGGAGAGAAAAUUUUGAAAAGAUGAUGUGAUCCCUCUAAUGUUGUUCAUUCUAUUUUGAAGAAAUUGUGAGAAAAAAACCUCGUGAUAAGGUGAUUUUAGAAAUAACCACUCAUAUAAAAUUAUCUGUUUCUAGCAAAAAAUAUGCAUAAGUAGACGAAAAUGCCCUUAAAAACAUCGUUUCAAAUAAAUGCUUAGCUGUUUGAGCUAUCUGCCUCUAUCUGACUCCCACCAGAGAGAAAAUAAAAAAAAUAUAAAUAAAUGCGCUCAGCUGUUUGAGGUCGGUCAUCUUUCUCUCUCAACUCUGGCAAGUCUCUGUUGAGCACUAUCGUCAUCAGCUCUCUCAAAUCUCUGAACUGUAUUAGCUCUGUCAACUCUCUAUUGAGCACCAUCGUCAUCGGGUUGUGGUCUAUCUCUCGGCAUCUAGCCACAUUGUCAUAGAUUAACAGACCCUAUAGCAGAAAUUACAUCAAGGUACUUGUUAUUAGGUUUAUUUUUGCAACACACUUAAAUUUCUGAAACAUUUGGUGUAAAUUAGAAGAUGAAUUAGAAACAUUGCCCAGAGUUACGCGCCAUGCAUCUAUAACAUGUGUUAGCGUUAUUAUUUUAGCGUGUCAAGGUUGUUCCUAGCGUGUCACGGGUUAACUAGUUUUUUGGGUUUUGGGCGUGUCACAGCUGUUCUUGACCUAUCAUGGGUUAAUUGGUUUUUUGGUUUUCGGGCGUGUCACGGCUGUUCCUAGCGUGUCAUGAGUUAACUGGAUUUAUGGGUUUGGGGCGUGUCAUAGCUGUUCUUGGCAUGUCGUGGGUUAACUGAAUUUUAGGUUUUGGGCAUGUCAUGGCUAUUCCUGGCGUGUCGUGGGUAAAUUGGUUUUUUGAGUUUUUAUAGUGUCACGGCUGUUGGUGUAACGAGUCAGUAAUUACAAUGAUUAGCGCGUCACGACAGUGAUGCAUGGCGUGUCACGAUACUGAUGCAUGGCGUAUUACGACAUUUGACUUGAUAUGCAUGGCGUGUUACAAUAUUUAACGUUAUAUGCAUGACGUGUAACAACAUGACUGACAAAUUUUUGAUCACGGCAUGUAUUGUGUAAAAUUAUUGUCAAUAAUUUUGUUUUCAAAUUUUCAGUGGGUUCUAAUUGUGUGACUUGUGAUAAGACAUGGUGGUCAGUGGGUGGAUGGCAUUUACAAAGGUGGUGAGUCACGAAUAUAGGGGGUUAGGAGUGAUUUGUCAUUUGCGGGCUUGAUGAAGCUGGUUGAAGAUGUUGGGGUAAACUAAACAAUUGACGAGAUUGAGUUACAUGCAUUGAUCAGUACACCCGGAGAGCUAUCACGGCCAAUUAUCAAAGACGAUGAGGAUGUUGCAUUAAUUCUGCUAGAACAGAGGAAUGUUCCGGUUGUGUAUGUCAGCAUUAAGGGACGUCAACCAAAUGUUAUGUCACAUGAAAAAGUUAGACAAUAUGGUAAUCAGCUCAAUCAAAAUGAGAUUUAUAAUACUUCACAUAUACCACAGUAUUCGGUCCGUAACCCACAACAAUGGCAAUUGAGGUAUACACAAGAGUUUGUGCAGCUUGGUAGACAAACAACAUUCACAGAACAGUUGGCUGCACAAUUUCGAUCAGGAUGUGCAUCAAACCAAUUUCUUGCUUCUUUCGAACAAAUGCAACGAUCGGGUGAAACUGUAGAGUCUGUAAUACCAUUGUCGAAUGAGAAUACGACACUUGAGGACAAUAAUGUGAGGUUGGAGGGUGACACUGCGACGCUAGAGGAUAAUACUGCAUUUGAUGAGGGAAAUGAGGAUUUGUUAGCUGCCGGUGAAGAUAAAUUGGAUGACACUUCAGAUGAUGGGCUUGAACAAUUGCAAGAUGAUAGUUUAGACAAUGACUGCCUUUAUGACAGUGGCAUUCCAAUUUGGAAUAAUGUUGAAGGCGAAACGAAACCUGUUGGAGGUGUUGAUGUAGGGGAUGUUCAGUGUGAUGACCCCAUAUACAAUAACCCCAUUGCUGGUGUGUAAAACCCGACCCUAUAAACACAUGUCAUGACAUACAUGCAUUGAAUAACAUGUUAUUACGCUAAGAAAGCCCCUAAGAAUAGACGAAACCCAGUAUUGUACCUAACGGUACACUUGAGUUGAUUUAACCUCGAACUAGUUUAAAUAGAAAUCGUAGGAUGAAAUUUAAUAUUUUACAGUCCAAGAAUGACUAAAAAUGAUUAUUCGGAGUUCAAGGGUUCAUUUGGAAAAAUUGGAAAUUUUGAUGUUUAGGGGUAAAAUCGUUAUUUUGCCACCUAAGAUAAUAAUUUGAUCAUAGAGUGAAAUUUUUGACCAAGAUUAACUAUUUGGAGUAUAAUUUAAUGAUAGGAAGUGAAAAAUUUCAAUUCCGAUAAUUUUUGAAACAUAGGGAUAAAACGAUAAUUUUAUCGUCUCGGGGUAAAAUCAAAAUUUUUACCACCCAAAACUUGUCAAAAUCAUAGGAUUUAUUUAUCUUUGGUAUGAAUAACUAUGGUAUUUUAAGUGGUGAAAAAUUAAAGUUUAAAGGAUAAAAUUUUAAAAAUGGGCCAAUGGGAAAGUGACACAUGACACUUUUUAAUGAUGUAAUAUUAUUUUAAUGAAAAGUCAGCCCAUUUAAACCCCAUAUUAAGUGAUGGCCAACCAUAAGGAGAGAACAAGAGAGAAAAUAGAGAGGAAAGGAAGAAAAGGGAAAAACCAAAGGAAAACUAGAAAAUUCAAAGGGGAAAUCGCAUUUUUCAUCUGUUUACGAGUCUAACGGUAAGAUUUUUCGACUUUAGCUUGAUUUCUACCUUUCUUAUGCCUUUAUUUCCAUUUAGCAUGCUUGAGGAGAGAGAUUAAAAAGUGAAACCAAGGGCUGGCCGAAUUUCGAGGGGAGAGAUUUUGAAAUUUUUAGGUUUUGAUUCUUAGUUAAAUUAGUAGUUUUAGUUAGUUAAAUGUGUAUAGAAAUCAAAUUGGGCAAGAAAGCAUGAAAUUCUCACAAUACCCACCCUUGGCCGAAUAUGCAUUGAUGUNAAUGAUGAUGAUCUGAUUUUUUAUUCUAAGAGAAAUGAAGAGAAAAUGAUGAAAAAUAGUUAAAUGUGAUAGAAAAACAAAGUGAAAAAUUAAUCGAGUAAAUGUCCCAUUUUUGACCGAAUUUUUCAAGGAGGAAAGUGAGCUGAUUUUGGUGAUUUUAGAAGGUUAUUGGCUGAUAUUUAAUGGUUAGAAAUGUUGGAGAGAAAAUGGAACAAUUUAGAGCUAAAAUGGAGCGCGUUAGCAAUUUAACGGGUAAAGUGUCAAAAAUAGGUUAAUACCGUGUUUAAGCCGUUUUAGGCUAUUGCAUUUCAUACCAUGCAUUAGUAUAGGAUCUAAGUCAAUUAUAUAGUGAUUUAACAUCAAUGUGGUGAAUUGUGUAAUUUUUGCAAUGUGUCUAGGAGGAGAGCCUUCCGGUAAGGGCAAGAAAGUUGUACCCGACAAACAGUGAUCGGGGCACCUAAAAAGCAUUUAAUUUGUACAAACGGUGAGUAAACCUAUUAUUAUUGUAAAUUAUCUAGAGUUUAUUUUUAAAUGCUCAUUAUUUAUUUUAUGAAAUGAAAAUGAGAUUAAAAUGAGACUUUUGAUGUUUUAGAAACAAAUGUGCCAAAUAAAUAUAUUGUGUUGAUUAUCUGAAAUAAGAAACUUUUAAUCAUGAAAUUGAGUAAUUGGAGGCUGCCAAUUGUCUUGAAAAAUAUAUUUUCCUAUGAAUGGCUUAUGAUAUAUGAGUAUAUGUGGCUAUAUUUUAUAAUUGUAUUGAAAAUUUAUUUAAGCUGUCUUUUACUAUGCAGGCUGGGUAAAUAAAUAAAAGCUACAUUAUAUUGUCGAAAUUUUAUUAAAAUUGAUGGGUUUAGUCACUGCAAUGGCGGGUUUUCGUGGACUGCCUAUUAGAAGGGUAUGGUAAACUCGGUUAUAUAGUUACUCCAGAUGUAGAGGCGAGGAGGGUAACUCCCGGGGUAGUGUUAGAGCUCACUUCACGUCGAACCCCCAUGUGAAUAUGUAACUCAGUCAACCCCAAGGAACGGCUUGUUUUCAAAACUAACAUGUGUUUAACAUGUAAAUAUCUUAACAACCUUGGCGGACUCGGUUAGAUGCCUCGACCAAGGUAUCCUCGAUGAUUAGUUUUUGGCUUGAGCCCUAUUUUUAAUAAAAGUCAUAAGCUUUAACAACUGUUUUGGUAAAUUACAAAUAUUUUAUGGUUUAAAAAAUAAAUUGAAAACCGUAUGAAAUGGUUUGUGAUUUGUUGUUUAAAUUUACCUCCAUUUUACUCGCCUUUAGAUAUUUAUGAUAAUGUUUGUUUACUCAUUGGAAUUGUAAAAUCUCACCCACCUCCUUUCCAAAUAUUUCAAGCCUGUGGUAGCUUGUAGAUACCCGAUUUUGUCGAGGAUUCUAGUUGACCCCUCUAUCCCACAGACAGUAGGUUACUACCACCAACACUUGGUGUAUUUAUGGGCCAUUUGUUAUUGUAAUUAUUAUUAUACAUUAUAACUCUGUAAAUUAUUAUAUGUAUGAAUUUGUUUUACUUAUACGUGUUUCUAUAAAUAUUGUUUUAUAUAAAAAUGUUAUAUUUUAAUCAAUAUUUUAAAUAGUAAUAUUUGUCUAUAAAUCUUUUUAAAAUAAUUUUAUCUUUUGAUUUACUUGAGCCGAAAAUGAUUGGUAAUUGUUUAAAACAGAAUGUUUAACAACGAUUGCUCACAGGAAAGGCAAGAAACUGAUACGUAAGCCUUGAGGGGUUCCGAUUGGCAUUCCGGGUAAUGAGUGUAAAUCGAGACGUCGCGGUGGUUGUCAUGGGCCCAAGGGAGGUUUCGGAUCAUGACAUGGUGAGAACGAGGUUCGUUCCCUUAAUACAUUGGUCGUUGAUAGUGAUCAGGAAAAGGGAAAUGCAGGGAUAUCUCGUAUGUGGGUAAUUGCAGGUGCAGAAAAGUUCUCUUUCCAAACAAUUACCACGAGGAGUCGACAUGUGCCGAAGAUUGCUUAUACAAAGGAAGAAUGUUUUCGUCGAAGGCCGAGUUGAAACGAGCUUUGAACAUGUUAAUUGUAAAAGAGAAGUUUGCGAUAAGAGUAAAAAGGUCAUGUAAAGCUCGUUAUGAGGUUGGUUGCAAGGACAAGGCAUGCAAGUUCAGUGUGUGUGCAACGAAGUUACCUAAUAGAGGAGAAUAUUGGCAAGUUCGGACAUUUCACAAUGUACACACUUGUACCAUUGAUGGUUUGUAAGGGAAGUUUCCAACUACGAGUGCGAAGAUGAUUGGUGAACUUAUGUCACACAAGCUUCGGGCUAAUGGAGUAGCAUUGAGACCUAAGGACAUAAUUUGUGAGAUGAGGGUUAAGUGGGGAUUGGAAUGCUUGUAUGGUAAGGCUUGGCAAGCGAAGGAGUACGCGGAGAGGCUUGUUUUCGGUCCACCAGAGGCGUCAUUUCAACUACUACCCUCGUAUUUUUUUAUGUUGGAACAAGAAAAUCCUGGCACAGUGACUGCAGUGGCUACUGAUGAGACCGAAAGAUUCAAAUAUUGUUUCUAGUCAUACAAGGCUUGUAUUCAGGGGUUUACGGAUGUAAUGCGUCCUACGAUUGCAAUUGACGUGACACAUCUCAAAGGUAAGUUCAAGGGUGUUCUGUUUGUCGUUGUAUGCAAAGAUGUGAAUGAGUGCGUAUAUCCAGUUGCGUUUGGCAUCGGCCAUGUUGAGGACGAAGACUCAUGAACGUGGUUUCUUAGCAAGCUGCAUGAUGCGGUUGGUUGUCCUAAAAACACUAUGUUCAUUUUUUAUCAGCAUCUUGGCAUUAAGAAAGCAAUCCAAAAUGUAUACCCAGAAGCGCACCAUGGUUUAUGUGGUUGCAACUUGAAAAAAAAACUUUAAAAACAAGUUCAAGCGUGACGAUGUUUGUAUGCUUUUCACCCUUGCUCAAGAUUACUAUAAGGUGGCCGAUUUCAAUAGACAUAUGAACCAACUACAGUAGAUUCACCCGGGAGCCCACGUUGACCUUAUGAGAAUAGGGCCUGAGAGAUGGGCAUGUGCAUGUUCACCGACAAGGCGAUACCAAAUGAUGACAUCCAACAUUGCGAAAUAUGUUAACUCAUGCUUGAAGCAUGCAAGACAAAUACCGAUCACUGUUUUGAUCAAGUUCAUCAGAGACAUGUUCCAGUGUUGGUUCCAUGACCUGUACUAGGAGGCCGUCAAAGUGACAACACCCCUCAGCCCUUGGGUUGCUAGGUAGUUGAGCAAACGGUUCAAUGAUGCACAUCGCUUUGUAGUUAAGCCUAUCAAUCGAGCGAAGUUUGAAGUUAAAGACGGGAAGAUAAACGGACUUGUAAACCUGUUUAGGAAGACAUGUUCAUAUUGUGAGUUCCAAACAGAUUUGCUGCCAUGCAGCCAUGCCAUUGCAACAAAAAAGUUAGAAUAUCAUUAUUUCUUAUUUGAAUCGUAAUUGACAUAACAUUAACAUUGUGCUUGAAGAUUGAGUUUAUUGUAUUUUUUAGUCAAUGCAAUCGUGAAACCAUUGCAUUCUACGCUGACUACUACAAGACAACCGUUUUGGUGGAGGGUUAUUCAGGAUCCAUUAGGCAGGUAGGGCAUCUUAAUGAGUGGGACAUCCUCCCUUAUGUGACACAAAUUGUCGUCUUGCCCCCACUUUGGCGAGGCCAAGCGGGAAGACCUAGGAGGAGAAGGAUUCCAUCAACUGGUGAAAAUAGUCAAGCACAGAGAUGUUCGCAAUACAAAAGGUAUGGGCAUAACAAACAUAAUUGCCCAUCCCCAUUUACAAUUCCAUCCACAAAUCCGGCACCAUCUCUAAGUCAAUCGACUCCUCCACGAGUGCGCUGACCCAAAGCAUGUUCAAUUUGUAGACAAACCGAUCACACCCGCAAGACCUGUCCAAUACAGAGUACAAUGUCUGAAAAUGUAAGGUGUGUUAUGGAUGAAGACAACUUGUCUGCCUAACUCAAUGUGUAACCCAUGUGCAGUACCUUGCUCACAUACAUUCGAUCACAAUUUCCUGUGGUAUUAUCAUAGUCUUUGGCCCACUGAAAUGGGUUUAUCUUUUAAUAUUGGUAGCCAUUCCAUGCUUAUUGUUGCUUCAUAAGAUUUGUGUAGCCACUUGUACUUAAUGUUGUAAUUGUAGUUGAACUAGUUUUGCUUUACGAAUUUGUCUGCUUGGUCAUUUUAUGAGCCACUUUUAAUUAUGGACUUUGUUGCCAAACAUUUCAAGCAAAUAAGCUUGCCAAGGCCUCUAUCUGAUCAAGAUAGUGUUAAAGUACAUUUUUACAUUGCUUGUAAGAAUAUUUUCGAUUACAAUCUCCAUCAGAUAGAGGCCUUGACAAGCUUAUUUGCCUGAAAUGUUCGACAAUAAAUUUCGUAACUAAAAGUGGCUCAUAGAAUGACCGAGCAGACAAAUCCUUAAAGCAAAACCAGUUCAAUUACAAUUACAACAUUAAGUACAAGUGGCUACACAAAUCUUAUAAAGCAACAACAAGCAUGGAAUGGCUACCAAUAUUAAGAGAUAAACCCAUUAACUGUUACCCCAUUUGUCACAUUUUAUUACCACUUGUAUUAAACAAUUAAUGAUUUGAUUUAAUUCCUUUCUAUUUCAUUUGAUUUAACCAUUUAUGUUCUUAUAAUGAAAUUCCUUUCUAUUUCAUGAGUAAUUAAAUUUUGCCAAUAUCGGUUAGUCAACUAAGAGCAUUAUGCCUGCAAGUUUUGUGGUGACACGCUGACUUUUUACAGUCUUGGCUAGUGACAUGGCACGGGCCAAUUGUGGUGACACCCUGAGUGCAAGCAAACUUAUGGUGUGACACGCUGACUUGUUGCAGUCUUGACGGGUAACACUACACAAGCCAAUUGUGGUGACACGCUGAGUGCAAGUAAACUUAUGGCGUGACACAUUGACUUCUUGCAGUCUCGAAAGGUGACACGGCAGGGGCCAAUUGUGGUGACACGCUGAGUGCAUGCAGACUUGGCGUGACACGCCAAAUUGUUGCAGUCUUGUUGGUGACACGACACAAAAUGUUUAAAAUUAAGGAAAGUUUUAAAAAAGUAACACCUAUUAUAAGAAAAAUCAACUAACCUGAUAUUUUAAUUGUUAUUUGGGGGAUUUCGGCUCUUAGAUGCUUAUCCACACUCAAUAUUAAAACCCACUAUAAGUGGUCGCAGCUGCAUUACAUCACAAAGACUCUUGAAGAGAUUAAGGAGUUCAAUGCACUGAAGCCUACGUGCUUUGAGAUGCUACUGGAUGUCAAUCCACAAGCUUCGUCUACCAAACUUUGGUGCUCCUGUCUUUCCAAAAUCAACAGCCAUAUAAUGAAGAGUUGCCAAUUCUAGGUCCAUCAUUCGAGGUAUCGAUCCAGCCUAGAAUUGGCAACUCUUCACUCUAUAGUUGUUGAUUUUGUAAAGACAGGAGCACCAAAGUUUGAUAGACGAAGCUUGUGGAUAGACCUCUAGGAGCAUCCCAAACACGUACGCUUCACUGCAUGAAAUCCCCCAUCUCUUGGAGAGGCAAAAUGUCAAGAUCCUUAUACCGUCUACGUUGGAUCUGCAAAACAUGGCACACAUGCACCAGUGAGUUAAGCCAUAAUGUCAAACAAGGUAUACUGAAGAAAUAAAUAAAGAAUAAAUGUUGUGACACACCAUUCAUAACAAGCUAAAUGUUCUGACACGCCAUGCAUAACAAGUAAAUCAUUUGUGACACGCCAUACAUAACAACUAAAAUGUUAUGACACGCCAUGCAUAUCAAGUAAAACGUUGUGACACGCCAUGCAUAUCAAGUCAAAUGUUGUCACACGCCAUGCAUAUCGAGUCAAAUGUUGUCACACACCAUGCAUAACAAGUAAAUCAUUUGUGACACGCCAUAGUAAACAAGCAAAAUGUUGUGACACACCAUGCAUAUUAAGUAAAACGUUGUGACACGCCAUGCAUAUCAAGCAAAAUGUUGUGACACACCAUGCAUAUCAAGUCAUUUGUUGUCACACGCCUUGCAUAUCGAGUCAAAUGUUGUGACACACCAUGCAUGUCGAGUCAAAUGUUUUCACACAAGAAAACCAAUAAAACCACAAUGACUUAACCUCAAAAACCAUCCAUCGAACCAGCGAGAAAACCCAGUCUAAAAUCUAAACAUUUGCAAAACAAAACAUACAAAAAACACGAACAUAUCAAACAAACCCAGCGAAAAAGUAAAAAAUUAACAUAAGAAUGUUUUCUCUUGAGACUCACUUACCUCUUCACUCAUAGCCGACAUUGUCGCUAUUGCUGUGGUGUCGUUACGCUUGCAAAGAGCCUUCUCGAACACUCCGGUAUCAACAGGAAUGAGAAAUGAAUCAAACAGACGUUAGGAAUUCUGACAAAUAAAUGUUUAAAAUGAAAAAUGGCUUUAGAAUAUUCUCAUUUAUUCGUUUCAUUUAUAAAUUACUUCAGUGGAAGUCCAAACGGUUACUACGUUAACUGCCGAUUUUAAUUUUUUUAAAAAAAUUUAAUGGAAGUCCAAACGUUUACCAUAGCGGGUCAGUUGUUCAAACAAUGGCGUGUCACAGUAGUUUCACGUAUUCUAACCGUGGCAUGUCAUAAAUUUUGAACCCGACCAUUUCACAGUCGUGACACGCUGAGUGCAAGCAGAUUUAUGGCGUCAUACUGCUAACUUGGUGCAAUAUCGUGGGGUCACACGCGACGGCUCAAUUGUUAUGACACGCCGAGUGGAAGUAAAUUUUUGGCAUCACACGCUGAGUAUCUGCAAAUUUAUGGCGUGACACGGCACGGCCUAACUGUUCUGGCACGCUGAGUGGAAGCAGAUUUAUGGGCUGACACAUUGAGUGUUAGUGGAUUUACGGCGUGACACGUUGACUUCUUGCAGAUUUAUGGGGUGACACGCUAAGUGCAAAUAGAUGUUUGUGGGGACACGCUGACUAGUAGCAGCUUUAUGGCGUCACACGCUGACUACCUGCGACUAUGUAUCAAAUUAAAUAUAUUGUGUAUACAAAGGAAAACAAAUUCUUAGUAUAAAAUGAAUUGUGUAUAUGCAAAAAAAUUAAUUGUGUAUAAAUUUAAUUAUAUAAAAUAUAUUCCCAAUACAAAAAGAAUUAAUUAUAUAUACAAUAAAUUGUAUAAAAUAAAUUGUGCAUACAAAAAAAUUGUGUACAAAAUUAAUUGUAUAAAAAUAAUUCUAUAUACAAAAAAAUGUACAGACAAAGGCCGAUAUGUUCAGGGUUCGCUCUCACAACUGUUGGAAAAAAUUUCUAGAGCAUAUUGCAGACGCAUUUUUGCAAUCAUAUUCUACUUGACUUUGAUAUUUUUCGAUUGGAAAAUAUCAUCCAUGUACCCUAUCAUGAACAUACUGCAGCUGACACUAUCAUUCUGUCGAUGUACUUUAGCUUUUGGCAAAUGAAUAUCCAAUGGCAUCGGCGUCAAAUCCUGUCUCUUUCAACGUGUGUUGUUGAAAUAACCGGCUUUGUGGCAGAUGAUCAGCAUCAUUGUCGUCAAGGGUGUCAUUUGAGCCACACGAACUCCGUUAUCCUUAGCAUUCGAAGUUCUUGUGGAGUCAAACACCUUGAUCUUUGCAACCACCCAAUUCCCACCAACGUUGCAAGGCGCGAGGAUGAAAUCCACAUUUUUCCAUUUUUUACCGUAUAUCGGCUUUUCACCCUUCACGUACCCCCAUAACUCAUCUAGAAUUUGCAUUAUGACCUGGGCAUCUUCUGUUGGGAAUUCCGUGUGUAUCAUACGGAUGACGUCCUAUGAAACAUGUAAACAUUAGCUUACACUUCAUGCGAUCAAAAACUUAGUAUUUAUAGAAUUGAACAAUUUCAAAUAAACUUACAAAGAAUGUCGUGUCAACCACGCAUGCACGGGUAGUGUACAGCUUCAACUUCGACACUGUCAUACGCUUGCAGAAUACGCUGAGGCAUGCGUCGAUAUGUUCACUUGUCAUUUCCUCAUUGGGAUCCUCUAAGGUUAUGAAAAAGUUAGCCCCUUGAUCCCCUAAGAUGCCGACGUCACGCCUGCAUAUGUAACAUAAUGAAUUUCAUAAGUCUUGGUGGCUUAAUGUUUCAUUAAAAAAUAAUAUUUGCAAUGUUAUUUAUGAGCUUACCUCGCAAACUCAUCAUUCUUGAAAGCUUCGUAGGCUUCUACGAUUGUAUCCUUCGUCUCUCGAUGGCUAACUAAGGGGUCGACAUAUGAGCUUGCCAGGUAUUGCUCGCCAGUUUCAACCGUGCCCGUUCAGUUUGGUCUGAAAUUUUUGCUACACUGUGAUGGACAGCACAUUACUCUGGUGAUGCUGAUUGUGUCUCAACUGCAUCAGGAGUGCUUUGAUAAAGCACCAUAGCUCCUGCUGCUGCCUCGACGAAUGCAUCGGCUGGAGGAAGAUGCUCUCUUUCAGCCACGACUAAGUCAAGGUCCCCCUCCCCUCCAGUAGAUGCAUCGAUAAUGGACUCAAGCAGAGGAACAUGCUCUUCUUCAGUAUCAUCUGAUUCAAGGGUGACAUCCCCUGCCACAGCUUCAUCAAUGACGUCAUCGACAUGAGUUACGUACUCUCCGUCAGCACCAAGAACGUCAUCGUGAAUGUGAACACCAAGUUCAUGAUGCUACCCAUCAUCAGCAUCAUCGUGCUCCAGACCAGCACCGUGAGAUGAAAGAUCGCCCUACAAAAUGGAAAAAAACUGUUAGUUAGCUCAUAAAAUACCACAAACCAUAACAAGUAAAAAGUUGUGACACGCCAUGCAUAACAAGUAAAACGUUGUGACAUGCCAUUCAUAAAGAGUAAAAUGUUGUGACACGCCAUGUAUAACAAGCAUAAUGUUCUGACACGUCAUGCAUAACAAGUGAAAUGUUGUGACACGCCAUGCAUAACAAGUAAAAUGUUGUCACACAUUAACGCUGACACGUCGAUACCUUACUAAAAUACAAAUGUCCUGACCCACUAAUCUGAAUUGAACCAAUUAAACCACUACCACUUAACCCCACAAACCAUCAAACCAAUAAGAAAACGCAGUCUAAACAUUUGCUAAACGUAAACCACAAAAAUACAAGUGAAGAUAGAAUAACGUACUUGUGAUUUAAGGCCGUCAAGAAUCCGAGCAACGAUACGAUCCUCAAGCGUCUGCAUUGCUAGAGUCAAUGACUGAAUUGAAGCCUUCAGCUCCAACAUCUCUUUGACAUGCUUGCGCAUGAUCCCUCGAAAGCUGGCGAGUAGUGACUGCUCCGUCAUUGACUCUUCUUGACUAGGUUAACUGCAAUAACAUAUAUCACUGUGUUAUUCAAUAAUCAUAUAUGGAAUUGUUGAACAUUAACCGUUACAACUUUAAUAUCCUUACCGGUGACUCGUAAGCAAUUUAUGGUGGAGCUGGACCCAUCGGUGCUUGACGACCUGUUGUCACCUCCAUAAACUGCAAUAACAGAAACUACUGUGUUACUCGAUAAACAUAUGUGAAAAUGUUGAACACAAAUUGUUAGAACCCAUUUUACCUACGAGUCGUUUCCACUGUGCAUUUGAGGAGGACCGGUGGGUGGUUCUGAAGCUACCGAUGCAUGGACCAACUGUAAACACAGAUAUGUUAUUCGAUAAUCAUAUAUGGAAUUGGAGAACACAAAACCGUUAAACUGUCUUUACCGGCUGUUCACUGCCUUGAUCAUGGUCGUCCCGUUCGUCCAUCAACUCAGGGCCCAACAUCUCAUCAUUAAAACCAACGGUGGUGCGCGUCCGCUUCGUGCCACCAGAGGCUCUUUUCUCUUUCAAGCUUCUCUUUUUUUGCCUCGCACCUAAGCCCCAAUCCGACCGAUCCUCUAUGUGCCCUAUUAGCACGUACUCAUGGCCCUCCGAUAACGGGACAUCAAGGUCCAUAAAAUACUCCCAAUUGGCCUCAUCCGCGAAGAGUUUUAACUUCUCUAGUGCCCACAACUGCAAAUAAACAAAUAAAAUAUUGUGAUUAUCGAAUACGAAAAAUUAUUAUACAAAUAUAAGGCAAAAAUUAGUAGUUGUUCACUCACAUGGUCAAAUGACUUUAACUUCUGAAAUUCCAUGUAGAUGUCUUUUGGCUUCUGAUUGUAAUCCUAUUUGCACAUUUGUGGGUAAACGUUGUCCUUCAAACCAAAGGGGGCAAUUAUUUUUUACAGGGCCGAAAUUACCUCCAUUGCCUAGAACUGCAAGUCAAAUGUAACCAUUAUCAGACCGUAAAUCAUAAACGAGUGCAACUAUAAAUUAUUAAAGUAAAAAGGAAACUGGAAAAUGUUUCGUGAUAGUACCUAUAUCACCCAUGCGAAUCCGUAAAUGUUGUAGCGUAACCGAGUUUCCUUUGUCAUGCUUGAGUCAGGCACUUCGAACCCUUUCAAAAGGUAGUCCAAGGUCAGCUUCCAAACAUAGUGCCCCAAUGGGAAGACAUUCCAAGCGUCAAUGUCCUCCACCAAUGACAGCAACCAAGGCAUCACCCAUCUACGGUAGCCUUGACCAAAUAAAAUGUUAUUCGUGAUUAAGAAGAGUGCCAUCUUAGUCGCGUCUCCUGGUUGCUGGAAGUUGCCCUCACAGAACGUAUCAAGCAAAGCCUGCAGCUUAACGCUCUCUUGCCUGUUCCAGUAUCUGGCAUGAAUUCCGUCCGUAGCAACCUCGUACGAUCGUCUAAACACAUAGGGCAUUGGACCAAACUUCAUCUCGGUGAUGAGGCAAGACUCUUGAUUUGAUAGUCACGCCUUGCUCUUGCCAAUGGCAAACCAUAGCUCGUGGUCCAUUGACUGGCUCUCAUUGAUCCGACAAAGCAUGAUGCUGUGUAGGAGACCAACGCAAAAGUACCUUUGUGGAUAGACGUCCAAGAUCCUUCCGAAGCAUGUACGCUUCACUGCAUCGUAUUCCCCCUUCUGUUGGAGAGUCUUUGUGAUGUAAUGCAGCUGCGACCACUUACAGUGGGUGUUAAUUGCGAUGUUGAACGCCCACUUCUACCUCGGCAUGAUCAGUAAACUGUCAAGAUCCUCAUACUGUCUGCGCUGGAUCUGUAAAACAUGGCACACAUGCACCAGUGAGUUAAGCCGUAAUGUACAACAAGGUAUACUGAAGACAUAAAUAAGGAAUAAAUGUUGUGAAACAUCAUUCAUAACAAGCAAAAUGUUGUGACACGCCAUGCAUAGCAUUCAAAAUGUUGUGACACACCAUACAUAACAAGUAAAAUGUUGUGACACGCCAUGCAUAUUAAGUAUAAUGUUGUGACACGCCAUGCAUAUCAAGUCAAAUGUUGUCACAUGCCAUCUACAUCGAGUCAAAUGUUUUCACACGCCAUGCAUAUCGAGUCAAAUAUUGUCACAUGUUAACACUGACUAUAAUAACAAUGUCGUGACACGACAAACACCAAAACCCCUAAAACCACUACGACUUAACCCCAAAAACCAUCAAACCAACAAGAAAACACAGUGUACACAUUUGCAAAACAAAACAAAAAACACGAAAAUAUCAAACAAACCCAGAAAAAAAUUAACAAACACAAGAAUGUUUUAAUUUGAGACUCACUGACCUCUUCACUCAUAGCCGACAUUGUUGUUGGUGUUGUGCUGUCGUUACACUUGCAAAGUGCCUUCUCGAACACUCCGGUACCGGCGAGAAUGAGAAUUGAAUCACACAAACUUUAGGAAUUCUGAAAAUAACUAUUUAAAAUGAGUUAUUUUUUUUAUUUCACUAAAGGGAAUUAAUUGAGUGGAAGUUCAAACGAUUACCACGUUAACUCUCUGCUUUUUUUUUUCCUUUCUCUAUUUCAAACCAUGACGUGUCAGCUAUUCAAGCAAUACCGUGUCACACACUUUAAACCAUGGCGUGUCAGCUUUUCAAGCAAUGCCGUGUCACACACUCUAAACCAUGCCGUGUCAGCUUAAUAAGCAAUGCCAUGUCACACACUCUAAACAUGGUGUGUCACCAACUCUGAACUCUGACUUGUCACAAUUUCCCUCCAUGGCGUGUCACCAACUCUGAACUUUGGCAUGUCACAGAUUCCCUCCAUGGCGUCUCACCAACUUUGAACGCUGGCAUGUCACAGGUUCCCUCCAUGUUCUGUCACCAACUCUGAACUCUAACGUGUCACAGAUUCCCUCAAUGGCGUCUCACCAACUCUGAACGUUGACGUGUUAUAGAUUUCCACCAUGGCGUGUCACCAACUCUUAACUCUGGCGUGUCACAGAUUCCCUCCAUAGCGUCUCACCAACUCUAAACGCUGACGUGUCACACAUUCCCAACAUGACGUUUCACGUACUCUAAAUCCUGCCCUGCCACAACUGUCUCACAUAUGGCCUGCUAUAACAGGACCAUUUCCUGCUUUGGAUUCACAUCUUUCUCCUUUCAAUUCACCACCGUAUCAAGGAUUUCUAGUUUCACAUCAUUAGCCAAGCUUUCCAUUCAUCAUGACCGAGUCUUCGUUUGGUUUAAUAUCACUAUUUUCCUAUUAUCUGAAUGCCAUGACCCAAAUCUCUAAAAAACUAUCUCAUGCAAUAUUAUUUUGUUUUGUACAACCUUCGCAAAAAAAAAGGAUGUUUUGUACAAAAUUAGAUGUUCGCAAAAUUCUUUGCAUAUUUAUUUUUUUUUCCAUUUUUCGCCUGUUUGAGAGCGCACACUAAAGAAGAUGGCACAUUAAGGGCUUUUUUGUCUCAAAAUCUAUUCUGGUGGCUAAAAAUAGUUAAAUUUAUCCCGAUGGUUAUUUACAAAAAACGUUAUUUUUAAAGGCUAAAAAAAAAUUCCCCUUCUAUUUUUGUCAUUUUACAAUAAUUUUUUCCUUAAGAUCCAUUUAUUUCUCACCUACUUGCUUAAUGGCUUUCAUGGAAAAAUACUUUACCAUAUACAGUACAAGGGAAGGGAGAUUUCCGGAGCUUUCGUAUAGAUAUUUAUCUCUUUUUACUAGUGGGACAUGGAAUCAUGAGCAUUUGUUGUAUCAGUUUGAGAAGAAAACUGAUACACUGUUAUGAAGACUUGCUUGUUUAAACUCUUUGACUAAAGCAUGUUUAUAGUAUAUUGCCUCUGUUUAAAUUACAUAAACAUCAGUAACUUAAAUUUUAAACAAAUUAAAUUAGUCUAAAUAUACUUGUGUAUGAAUUUGUAUAAUUUAUGAAAGAGCCUUUUUUUCCCAGAACAUCCUUUUUUUUUGUUUUUUAAACUCAUUCAUUACUUGGUGAUAAGCUUUUUCUCUGUCAUUCUUGCCUUAUUUUUGCUGAGCCUUUUACUUUGCUUCAAACAGUUUUUAUUUACUCAUUAAGAAGGUGGAUUUCAUCAUCUUAUUAUUCCACUUCCCCCUUUAAUAAUUACUUACUCACUAUUGAUGACUUCACAACUUCUAUAUUGACUUUGCAUUGAGUUAUGCUAAUGAAGCAUAGUUUUCUCUAAACCAAAUUUGGCAUGAUUUCAAAAGCAAGUUCACACCUUCAAUUCACUUUUUCUUUUUGGUCUCACGUAUUUGAGAAGAAAAAUCUAUCAGGAUUCGUCUCUUUCUCUUUAUCAGUAUUUUCUUGGUGAUAUGCUUUUUCACUGUCAUUUCCCGUCUUCUUUUUGCUCACCCCUUCUAUUUUGCUUCCAACAUAUUUUUUUUUUUAAUUUUCUCAAUAAUUAACGAGACAAAGAUUACCAAUGGGACAUAGGCAUCAUUGCUAUCAAAGCUUUUGAAUUAUUGACCUGAUCCCUUUAUUGUUCUCUUUCAUAUUUUUGACAUUUUGCAAUCAUUUCAAAAUGGAAAUUAAGAUCACACUUUUCAUUUUCUCUUUGUACUGUUACGUAAAUAAGACCUAGAAUCAUUGACGUACUUUUGAAUUAUUGAUUUUUUUAUUAUUUUAUUUUAUUUUUAAUUAUUAUUCAAUAUUUUUUUCUUUUCCCCUCUGAGUUUAAAACAACUUAAAAUAUAAGAAAACGAAUGUUUACUGAGGUAUUGCUCCUUUUUAAUUUCUUCUUCUUCUCACGUUCUUGGGUUUUAGCUGAAAGUGGAAGACCCUUGGCCUCAAAUGCCUCUGGUAUUCCACAUCUUUUGAUAAUGGACAUGGAAUCAUUGUUAUUUUAGUUUCUUAUUCAACAAAAGUUGCAGCAUGGACUUGGUUUUCUUCUUAGUCUCUUUUUUUUUUAUUGUUAUUUUCUUUUAUUUAAACAACAAUGGGUUCAAACAUCUUUUGAUUUAUCGAAUUAUUGCCCUCACUUUUUCUUUUCUUUUUUUAUUAAAAAAUUAUUUAACAACUAAUAAUAUCUCACUCCAAAAUCUUAACUUAUGAAAACAUGCUAUAUGUGUUGAUCAUUAGAUUAUUAAUUUUAGCUACUAAAAAAGGUGAUUAUUAAAGAUAGAUAGAUCUUUAAAAAAAAAAGUAGAUAGAUAAAGAAAUCCAUCAUCUCUAGGAGAAAUUUCAAUUAAAAAAAAAUGAUCAGCAGUGAGGAAAGUUAAGCUAAAAAAUGUUUAAGAAAGUUUCAUCAAUUGUUUUUCUCCUUGCGAUGGGGAAAACUUUGGUCAUUCAUUUCCUAAUUGACUAUCUUUGCUUCAAAGUUAACAAAGAAAUAUCAAUGUGGAAUUAGGAUUCUUCUUAAUUCUUAUCUUAAUAGAAUUAAGUCUAACUUGAAAACCAACUUUUGAAUUAUUGAUCCCGUUAGAUGGAUCAAUUUGUUUUAUCAUCUAUGUAUUUUUAAUAAUUUUAAGCUCCUUUUUACACAUACGUUUAUUUCAAAUCUACUUCAAAUCCAGAUUACUGUUAGGAUAGUCUUGAAUUAUAUUAUGAUUAGAAUUGUUUAAUUUUAAUUAAACUAAUAUACCUUCUUUGAGAUAGUCUUUAAAUUUAGUUAGACUAUAAUAACAUAUAUUAAUUAUAUUAGGAUAAGAUUAUUGUACUUGACCCCUAUAAAAGGAUUUUAUGGGGUUAAAGAAAUCUAAUCAUUUAGAUUUAGAGAUAGUAAUUUGGGUGUACGUGAGAUAAGAGUUUUGAGUUUGAGACUGUUUUUGUAAUCUUUUGAUUUUUCUCUUAGUGAAUCUUUCCCCAUUGCUGUAUCCGUUGACGUAAGUCAUCUAAAGACUAAACCACGUAAAUUUUUGUGUUCUUGUGAAUGUGCUUGAUUUUCUUCUUUCUUUAUUCAAUUGAUUGAGUAAGAUCUAGAGUAACUGUUUAGAGAUAAUUUCAUAAUUUUCACAAUAAAUUGGUAUUAGAGCUUCAAGGUCUUAAGUCAAUAUGAAUAAUCGAUGUAAUCCUUCUAUUAUUGUCCGUUAAUUUUUGUUAUUUUGGAAUAUUUUUUCCAUUGAGAUCCAUUUAUUCUCACCUACUUGCUUGCUCUGUUUAAUGACUUUCAUGGAAAAAUACUUUAUCAUAUAUAAUUACGAGGGAGAUUCUCGAAAUUUUCGUGGUUUAGAAAUUAAUAUGAUAAAUAAAAGAAUAUGGGACAAUAUUUUAACUAGUUUGUGGUUUAGAAACUAAACUGAAAAUGUAUAAAAUAAUAUUCUCAAAAUUAUUCUGAAAAUGCACUCUGUAGGUCAAGGUAUCAUUACAGAUCGUGUUUUUAUGUCCCCACAUUUGAUUCCUUGUUCUUUAUCAGAAAAUCAUGCCUGCACCUGGUCUCUGUAUCUAUCUCAUUAUUUCAUUAGGAGGGUAAAAGAAAAUGAAUUCCCCUUUCUCCUUAAAGAACAUGUGAUAGUGGGUCCACACGCUGCAAAAUUGUCUGUAAAUGAAGGAAGAAAUAGUUGCGGUUAGUCGUCGCCGAAUUGAUUAUCUCUGUUCCAAAGUUAACAAACAAAUGCUAAUGUGAAAUUAAGAAAUUGCUCAACUCUUGCCUUGAGAGAAUUGAGUCUAAUGCGGAAACCGAAUUUACCAAAGUAAAAGAGAGAUUCUAGGAACUUUCUUGAUAUUUUUAGUUCAUUGUGAAAUCAAACACAAGAUUAAUGCCACCAUUUAUUGAGAGUGUAUUGUCAUUAAAUAAGUAUUAUUGACUAAUCCUCUCUUAAAGAAAAAAAAAUGAAGAUGCUUUGUUAAAGGAAAUUCUAAUUAAUGUAAAAUUGACUUCAUGUUUGUGAUCCUAAACAUAAUAAUGUCUUCUCCAUAAAAUUUAAAAAAUUAAAUUAUUUCAAUAAAUAAAGUAUAAAUUUCCACUAAACAAAAUUUUGUCAUUAUUAAAAAAGCAAUUAAAUUCAGAACCAGUAACAGGGGUUAACCGUUAACCCCUUGCUAUACAAGAGCUGGUGGUGUCCCCAAAAAACUGUAGCCAAAACCCAAACUCAAAGGAGUCCCAGGAAUCAUAAUUACAUAAAUGGUGGUACGCACAGCCUCCACUACCUUUAUCCUUGGAGGCCAAUCCCUGUCAGAACAAGAACCAGAGCAGAGAGCGAGUAAGCACCCACUAAGAGAAUAAACAAAAUUAAUUACAUGAAAGACCCCUGUAACAAAAGACAAAUUCAGUGUGAAAAAUCAACAAAACAUGGCCCCCAGAAGCAAUCGAAAAACUUCUCAAGAGCAGCUGAAAAAGAAAUUAAGUUUACACUUUUAAUUCUUUCAUUGUGCUUCUAUGCAAAUGGACGUUGGAAUCAUCGAUACACUUUUAAAUUAUUAAUUAUUUUUUAUCAUUUUUAAUUACUUUUUAAUAUUUAUUUUUUAUCUAUUUAGUUAGUUUAUAUGAAAAACACUUUAUUCUCUUUGUAAGUAGAAACUACUAUCAUUAUUUCGUAAAUAUCAUCAAGAGUAAACACUAAACUUGAUUAUCUUUAUUUAUGAUUUUUUUGUAAUUAAGCAUUACUUGGUGAAUUCUUUUCUAAUAAUGAGCAAUGGCCUACUUUUACAAGCCUUUUGUGAACUUGUUGCCUGCCUAAAUCAUUUAAGUUGGACAUGGAAAAAAAUUUAGUGUCAAUUUUGCUUGUAAAGUUUGCGGAUGUAUGCUCAAAUGCAAAAACCAAGAGCAAUAGAAGAAAAUGCUGCAGGUAUACACCAAGGAAAAACGGAAGUUGCAGGUAAGCUUCUAUUUUUAUCAAAGAAAACUGAAAUAGAAAUCAAAGAAAACUCAAAAUAUAUAAAAUAAUAUUCUUAAAUUAUUCAGAAAAUCUACUUUAUAGGUCAAGGUACAUGUAUACUUUUUGAAACAUCAUUUAGAGAUCAUGUUUUUUUCCCCGCAUUUGAUUCCUUGUUCUUUAUCAGAAAAUCAUGCCUCCUCCUAGACCCUGUAUCUGUCUCAUUAUUUCAUUGGGAGGGUAAAAGAAAAUGAAUCCACUUUCUCCCCAAAGAACAUGUGAUAAUGGGUCCACACUUUGAAAAAUUGUCUGUAAAUGAAGGAAGAAAUUGUUUUGGUUAGUCGUCGCCUAAUUGAUUAUCUCUGUUCCAAAGUUAACAAAGAAACGUCAAUGUGGAAUUAAGAAAUUGCUGGACUCUUGUCUUGAGAGAAUUAAGUCUAACGCGGAAAUCGAAUUAUCAAAAUAAAAGAGAGAUUCUUGAAACUUUCUUGAUAUUUUGGGUUCAUUGUGGAAUCAAAUACAAUAUUAAGGCCACCAUUUAUGGAAAGUGUAUUGCCAUUAAAGAAGUGUUAUUCAUUCAUUCUCUUUCAAAGAACAAAAAAAGAAUGGAGAUGCUCUGUUAAAGGAAAUUUUAAUUAAUGUAAAAUUGGUUUCAUAUUUGUGAUCUUAAACAUAAUAAUGUCUUCUCCAUAAGAUUUAAAAACUUAAAUUAUUUUAAUAAAUGAAGUAUAAAUUUCCACUAAACAAAAUUUUAUGAUUAUUCAAAAGACAAUUAAAUUCACAAUGGUUUUCUUUUGAAAAGCUGCAAUUUUAUUCCCUAUUCAGAACCAGUAGCAGUGGUUAACCCCUUGCUAUACAAGAGCUGCUGGUGUCCCCAAAAAACGGUAGCCAAAACCCAAACUCAAAGCAGUCCCAGGAAUCAUAAAUACAUCGACGGAGGUAAGCACAGCCUCCACUACCUUUAUCCUUGGAGGCCAAUCCCUGUAAGAACAACAACCAGAGCAGAGCGCGAGUAAGCACCCACUACGAGAAUAAACAAAAUUAAUUACAUGAAGGACCCCUGCAACAAAAGACAAAUUCAGUGUGAACAAUCAACAAAAGAUGGCCCCCAGAAGCAAUCAAAAAACUUGUCAAGAGCAGCUGCUAAAGAAAUUAAGUUCACACUUUCAAUUUUUUCUUUGUGCUCCUAUAUAUGCAAAUGGGCGGUGGGAUCAUCUAUUCACUUUUGAAUUAUUAAUGCUUUUUUUUGGUCGUUUUUCAGUUACUUUUAAGUAUUUAUUUUUAAUCUACUUGGUUGGUUUACAUGGAAAAUAAUUGACUCUCUUUGUAAGCAAAAACUACAAUUAUUAUUUCGUAAAUGUCUUUAAGAGUAAACAUUUGAUUAUAUCUAUUUAUGAUUCUUUUAUAAUUAGGCAUUACUUGGUGAAUUCUCCUCUAAUAAUGAGAAAUGACCUACUUUUAAAAGCUUUUUGUGAACUUGUUGCCUGCGUAAAUCAUUUAAGUUGGACAUGGAAAAAAAAUUUAGUGCCAAUUUCGCAUGUAAAGUUUGCAGAUGAAUUCUCAAAUGCAAAAACCAAGAGCCAUAGAAGAAAAUGAUGCACAAUAAUCAGAAAUCAAGGCUAAGCUUCUAUUUUGAUCAAAGUACUGAAAUAGAAAUCAAGUUUGCGCUACAAUAAUCAGAAGCCCACAAGCAGAGGGAAUUAAGAAACAACAGUUGAUUCUUCUUCGGGUAGCAAAAACACUUGAAUACAGGAGAGAAAAUUUCGAAUAAUUGAUGUGAUCUCUCUAUUAUUGUCCUUUAUAUUUUUGUCAUUUUUUCAAUUUCUGAGAUGAAUAGAAUAUUACAUCUCCAAUUUUCGCUUUCAAACACUGUACAAAUAAUGGAACAAAGUCAACAUCCACAUUUUGCUUAAGGAAAAAGAAAAAUCAAGGAAAGGAAGACAGAUAGGCCAAUUUGGAUUUGGAUAACUUAUAGUUAUGAUGAUUUUGGGGGUGCCACUAACAAAUCUUUUCUGGAUCCAAUUGAUGGGCCAGAAGAAACCAAAAAGAGAAAAGGAUGGAGUCAUGAAGAUGCUCUGUUAAGGUCCCUUGGUUGGCUUUCUAGGAAGUGUUAUGGCAAAAGCAUGGGACUUGCGAGGAUGUAAAUGAUAGAAAAUUUUCCAGCCAACCACAAUUGCUCAAGUUCAGCUUCAAAUCUUUUUAUUUUUAUUGUUUUCUUUUUUGUGCUCCUACCAUUUGAGAAGAAAAUCGAUCCAUUAUUAUGAAGACUUCCUUGUUUAAUCUUGUCAUCAGUUAACAAUUUAUUUAAUCUUUUUUAUUGAAGCAUAUUUAUAGUUUAUUGCCCCUGUUUAAAUUACAUAGACAUCAAUAACUUGAAUUUUAAAUAAAUUAAAUUAUUCUAGAUAUGAUUGUGUAAGAAAAAUCAUAAUUAAGAAAAGCUUGUAGGAACCUGAUGAAAUGCAUAAUUAACAAAAUUCAUCACCAAGUCCUUAAAAGCAUAACUAGCUUUUUGACCAUGCUUGUCAUUGGAAAAAUAGGAAAGCCCAAGCAAUGAUGAGUGAUGUUUCUUGGGCUGGAAAUGACUUUAUUUACGGAUAUGAAUAGACAAUAACACCUUCAACUUUUCUAUUCAAACACUGUAUAAUUAAUGAAAUACGCCUUUUAUUUAAAUAAAAAAAAGAAGAAUCGAAGAAAGGAAGGUAGAUAGACCAAUUUGGAUUUGGAUGACCUAUAAUUAUGAUGACUUUCGUAUUCAUAUUCACUUUUGUUAAUAAAAACAGUUUUUUUUUAAAACAAUUUAUACUGUAGAAAUUUGGUGUUAAUAAGCAUAGGAAAAAUAAACAAAAAUAAGUAACUAAUAGAAUCGAAAUUUAGAAAUUAUUAAUAUAUUUUCAUGGCACUGCACAAUAUAUAUAUUCAUGGUAUAAAAAUUAAUUAUAAUUUUAUUUUAUUUUGUUAUAAAUUUUAUGACUUAUAACUAUGAUGAUUUAAGAUAUGUCACUGUUAAAUUUUUUCUUAAUCUAUUAGAUAGGACAAUUUGUUUUAUCAUAUCCCUCCAUUCGCUUAUCUUUGUUCUUUAUUUAUUUAUUUAUUUUUUGUUAAAUAAACUUGAUUCUGAUCAUUAAUUUUUUUUUGAAAAUAUGGUGCAUUUAAUUAAUCAUCAAUCACAUAUUACAAUGUGAGUUAUUAACAAAAUUUAAUGAACAUUAAACCGCUAUAUCCCACUUUCAUUCCCUGUGCAUAGAAAGUAAGUCUUGUUGAAAACCUUCCCUUGGAAAAACCCAUUUGGAUAAAACCAAGGGUAAAGAAAAAUAGUACUUCUUUAACCAUACAAAUCCCUAGGAUCUUUCUGAACACCCUUCCCCGUUUGUAACGUACGAAGCUUCCUUGUCUUUUAGUAGGCACUCUUUGAUUUUGCAAAUCGUCAAUCCUGAAAUACCCUUACUCUCCUUAGCCAUUGAUAACAUUCCCGAUAAUGCUUCGGUGAUAAUCACAAACAAGAAAGUAUUACUUGAAAUUGCUACAAAAUCUUAAAAAAUAGUCUUGUAAUAUGGAUAAUUAUUGAAACAAAAUGUAUGAUAUUGUAAGAAAAGGAAAUUAAAUUGAAUUUGCUAAUUCUAAGUGCAUGUAGAAAUGAUCCAAUCCCUUCAUAUAAUUCUUAUUGUAAGCAUUACUUGGUAAAAUUUUCUUCUAUCAACGAGUAAUUACUUCAUUUUAAAUGCUUUUUGUGAACUUGUUGCCUGGCUAUACUACCAUGGCCAAAUGUUUUAUACGUUGGAGUAACAAUCAAACUCUCAAUAUUUCAAUAAAUCACUUUAAAAUAAAAAAUUAAAGUUUAAUUUCCCUGUCUUGAUUGCUGCAUAACAUAUUUGUACAACUUAUUGACUAAAGACAUAAAAUACAAAAAUAAGGACAAGAAACAGAAGAAUUUUAGGCUUGUUCUUUUGACUUAUUGUAGAUAUAGAGAGCAACAUAACAUUGAUUAGGUAAAAGCAAGUGAUCCCUUCACUUGACAACUCUACGAAGCCAACAUCUCGACCAACGAAAAGUACAAUAAUUUCAACUAACUGUUUUUCUGGUUUUUUUUAUGUAAAUAAUAAAAGUUAGUACAAGUAAACCAUCCAAAACUUGAUUAGGACCAGGCACACAAGUGAAAGAAAAGAAAAUGGAAAGCAGCUUUGCUUUUCCUGUGUUUAGUUGACAGCCUCAACCACUAUAUUUAUGUUUAAACAUGCCUUUGCAACUUCCCCUGCAAUCACCUCAUCAUUCUUCCAUGUAAGGUGGUAGCUGAUCAACCCGACGUGGCUGCCACCUGUUCCAAGCUAUGGUCUUGGUGUGGACUACAUUUUGAGCAGUGACAGACCCUUCAGUGUCAUCUUGCUCAACCAGUCGUGGUAUCUUUUUAAACCAUUGAAGCAGCAAAAUGUAAAACAAAGUAUUAAUGUCUCAUGUUAUAAAGGAAAAAGAAAAAAUAGACAUAUUAUAAUAUAUAAGUAUUUUAUGUCAAAAAUUUAUUAAAAGUAAUGGAAUCAUUCACUAAAAGUGAUAUUCUAGACAUAGACUAAUCUUUUUGUUGCAGCAUACUACUUAGUCAUUUAAGUAAUUUAAGUAAAGACUUUGAAAAAUUAUGUAGUAUAAUAUUAUUAAAGACUCUAAUUGCCUUUGCACAUAACAAAUAAAAGCUUGUACUUAAUUUACUAAUCAAUAAUAAAAGCUCUUAAUAAUUAAUAAUGAUUGUUUUGGGAGGAUAAGGAGAAUGAAGAAGGUAUUUUCAUUUUUUUUUAAUAAUAUUCCGGCAAGAGUACAUGAAGAUGGCUUCAAAGGAUUUUUGAUCAAUUUGGAAAGGUUGUCAAUACAUUUAUAGAGAGAAAUAGAUGCAAAUAUAGUAAGAGGUAUCGCUUGAUCAUAUUUGAAUAUUUUAAUAAAGCUAGAAGAGCACUCCAGAAUUUAAAUGGAGUCUGGCUUCUUAAUCAAAGGCUAGUGGUCAACAUAGCUAGCUAUGGAAGCCAUGAUUCAUUCUAAAGGAGGAACCAAAAAGGAAGCUUCUUAUGCACCUGGUGUUAACCACAUUAGGAAUGGAACCUGCAGUGGGAUUUUAAGACACAACUCGACCUUAUUUACUAAGCCAUCUUAUGCUCUGGAAUUGAAUGGCACUUUUGAAAGAGGUGGAGUUUCAAAUAAAGAUAGAGAAGAUGAUCUUCAAUGUCUCAAAAAGCAUGGAAAACAUGCUUUGGUUGAAGAGAAGUGUUGUGGUAACAACAUAAUGUAAUUCAGAUUCAGCAAAGUGGAUGGAAUUAUUUAAAAUGUGAGGCAUUUCGGGGCUGCUUAUGAGGAGUUUGUCUCCCAAAGAAUUUCUGCUAACCUUUGAGGAUAAGAAGCUAUUUGAAGAACUCAAAGAUAAAGGUUGGGAUUGGCUUAACAAAUGGUUUACUAAGGUGGAAACAUGGCUAGAGAAUUUUUCAUCAAAACUCCUUAGCAAGUGGGUGAUUGUCAAAUUGAUUGUACAGGGUAUCCUUUAGAUGUGUGAAAUAGGCAUAUUAUAAUUUAUAAGCAUUUUAGGCCAAAUUCAUUAAAAGUGAUAUUCUAAACUAAGUUUUGGUUGUAGAGACUUACUCAAUCAUUUAAGUAAUUUAAGUAAAGAUUUUGAAGAUUAUGCCUUAAAAUAGACAAGAUUAAAGUUUUCAAGGUGUAUACCUCUGUUUUGGCGUGCACAUAUUUCUUUGAAUCUAUGAAGAAACCUGUAGUCAUCUUGGGACAUCCUUCUACUCUUAAAGAUGACAAAGCCGGUAGUACAAAGUGAUAUCCCCUUGGACAGAAGUCAACGAGGCUUCGCACUUUUACAAGUGAUAAUACUUUUAAUUGAUCAAACUUUAUCUCCUUUUCAGCUAUUGCUUCUGCUUCAAAUACUUGCUCCAAUUUAGAGUUCCCUUUGACCCAUAAUUUUUCAAGUUUUUGAAGACAACAAGCAAAUCCAAGAGGAAAGAGACAUCUUAGCCUCUUGCAAUCUAUCACCUUUAGAACUGUAAGGUUUUCAAGAGUUGCAACUUGAGCCACAUCCUUCCAUAUCAUCUGCACUUCAGAUAAAUCCUCCAGAUGGAGUUCCUUUAUACGCCCAUGAAUCUGAAAUACCCCCUUCGUGACUCCCAACUGGUUUAUUUUCUUGAUUGUAAUUGGCUAAAAUAUGCAACUGAAAGCUAUUCCCAACUUAGAGAGAGAUAAUUCCUGCAAAUACAGACACCACUAAAUGUCACUAAAUACAUUCAUUUUCUACUAGAUUGGGAAGAGUUAAGCAAAUGUUACUCAUAAUUCUUCAUAUUUUUAGAUGCCAAUUCACAAAAAAUCCUUACAUUUCAAAGAUAGCACAUAUAUAUGUUUCAAAAUUUAAAUCCAAAAUUUUCAUGAAAUUGUUUGAAAGUGGAACCCAAAAACACCAAACCUUUUUAGGUUUUUCUUUGUUAAAUUUGAACAUAAAACCUUUUGUGAUUUUCCUUUUCUUUUGUUUUUUUCUUUGUCAUUUUUAUGCUGCAAUUUUAAAAUAUAGUUGGAUAAGUUUGUGAGUGUUGAAAAGAUUUGGCUCGAAGGCAAAAUCCAAAACCAUAAUUGAAGAAAAAGUAUAUAAAAGAAAUACCUUUAGUUGAACUUGCUCCUUAGCUUCUUUUUGAAUGGUAAAAUUUAUCAAUUUAGGACAGUUGUAAAUGUCCAACUUCUUCAAAGACGGUGAUGAGAUGAGAAAGUUUUCCGACCAAAAGCAACCCAAAUUUGUCAAGUUUACAAGUCCUAAAUGUUGUAGGGAAGGGAGUGCAAUGGCACAAUCAACUCCAAUCUUUUCUUUUGCCACACGGAAGACUUGCUGUAACUGAGGCGAAUCGGUUAUCCAAAAUGAUUUCAAUCGUGGAAGAACUUGAGCCAGAGCAAUUUGAAAAACAUAUUCCAAUCUUGGACAAUCAGUUAUUUCUAAAGUUUCCAACUUUGGCAAGAACGGAGAAAAGGCAUUUGGUUCCAUUUCAUCAUCACAGACCAACUCGGUGAUAAUGUGUUGCAGUCCAUCACAGUGAUCUAUCGUGAGUUCUUCUAGUAGCACCAAGCUUUGAGCAAGGGAUGGUGAGAAGAGAUGUUUCAAUCUAUUGCAGUAACUAAUUUCUACAAACUUCAAGCUUUGGAGGCUGACAAAACGGGUGGAUCCUUUCCAUAUCCAAUUCAAUUCAGGUAAUGAGUUUAGCUCCAUUAGUGUUAAAUUUGACAACAGCAAUCCUUGAUUUUCUUUUGUAUCAUGAAGAAGCUCAUCUAUUUGAAAUACUUCUUGCAACUGGCCACAAUUAAUAACUUUCACUUCCUUUUUGUCGCGCAGGAGAUAAAGAGACCAUUUCCAUGCAAUUCCUUGUUGUCAACUUCUCUAGUUUCUGUAGAAAGCCCUUUGGAAACUGACCUUUGCACAACAUUUUGAAACCAGUCAUUUCUUUUAUGACUAAUUCCACUAAAUUGAGCAAGGCAUUGGUUGAGACAUGGCCUUCUGUCGUAUCAAUCAAGCAUUCAAGCUCCUUGCCACCUUUAAGUGCAAGAAAAGUUAAUUCAUUAAGCCACUUUGGAUCUACAUUUGGAAUGAGAUUUUUUUGAUACAUGACACUAUCCAGGGUUAGACUUUUGGCAUUGUAUAAUACUUCCUUCAAUGCAUGCAAUUGAACAUCCUGAUAAAUCACAACAAAAUGAAAGAUAUUAGAAAAAUAGAAAGGUAGAUAAUACUCUUUAAAUCAGAAUUGAAUUUCUUUCUAUGCAUAAAAUUUAAAACAUACCAAAGCUCAUUAAAGUUGAAAAACAUACCAAAGCUCAUUAAAGUUGAAAAACAUACCAAAGCUGUACAUGCUGAAAUUUAUCAGACACAUGGAAAUAUGAUUUAGCAAUAAAGUACAUGUGGGAUGCACGCAAGGAAGGAAAAGAAAUAAAAUUUUGUUAUUGCCACGUGCUUGUUUGCUUUUUUUAUUAAAUUCAUUAAAUUUUUUAUUUUAUCAUGCCACGUACAUGUCUUCUAUUGCCACAUCAUGUUUUCACAUGUCCUAUAAAUGCUAGCGUGGCUUGGAGUUAAAACAUCCAUGGAUUCUAUCCAAAUAAGGGUGCUUGGAUAAUGAAAAUAACACUUUAAGAGCUUAAUUAGAUGCAAUUAUAUGCAAAAUAAUCAUGCAGCACUCUCAUUCUUAUAAUAUGAAUGGGUUCUUUUUUUAUUAUUAUUAAAUGACGAGUACUUUGAGUAAUUAUUGAAGGAAUUGAAGACAAAGUUGCUGAUGAUCAAUGAGAGUUUGAAUUUCUCCAGGAUACAAGUGUGACUUUCCCUAAUUUUUAUAAUGUAAAACCCCGUAAAAACCUUUCUUGAAGAAAAGUUUUCAUCUUUUUCCUAUUUUGUUGUUCAAAUCUUUUUCCCAUUCCAAGAAAGAAUCAGAAUCACCUAGCUAAUUAUUGUAUGAAUAUGCCGUUCUUUCUUUUUAAUUUAUGAGUAUUGGCCUUUUAUAUCGGUCAAAAUAAAGAGUCUAAAAUUUUUGAACAACAAUUUUAAAAUACAGUUGGAUUAGUUUAUGAGUGUUGAAAAGAUUUGGUUCGAAGGCAAAAUCCAAAAUUGUAAUUGAAGGAAAAGUAUGUAAAAGAAAUACCUUUAGUUGAACUCGCUUCUUAACUUCUUUUUGAAUGGUAAAAUUUAUCAAUUUAGGACAGUUUUAAACUUCCAACUCCUCCAAAGAUGAUGAUGAGAUGAGAAAGUUUUCCGAGCAAAACCAACCCAAAUUUGUCAAGUUUACAAGUCGUAAAUCUUGUAGGCAAGGGAGUUCAAUGGCACAAUAAACUCCAUUAUUUUCUUUUGCCACAAUGAAGACUUGUUGUAGCUGAGGAGAAUCAGUUAUCCAAAAUGAUUUUAACCGUGGAAGAACUUGAGCCAGAGGGAUUUGAAAAACAUAUUCCAGUCUUGGACAAUAACUUAUUCUUAGAGUUUCCAAUUUUGGCAAGAACGGAGAAAAGGCAUUUGGUUUUAUCUCAUCAGCACGGCCCAACUCAGUGAUAAUGUGUUGCAGUCCAUCACAGUGAUCUAUCAUGAGUUGUUGUAGCAGCACCAAGCUUUGAGCAAGGGAUGGUGAGAAGAGAUGUUUCAAUCUAUGGCAGUAACUAAUUUCUACAAACUUCAAACUUUGUGGCGUGGGAGAUAAAGAGACAAUUUCCAUGCAAUUCCUUGCUGUCAACUUCUCUAGUUUUUGUAGAAAUCCCUUUGGAAUCAGACCGUUGCACAACAUUUUCAAACCAGUCAUUUCUUCUAUGACUAAUUCCACCAAAUUGAUCAAGGCAUCGUUUGAGACGUGGCCUUCUGUUGCAUCAAUCAAGCAUUCCAGCUCCUUGCCAUUUUUAAGUGCAAGAAAAGUUAAUUCAUUAAGCCCCUUUGGAUCUACAUUUGGAAUGAGAUUUUUCUGAUACAUGACUCUUUCUAGGGUAACAUUUUUGGCAUUGUAUAAGAACUCCUUCACUCCAUGCAAUCCAACAUCCUAAUAAAUUCACAACAAAAAUGGAAAACACUAGAAAAAUUAGAAUGCUAAAUAACACGUCUUAAAUCAAAAUUGAAAUUAUUUUUUAUGCAUAAAAUUUAAAGAUUUGAGCCAAAAGAAAAGCAAACCAAUGCUUGAAGUACAAAUAUUGUACAGUAUACUUAUUGGUAGAUGUGAAUGUACUAAAAUGCGCUUAUAUAAACCCCAAAACAUAGUAAAUUAUUUUCCAGAUUCAUCAAUCAUUUCUUACAUAAGUAUUCUUUCCUUUUCAUUUUUUCUCGAUUUAAUUUAAUUUCUUUCCUUGAUGUACCAAAGUUAGUGCAAGGGUAGGUGAAAAGAGAUAUACCAGUUUAGAACACAAUCCAAUUCUCAUAGUCUUAAGACUCUGGAGAUUAAAAAAAUGGGUGGAUCCUCUCCAUAUGCAGCUUAAUUCUGGUAAUGACGUAAGCUCCAAACAAGUUAAAUUUGACAAUGGUUGUACCUGAUUUUCCUGACAUAAAGAAAAAUAUAUAAAUUUUUAAUUAAUAAAUAUUGAAAUAUGAAUUCGUUAUACUUAAAUAUAGAGAAGGCAUAUAUUUUUUAGACAAAUGUAGAAGGAAGGGUUGAAAGCCAAUAAUUUAGAAAGAUUAGAUAGUAAUUAUUUAUAAUUCAAUAAUUCAAAGAAAGGUAAUUAGAAAAAGAAUAUAUGAGAGCAUUAUUAAAGGAAAAAUGAAGAGAUAAGAGGUACCUCUAGCUCAACCAUUUCUUUGUCAAAAGCAAAGACUUGCUCUAAUUUUUUGCAUUCAGAUAUCUCAAGUUUCUCUAGAUGCAACAGACUUUGAGCAAGGCAAGGUGAGAAGAUAGAUUUCAAUUUAUGACAACGACAAAUUAUUACUUCCUUCAGACUUUGUAGGCUUACAUGAUGAGUUGGCUCUUUCCAUAGACUCUCCAACGUUGGUAAUGACCGUAGCUCCAAGUUUCUUAAAUUUGAGAUCGAUUGCAUUUGACUUUCUUUCCCAUUCAUUUGAAACACUGAUUGCAACUCCUUACAAUCCGAAAUACUCAAUGUUUCUAACUUUUGUAAGAAGCUAAUCGGGGAUUGACCACGACAUAACUUUUUCAAAGAAGUCAUUCCUUUCAUCUUUAAGUUCACCAGAGUAGAGAAUGCAGUGGUUGAACUUUGUUCUCGUUUUGUAUCGAUCAAGCUUUCCAUGGUGAUAUUGUGCAGAGUAAGGUUUUCCACGUUGCAAAACAGCUCCUUAAAUGCAUUUAAUGAGGAUGAGAAAUCUCUAAUUGUCAAGGUUCUCAAGUGCAUCCCCAUCAAAUCUUCAGUAUCUUCAUUUACAGCUAUAUCGUACCUUUGUAGUUUAGGGAACACAAAGUUUUCUUGAGAACAUUGAUCAGUAGAAACUCUCAAUCUUAAUGCACUCAAACGAGACAUGAAUUAAGCUCCAAUAAGUUCGCAUUGUUUUCUGUGUCCACGUGUAGCUCCUGGAGUGACGCUAACCUGUUGAACACAAAUACAAAAUAUUGUUAACACAAUAAUAGCGUUUUCAUUUGAAUGAUACAAAUAGCUAGGUAAUGAAAUGAAUAAUAUAACAUAAUUUUUUAAAAAUUUUUUCAUGCGUAGAGAAAAUAUAUGUGUGUACUUAAAUACUUAACUGAAAACAAUAAAUUAAACAAUUUUAAUCACAUCUUAAUACUACCUUGAUAGCAAGUUAGGGGGGAAAUAGCAGCAAUGUUCCUCUCCAUGGAAAUAUAGGGAUUUUAGUCUUCGCAAUUCCACUAAUUCCUCCGUUAGCUCUUCAAUAUUAGUAACAAACAAUGUCAAAAUCUCAAGGUUUUCCAUGUUUCCCAAUGAUGAGAUGUUUCUGAGCUUGCAAUCCACAAAGCACAGAGUUCGAAGAUUUGUCAAGAAUUGAAGUGCUUUUAGUGAGAGUACAACAUUUUUGAGAAGUAAAACUCGGAGGGUUUUCAUUCCUUCAAAAAACAUACUCGAAAUUUCCAAUGAAGUAUCUCCCACUAAAAAAAAAGUCUUAAGUUUUGAAAAUUCCAAAUUGUCAGGAAAGUUAUUUAUCUCAACGUCCCAUAAGGAGAUUGCCGUAUAAUAUCCAAAACUUUCACUUAUAGACCAUUCCGUCAACCCAUCUUUUACCAUGAAUUUAUUUUCCCCUCUCAAUGUUACCCAAUGAGCAAAAUCGCGAACCACAUCAUGCAUUUUUAUAGUUUCUUCAUCGUCAGUUUCCAAUAGCAAACCAGAUUGUUGGAGUUUAGUUAAUGCUUCAUAAAUUUCCCUCCGUAAGACUUCAAAUGAGUUAAUGUUACAGAACAAUCCUUGACCAAUUCCACACAUAACCAAAAUCUCAAUCGGUAUUUCAAAAUCUUCUGGAAAAAGGGAACACAACAAGAAACAUGACUUGACAUUAUCAUCCUCCAAAUAAUCAUAACUAAGCUCAAGACGGCUAUAGAUACCUCCAUAAACAUCUUGAUUAUCUAAAGGUCUUGAGUCUCUAAGUCGUUGAUUUGCUACCAUCCAUCCAUUUAGACUUUUACCUUUCAGAGCUUUUGCCACAGUUACAAUUGCAAGAGGCAAACCAUUGCAUUCACGAGCAACCUCCUUGGCUACAAUCAAGGUGGGGGAGUCAUCUUCUACACCAGCUUUAUCUUUGAAUAAAGCCCACGCUUCAUUUUCAGAUAAGAUAUUGAGGUGAACUUCCUUUUGACUAUUCAUACGAGUGCAAACUUGUUGAAGACGCGUGGUUAAAAAAAUUUUGCAGCCCUUGUGAUCAUCACCAAAUGGAAUUCCUAUAACCUUCAAGUCAAGUUCUUCCCAAACAUCAUCAAGGAUUAUAAGGAUGCUCUUCUCGUCUUUGAUUCUCAACCACAAUUGUUCUGCUCUUCCUUCUGGUGUCUUCUUUUGAAAAUCUAAAUCUAGAAAGUCUGCAAUUUUAUCUUGAAUAUUGUUGAUGUUUGGAUUUUGGGACACGGUUACAACCACAACUUUAUCGAAGAGUUGUUUGGCUUGGUUUCCCACUUCUUUUGCCAAAGUGGUUUUACCCACUCCUCCCAUCCCAUAUAGUCCAAUCAUGUUCACAUCACCAUUAUUCAGAGCCUCCAUGAUCCCUUUGAAAGCAGAAUUCGAAGAUUCAGAAGACAUGAAAUCCUUAGAUGGAAUGAACUCUAAUCCUGGAAGAGUAGAUCGGUAACCUACUCGUUCAAAAUUAGAAUUCUCUAAAAGUUGAGAGAUACAAAGUGUCUUCUUCGCUACUUUGAUACUUAAGCAGUAUCGCCAGCCCCAACUAAGACGCCAAUUGAAACACUUGUUACGUUCAAUUUCAUCUUCCAAACUCUGAGCUUCUCCCAAUUCUUUGUCUGCCCUUGUUAGACACAAAUUACCUCCACCACAGAAUGUCAUAAAAUGGGAAAUCCUCCCACCCAUAAACGAAUGAAGCAUCAGCCUAAGCAUCUCUCGCAACAUGACAGCAUUUCCAAAGAUUUUCCCCACCAGUUUUUGUUGAUAAUCAGCAGCAUCCAAUAAGCCCUCGAAGUAUCAACCCCGUGGGCAGCUCAAAACCAGGCCCCAAGUGUCUCCUGCUUGAAAUUCCUGUUUUAGCCCAACGGUCAGCGCACUCGUUGGCUUCCCAUGUGUAUGUUUGACACUUGCACCGAGCCUACCAGCCCAAUCAGCUCAUCAAGCUUUUUCUUGGAAAGUGGAUUUUUAUUAACCACGCAACCGAUAUGCCAUUGUUAGUCUAAAGCUGAAGCUACCAGAGACUCAUUAGAAUGAAUACUAGCCUGCCCAAAAAAAAAAAAAAGGAAAGAAAAGCUGUACAAUAAAAGAGCACAACUGCUCACAUAGAUUAGCAGUAGUCCCACAACAUUCAGCAACCAACAACAAGAGAAGCUCAAAGCUGCCUAUACACAAAAACUGGCGGCUGGAAACAGGAAAGCUAUCAAACUAAGACUAUCCUCGUAAGAGUAUCUAGAACGAAGCAACAAAAGCAAAAGCCGAAGGCAUCAAACCAAGUGUGCUCCAAAAUAAAGGCAAGGGACUCAAGAUCCCUUGAAAUCCUUUGGUCAUCCUAGCCCUUGGAAAUCCCUCCGCUAUCUCCAUGGCCGCACCUGCACAUUCACAGACCAAGAAGCAGUGUUUGGUUAGCACAGGAACAGUUUAUCCGAAAGAUAAAUCUUAACCUGUGAAAAGCGCAGUAAUUUUAAGCACAUGUUCCUUUUUAUGUAAAUAACAAAGGUUAGCAGUGAACCACCCAAACUUGAUUAGGACUAUGCAAAGACAAGAAAGAAAUGAAAACGGAAUGCAGCCUUUUUUUUUUUACCUGCGUUUAGUUGAUAGCCUCAACCUACUCAUUUAUGUUUAAACGUGUCUCUGCGAGUUCCUCUGAAAUUAUCUCAUAAUUCUUCCAUGUAAGGUGGUAGCACACAUUUCAUCCACGGCUGCCAAUCUAUGGUCUUGGUGUGAAUUGCAUUUUGAGCAGUGGCAGAUCCUCCAGGGGCGUCUUGCUUAACCAAUCGUGGUGUCUUUUAAACAAUUGAAGCAGUGAAAUGUAAAACAAAAUAGACAUGUCAUGUUAUGAGGACAAAAGAAGAAAUAAGCAUAUUAUAAAUUAUAAUCAAUUUAGGCCAAAUUCAUUAAAGGUGAUGGAAACAUUCAGUAAUGGUGAUCUUCUAGACCAACAUUUUUGUAGCAAUGUAUUAGUCAAUCAUUUUAGUAAUUUAAGUAAAAAUUUUGAAGAUUAUGCCUAAUAAUUAAUAUUAUUAAAAGACUCCAUAGAGCUAUAUAGGAUUAAAGUUUUUUGGACGUAUACCUCUUCUUUGGCAUGCACAAAACUCUCAGAAUCAAUGAAGAAACCUGUAGUCAUCUUGGGACAAUUUUUUACGAUCAAAUAACUCAAAGUCGAUAAUACAAAAUGAUAUCCUCUUGGGCAGAAGUCAAUGAGGCAUGGCAAUUCUUCAAGUGAUAAUAUUUUUAAUUGAUCAAACUCUAUCUCCUUUUCAGUUGUCCCUUCUACUUCAUCAUCUACCUCAAAUACUUGCUCCAGUUUAGAGUUCCCUUCAACUACUAAAUAUUCAAGUUUUGGAAUACAACGAGCAAAUCCAAGAGGAAAGAGACUUCUCAACUUUUUGCAAUAUUUAACAGAAAUUGUGAUCAAAUUAGGAAAGCAUAUCGAUUGGGAAUCACCAUUUGAUGAUGAACAAACUUGAUCCUUUGCAAUGAUUUGGUCUAAUUCCUCACAUUUUCGAAUAUCUAGAUGGACCAAUUGUGAUAAACUUCGAGCAAUUGUUGUGGGUGAAAAUAUAUAGCUUAGCCUCCUGCAAUCGGUCACCUCCAGAAUUGUAAGGUUUUCAAAGAUUACAUUCUGAGUAGCAUCCUUCCAUAUAUUCCGCAUUUCAGAUAAAUGCUUCAGGCGCAGUACAUUUAAACUAGAGAAUGAAUACCGACCAUGAACCUGAAAUACCUCUUCAUGAUUCCCAACAACUAAAUAGUCUUGAUUCAAUAGGGGGACAACAGUGUUACACAAUUGGCUGCUAUUUCCCAAGUUAGAAAGAUAUAAUUCCUGCAAAUACAGACAUCACUAAAUAUCAUUAAAUACAUUCCUUUUCUAUAAGAUGGGAAUUACCUGAUCAAAUUUUACUCUUAGGUCUUCAUACUUAUAGAUGUCAAUUCACAGAAAAUCCUACAAUUCUAACAGUAUCACAUAUGUUUCAAAAUUUAAACCCAAAACUUUUUGAAACUGGAAAACAAAGACACCUAACCCCAUUCAGGGUUUUUUUUUUUGGUGGUAAGUUUGAAGCUAAAAUUGUUUCUCAUUUUCCAUUUCUUUGUUUUUCCACGCAUCCUUGACCCGUUCCCCAAACUCUCUCCUCGGCUAAUUUAAGAACUUUCUUAAAUACAAUAAAAGAAAAGGGGUUUAUUUAAUUUUAUUUUGAAAUAAUAUAUAAGCUUUUUUUUACCCUUUCAAGAUACAUAACUAUCACUCUCAUGCUUAUAAGAUCGAUUCUAAAUCGAACUAAUUUUUUUUUUCAAAUGACAAGUACUAAUAAGAAAUAAUUGAAUGAGUUGAACAUUGAGUUGCUGAAGAUGAGAGUUUGAAUUUCUCUAAGGAUACAAGUGUGACUUGCUCUAAUUUUUACAAUAUAAAACUCUAUAAGAUUUCUUGAAGAAGAGUUUUCAUUUUUUUACUAGUUUUAUUGAAAUCUUUUUCUUAUUUCAAGAAAGAAUCAGAAUCAACUUGCUAAAUUUCAAAAAGAAAAAAAAAACCUUGCUAAUUAUUGUAUGAAUGUGCCAUUCUUUUUUUAUUUGUUAAUUCAUGAGUAUUGGCUUUUAUAUCCACCAAAAAUAAGUAGAAUAAAAUUUUUGAACAGCAUUAAGAUACAAUUGGGUUAGUAUAUGAGUGUUGAAAUGAUUUAGUUCAAAGGCAAAAUCUGGAACAAAAAUUGAGAGAAGAGUAUAAAAGAAGUACCUUUAGUUGAACCUGCUCGUUAGCAUAUUUUUGAAUGGUGAAAUUUGUAAAUCUAGGACAGUUGCAAACUUCUAACUUCUCCAAAAAUGGCAAUGCCACGAGAAAGUUUUUCGAGUGAAACCAACUCAAAUUUGUCAAGUUUACAAGUCGUAAAUCUUGUAGGCAAGGAAGUGCAAUGGCAUGAUCAACUCCAUUCGUUUCUUUUACCACAUUGAAGACUUGUUGUAACUGAGGUGAAUCAAAAAUCCAAAAUGAUUUCAAUCGUGGAAGAACAUUGGCCAAAUGACUUUCAAAAACAUAUUCCAGUCUUGGACAAUGAUAUAUUGUUAGAGUUUCCAAUUUUGGCAAGAGUGGAGAACGGAGAGGGACGUCUGAUUCUAUUUCAUCAUCAGGUUCCAACUUUGUGAUAAGUUGUUGUAGUCCAUCGCAAUGAUCUACUUUGAGUUGUUCUAGCAUCUCCAAGCUCUGAGCAAGGGAUGGUGAGAAGAGAUAUCUCAAUCUAUUGCAAUAACUAAUUUCUACAAACUUCAAGCUUUGGAGGUUGACAAAAUGGGUGGACUGUUUCCAUAUCCACUUCAGUUCUGGUAAUGAGACUAGCUUCAUAAGUGUUAAAUUUGACAACGAUGGUCCUUGAUUUUCUUUCGAAUCAUGAAGAAGCUUAUCUAUUUGAAAUACUUCUUGCAACUGGCCACAAUUAAUAACUUUCACUUCCUUUAGAUUCUGUAGCGCAGGAGAUAAAGAAAACAGGCUAGAGCUUUGAUAACUAGCUAUCUCAAGAGGGUAGUGAUCUAUGUUUGAAAGUAUUUCAUCGCCAUUUUCCACUUCUGCUAUUACAUGUAUUAGAGAGCCACAGUCGUGUAUAUGGAGUUCUUCUAGAUGCACCAAAGUUGGAAUAAGGGUAGGUGAAAAGAGAUAUGCCAGUUUAAAACACUCUGAAAUUUUCAUUGUUUUAAGAUUCUGGAGAUUAACAAGAUGGGUGGGUCCUCUCCAUAUGUAGCUCAAUUCUGGUAGUAACUCUAGUUCCAAACAUGUUAAAUUUGAGAGCGGUGCUGCCUGAUUUUCCUCACAUAAAGAAAAAAAUAAAUUUUAGUAGUUAGUAAAUACUAAAAUAUGAAUUCAUUAUACCAGAUAAAAAAUUUAAUUAAUUAUUGAAUAGGCAUACAUUUAAAAAAAAUUAUGAAAGGAAGUGUUAAAAGUCAAUAAUUUAGAAACAUUAGAGAGUAAUUUUUUAUAAAUUUGAUAAUUUAACAAAAAAAAGAUAAUUAUAUAAAGAACAGAUGAGUGCAUUAUUAAAAGAAAAAAGGAGAGUGAAGAGGUACCUCUAGCUCAAGCAUUUCUCUGACAAAAGUAAAAACUUGCUCCAAAUUUUCGCAUACAGAUAUGACGAGUUGUUCUAGAUGCAGUAGACUUUGAGCAAGGUAAGGUGAGAAGAUGUAUUUUAGUUCACGGCAAUCCAAAACUACUAGUUUCCUCAGACUUUGUAGGCUUGCAUGAUGAGUUGGCUCUUUCCAUAUAAUCUGCAAUGAUGGUAAUGAGAUUAGAUUCAAGCUUGUUAAAUUUGAGAGUGGCUGUGUCCGUCUUGCUUCCUCUUCAAGAAACCCAUUCAUCUGAAACACUGAUUGCAACCGCACACAAUUCCAAAUAAUCAAUGUUUCUAACUUUUGUAAGAACUUAAUCGGUGAUUGACCAUGGCACAACUCUUUCAAACAAGUCAUUCGACUCAUGUCUAAUUUCACCAAAUUAGAGAAUGCUGUGGUUGGUCUUUGUUCUCGUGUUGUAUCGAUCAAGCAUUCGACAUCCUUGCAAUAUCUAAGCUCAAGAGAAGUUAAAUCAUUUAGUCCCCACUGAUCUACCGUUGGGAUAAUAUUUUUGUGUUCCAUGAUAUUGUACAGAGUAAGCUUUUCCACAUUGCAAAAUAGCUCCUUAAAUGCGUGUAAUGAGGAAGAGAAAUCACUAAUUCUCAAGGUUCUCAAGCUUAGGCCAUUCAGAUAUUCAAGAUCUUUAUCUGAAAACGCUAUAUUAUACCUUUGUAGUUUAGGGAACACAAAGUUUUCUUGAAAAUGAUCUUUAUUUACUCUCAGUGUUAAUGCAGUCAAACGAGAAAAUGAAUUCAGCUCCCAUAAGUUGACAUUGUUUUUACUUGUCACGUGAAGCUCUUGGAGUAACGUUAACCUGUUACGCACAAAUACAGAGUAAUAUUAGCUCAAUAAUAGCACUUUCAAGGGAAUGACAAAAAUAGCUAAGUAAUGAAAUGAGUAAGAUAACAUAAACCUUCUUUUAUUUUAUUUUUUUACUUUUUCAUGCAUAUUGAAAAUGUGUACAAUCCAAUGGUAUUUUUCUCUCAAGAAAGCAAUAUUCUUAAGCUACCUUCGUACUACAGGUUGCAAUGUUUAUUGAAAAUGUGUGUGUGUUUGUGAUAGUCAAAAUAAAAAUAACAUAAGUAAUUGGAAAAAAAAUUAAUAACAUAAAAUUAAAUAUUUAAUUAAAAACAAUAAGAUAAACAAUUUUAAGCAUAUUUUAGUACUACCUUGAUAGCAAGUUAGGGGGGACAUUGCUGUCUCCAUAGCAAGAAAAAUAUAGUGAUUUUAGUCUAUGCAAUUCCACUAAUUCUCCUGGUAGCUCAUGAAUAUUAGUAUUAAGCAACACAAAAACCUCAAGGUUUUUCAUAUUUCUCAAUGAUGAAAUGUUUUGGAGCUCGCAAUCUACAAAGCAUAGAGUUCGAAGAUUUGUUAGGAAUUGAAGUGCUUCCAAUGAGAAUACAACAUUUCCGAGAAAUAAAACUCGAAGGCUUUUCAUUCCUUCAAAGAACAUACUUGAAACUCUAAGUGAACUCUUUCCUGUCAAAAACAAAAUCUUGAGUUCUGAAAAUUCCAUUUUUUCAGGAAGAUUGUUUAUCUUACUGUUCCAUAAGGAGAUUCCCAUAUAACAUCCAAAACUUUCACUCAUAGGCCAUUCCGUCAAUCCAUCUUUCACAAUGAAUAUAUUUUCGCCUCUUAAUGUUAUCCAGUGAGCAAAAUCGCGAACCACAUCAUGCAUUUUUACAAAUCCUUCAUCAUCAAUUUCCAAUAACAAACCAGACAUUUUGAGUUUUGAGAGUGCUAGACGAAUUUCCCUCCUUAAGUCUUCAAUUAAGUUAAUAUGACAAAACAAUCCCCAACCAAUUCCACAUAUAGUCAACAACUCGAUAUUAAUCUCAUAAUCUUCAGGGAAAAGAGAACACAACAAGAAACAUGAUUGGAUAUUGUCUUCCUUCAAAUAAUCAUAACUAAGCUUAAGGCAGUUAUAAAUACCUCCGCAAAUAUCUUGAUUAUCCAAAUGUCUUGAGCUUUUGAGUCGUUCAUUUGCUGCUAUCCACCCAUCUAGACUUUCACCUUUUAGAGCUUUUGCCAUAGUUACAAUUGCAAGAGGCAAACCCUUGCAUUCACGAGCAACCUGCUUGGCUACAUCAUUCAAGGUGGGAGAGACAUCUUUUAGAUCAGCGUUAUCUUUGAAUAAAGCCCACGCUUCACCAUCAGAUAAGAUUUUCAGUUCAAAUUUCUCUUGACAAUUCAUUUGAAUACAGACUUGUUGAAGACGUGUAGUUAGAAGAAUUUUGCAACCCUUGUGUUCACCACCAAAUGGAAUUCCUAUAGUUUGUAAUUUAAAUUCUUUCCAAACGUCAUCAACAAUUAUGAGCAUCUUCUUCUGGUCUUUUAACCUCCUCCAUAACUCUUCUGCUUUUCCUUCUUCUGUAUUUGUCUCAUAUUUUAAACCAAGAAUUUCUGCAAUUUUAUCUUGAAUUUUGUUGAUGUUUGGAGUUUGGGACACUGUAACAAUCACAACCUUAUCAAAGAGCUUUUGUUCCCUAGCUUGCUUCCCCACUACUUCCGCCAAAGUUGUUUUACCCACACCUGGCAUUCCAUACAAUCCAAUCAUGUUCACGCCAUAGCUAUUUAAAACCUUCAUGAUCCCAUUGAAAGUUGAUUUAGAAGAUUCGGAAUGCAUGAAAUCCUUGGGUAGUAGGAAUUCUAUUCCUUGAAGAGGAGCACGCUGGCCGACUCGUGGAAAGUUACAAGUCUCUAAAAGUUUAGAGAUAUAAAGUGUCUUCCUCGCUGCCUUCUUACUUAAGCAGUAUCGCCAGCCCCAACUAGGACACCAUUUGAAACACUUAUUACGUUCUAUUUCAUCUUCCAAACUCUGAGCUUCUCCCAAUUCUCUCUCUGCCCUUGUUAGCCACUCCUCAACGUCCUUCUCAAUUACUUCAGUUUGCCUUAUAGCCUCAUUGACAUCAUUUUUCACCCGAUCUUUUUUCAGUGCAAGUUCGUCUCGCUGAUUCUUGAACUCCUCAACAAUUCUGCCGAAAUGGAAAAAGUAGCUAACAUAACGUGAUGUGUAUUCUGUUGUCAGGUUUCCCACGGUAUUGGCAGCAGCAUUGGCAAAAAAUCCAGCAUCCAUUCUUUGAUGAUACGAGGCUGAAAAACAACUUCGAUGAGUAAAAAGGUUUUAUAGAGAGACAAAUUACAGCAGUAUUGGAUGUUUCGCAAAGCAUAGUAUAUUUAUUCAUCCCUUUAUGAAAAUUUUUUUGCUCAGCGAUACCUUUAUGAAAAUGUAAAGCAAAGGAGAACAAAUUGUUGAUUAAUCUACUUGAAAAUUGACACUGCUGCAGAUGGCAGAAAUUCUUCAGUCUUAAUGUGUAUAUUAAGAAUAUAUCUUACAUGUUAGAGAAAAAGUAUGUUAUAUUUAUUAAUUUUCCUUUCAAUCAGUUUUCUAGAAAAUAAAAAAUAACUACUAAUUAUUAAGAUAUUGCUUUCCCUAAAUCAAAGAGAUGAGCUAACAAAAAAGAAAUUAAUACCGGAAAAGGUACGGAAAUCCUUUCUUGAAACUUACCUCUCUAUUCUCGCCACUUGAAUGUGAAAGGAUAAGAGACAAAUACAAGUUUUUUAGCUUUCUGCUUCACACAAAUGCCAUGUGGAGUGUCACUGUAGAAGAUCAAAACAGUUAAUUUUGACAUAGAAAAUAAUUUAGAGCUAAUUUUGCAUGUGAAGUUUGCAGUUGCACACUCAAAUGAAAAAAACAAGACAAAUAAGCCAUGGAAGAAACAGAUGUACAUAUAUACCAAGGAAAGAUGAACUUUCAGGAGCCAAGGCAAAGCUUCUAUAUUGAUCCAGGCCAAAGAUAUUAGACAAUGAGAAAGUUUGUGAGGAGAGUUUUUUUUUUCUUUUUUUUUUUUUUGAGUUAAAAGAAAAUAUGCAUCAACUAUUAAGUCAAAUGUUCGUUUGCUACCUCUUGUAUAUGUUGUAAUCUAUGAUAAUUGUCUGUGUCUAAUUCUAUGAUAGUAAUAUACAUGUUUUUUCUUAAUCAGUAUUUUUUUGGUGAUAAGCUUUUUGUGGUUGCUAUAUAUUCCACCCAAAGCAAGUAUGCCAACCCAAAGUCUUAAACUAUGUAAGUCAAAGACUUUAUAGCACGUUUGGGACAAGGAAUAGCUCUAUUCCCAAGGGAAUAGCUUACCUCCAUUUGGUAUAGCAAUAUCACAAAGAAUAGCUAUUACCUAGUAAUAGCUAUUCUCUCAAAAGGGGUAAAACUCAUGCAUAGCUAAACCCGAGCUCCCCCAUGGUUUUUGCUAUUCCGUGACUGAGGGAAUAACUCUGAAUUAUGAUAAGACUAAAACACCCCUUAUCACUUAAAAAUAUUACAACCUUAGACCUAUAUAUAUAUUUUUUCUUCUCAUUUUCCCUUCUUCUUUCUCUCUCUUCUCAUGUUCUUUCCUCUCUCAUUCUCUCUCUAAGUGGCACCAACGUUGGAGAUGAUGUUGCGACGGCGACAACGGUGGCGGAAACGACGGCGACGGCGACGACGAUGGAAGCUGCUGCGACGGAGGUUUUAUGACCGAAUAUGGUCGGACAAGAUUCAAACGGAGAUUCAACCAGAUCUGGCACUCAACAGCUAGAUCUGGUGCUUCCCGACCAGAUCCCACGAUUGGAUCUGGCACUCCACGACCAGAUCCAGCCGCGGGGAAGCGCCGAUCUGGCACUAUAAUGGCUAGAUCCGGCCACAUGGUGCUCCAGAUUGGUGUUUUGUUACACCGAUCGCCUUUCCAGCGACCAGCUCAUGAAAAAAAAAAAAGAAGAAGAGAAAAAAUAGAAUAAAAAGAAUAAAUUAUUUAUAAAAUUUAAAAUAUUAAUAUUUUAUAUAAAAUUUAAAUAUUAUUAAUAGUAAUAUGAUUAAAAUAUUAAAUAUUAAUAUUUUAAACUAUUAAUGUUUUAUUUAUUAAAUUAUUAAUUUAUUAACUUUUUAAUGAAUAUAAAAAAUAAAAAUUAUUAAUAUUUUAAUCAUAAUAAUAUUAAAUUAUAAAUAAAAUAUUAUUAAUUAAAAUAUUAGUAAUUAAAUUAUAUUAAAAUAUUGAUAUUUAAAUUAUAAAUUAUUAAUNAUUAAUUAAUUAUUAUUUAUUAAAUUUUUAAUGAAUAUAAAAAUAAAAUUAUUAAUAUUUAAUCAUAAUAUAUUAAAUUAUAAAUAAAAUAUUAUUAAUUAAAAUAUUAGUAAUUAAAUUAUAUUAAAAUAUUGAUAUUUAAAUUAUAAUAAUUAAUAUUUUAAUUUAAUUAUAAAUUAUUAAUAUUUAAAAAAUAAAAAUAAAAAAUAAUAUAUAUAUAAAAUAUAUUUUUGUCUUUUUAUUUUCUAUUACUUUCUUAUUCCAAAAUUAUUGUUACCAACCAAACACUAUAAUAAGUCAUAAUAAUUAUUUUUACUCUAUUUUAUUCAUCAUACCAAACUACGUAAUACUUAUUCUAUUAUAUUCCCACCUCAUUCUAUUCCCACGUAAUAACUAUUCUAUUCUAUUUCUGUCUAUUCCGCGAAUCAAACGUGCCCUUAGUAGCAUAAGAACUCAAGCAUUGGCAGUAAGAGUGUAGCGAAUUUAGCUUCAAAUAUUUUUUUUUAUUUUCUCAUUAAUUAAGAAGAUAAAGAUUGCAAAUAUUUUCACAACUUUUGCCAGUAGGACACGGCAUCAUUGAUAUGUACAAAUAUGAAUAAGUGAUGCACUUUUGAAUAAUUGCUGUGGUCCCUCUAUUAUUGUCCUUCAUUUUUUUGUCAUUUUGCAAUCAUUUUUCUAUUAAGGUAUAUUUAUUUCUGACCUACAUGCUUGGUCGGUUUCAUGACGUUCAUCUUUGCCUUAUGGAACUAGCCUCACCUUUUCUAUCCUUUCUUCUUUGAAAUUUUAACCUUUUUUAUGUUCUGGACAUAUAUUAACACCAGCUUCCUGAAACCUACCUAAUUUGGAGUCUACUUUCCCUCGGAGUUAAAGAAACUCUAGAACAAAAAGAUUAGUGUUUACUGGAGUAUUGCUCCAUUUUCUUCUUAUUUUCAAGACUCUGUUACAAAGAAAUGAACGAGGAUGAAUAGAACAGAACACUUUCAAUUUUCAUAUUCAAACUCUGUACAAUUAAUGGAACAAAGUUAAAAUAUGCGUUUUGUUUAAGACAGAGAAGAAUAAAAGCCGAAAUCAAAUAAAGUCUUUGAGGUAGUGUAGCUCGCAGAUGUGGAGACGAUACAAGAAGAUGAUUCAAUAGAAACCGUAUGACGACAAAGUAAUAAGAGUAGGUAUGGGAAAUUUGGAACACUAAUACUCAAAUUACAAACAAUGGAAAACUAGGUGAUUAUUAAUAAGACUAGGUAUAGGAAAAUUGGAAAAAUAUUGGCAACGAGGGUCAAAGUCGUCCCAUCCUCCCAUGUGAGUUUCCCCACCAAUUAAUAAACAAAAUUAUGAUUUCUCUUUUCUUUGAUAAUGCAGCUACAAUAAUAAGAGUAGGUAUGGGAUAAUAUUUGAAUUAGGAACAAUGGAAAUGUAUUGGCAACUUGGCUGAAAGUCAUCCCAUAUACUCCCAUGUGAGUUUCCCUCUUAUCAAUAAACAAAUAUGAUUCUCUUUUCUUUGAUAAUCCUAACGAAACCUUAUGUAUAAACAAUUUAUAUUUAAUCUGAAAAUUUCAUAAUCGAAUUUAAAAAUACAAAGCGUACCUAAUUUCUUAUUCAUGGUUUGACAGCAAAAAUGGUAUUGAUCAGAUUAACUGCUAGUACUUUUUUUAAAAGAAGAUUAAUUGCUGGUACUUAGUGCACUAAGACGUUCCUUUCAUUUUUUUUUUAUGAUUAUCUUCUCUGCAUCUUCACAUUUUUGCAGCUUGUGAUUAUAAUCCAUUGGUGUAGCAACAGGUUUAGCUCUCAAUAAUCUGUGUUCCUCCAGCAAUUUUAAUGUAUAUUUUCUCUUACAUACAGAGAUUCCUCCAGAGGAUCUGGCUAUCUCCAACCCCAAGAAGUACUUUACUGUACCAAGGUCUUUUAAUUUGAACUAUGUGCUCAAAAAUUCCUUGACAUUGUUUGCUGCUUCGAUUGAUGUGCUUUCAAUCAAAAUAUCAUCCACAUACAACAACAAAGCAAUAAAUUCUCCCUUUUUUGUCUGCAUAGUGAAUAACGAAUAAUCUACAAUUGACUGCUUGGAUCCAUAUUACUGAAUAGAGGCAGUAAACUUGGCAUUCCACUGUCUGAAAGCCUGUUUAAGUCCAUAAAGUGAUUUGUUUAACUUGCAUACUAGUUUGUCUCUGUAGGAUACUCCCCCUUAGUGGUAUACCCUUCUAGUAACUCCAUAUAUAUAGUUUCUUGUAGAUCCCUAUGUAGAAAAGCAUUGUUCACAUCUAUUUGUGAAAGUGUCCAAUUAAAUGCUGCUGCCAAUGCAAAGAACAGUACUCUGACUGUGGUUUGCUUUGCCACUGGACUAAAUGUCUUCUGGUAAUCAAAACCAAGUACUUGAUUAUAGCCUUUUGGCCACUAACCUCGCCUUGUAACUUUCAACCUGUCCAUUAGCAUUAAGUUUCACUUUGUAAACCCAUCUGCAGCCUAUUACAUGUGCAUUAGAAAGUUUAGGUACUAAACUCCAUGUAACAUUAUCUUCCAUAGCUUUCAGUUCAAGAGUAAUUGCCUUUUUCCAAUGUGAAUGAUUAAUGGCCUCAUAGUAAGACUUUGGUUCUUGUAUUUGUGAAACUGAAAUGGUAAAAUUUUUAUGAGCAAGUGAUAGGUAUUGAGAUGACAAUGCAUUGAAAUAGGAUGGGUAGUAACCGUAUAUGUCAUAAAGGGCAAGUCUGUAUGAUAUGCAUCAAGGUAUUUGGGGACUUGUUUGAUUCUGGUACUCUUUCUAACAAGUAAGUUGGUCAAUGCUUCUGCCAAUUCAAUGUUGUUUUGGUGAUAGUUACUACUUUAACAGUCUGCACACUGUCGGCUACAGUAGUCAUGCUGAGAGUGUUGGGUGAAUUUAAUGACAAAUCAUUAGAAUUUUGAGUUUGUAAAGGUGAAAUAAGUUCAGGAAAACUUGACUCGGCUGAUGUGUUGUCAAGAAAGAAAAACUAGGUUGAUAAGAGUCAGAAAUGUCUAUGUGACUGGCAUGCACAUCAGGUGUUUGACAGAAUGUAGAUGACUGUGCAUUUUGCUUAGAACAUUGAAAUGGGAAUACUUUCUCAAAAAAAAAAGACUUUUCUAGAUAUAAGAACCUUGCAUCAAGAUCAUAUACCUUAUAACCUUUAACAUUGCUUUAAUAACCUAAUAAUACACAUUUACUUGCCCUCUUAUCUAAUUUCUUUCUGUUAUGUGGGAGUGUAGACACAAAACACAAUGAUCCAAACACUUUGAAAUGCUUAUAGGUAGGUGGUUUGUUGUACAGCAUCUCAUAUGCGGACUUGUUUUUGAGAAUUUUGGUUGGAAUCUUGUUAAUUAUAUGAACUACCGUUAGCACGGCAUCACCUUAAAAAUGAAUUGGAAGACUGGAUUGAUGCAUGAGAGCUCUUGCCACCUCCAAAAUAUGUUGGUGCUUCAUUUCAACAACACCAUUCUGUUGUGGUGUCUCUACUCGGGACAUUUGAUGAGCAACUAUUGUUUUUGGAUAGAAAUCACUAAGUUUAAAUUCCUAACCAUUGUCAAACCUUAAAAACUUGAUUGAUGAAUUAAAAUGCCUUUGUACAUACUUAUCAAAGGAAGGAAUAAUGGUUAAAACAUCUGAUUUGCUUCUCAUCAAAAACACCCAAGUAAACCAACUGUAGUCAUCUACCAAAGUGAGAAAAAACCAUUGUCCUGACAAUGUUGGUGUCUCAUAUGGACCCCAUAUGUCAGUAUGCACAAGUUCAAAAAGUUUCUCAGAACCUUGAACAUGAACUGGGAAAGCAAGUUUUCUUUGUUUAGCCAUGGGGAAAACUUCACAAAGCAAGUUAUUUGUACAUUUCACAUGAGGAAAUCUCUGAUUGAUUACAUUAAUUCUUUCAAUAGGGAUAUGGCCUAACCUAAAAUGCCAUAGAACAAAAGAGUUUUACUCUGUCUUGGAAACAUUAACAGAUAAAACUUUUGGAGUCUUUACAAAAUUUUCAAAACAAAUUUUUGAUAAAUCUUACUCAUCUUGAUUCUCUUUCAUCAAUAAAGUCCUGAGUAGGCUCUACUAACCUUAAUCACCUACCAUGAAGGAAUGCCCUGGACAAUACAGUGUUUGUCAGUGAAUAGCAUACAAGCUUUCUUGCCAUUUGUAAUCUGACCUACUGACAUUAGAUUAAAUUUGAAACUUGGAACAUGUAAAACAUUAUGCAAAAUCAAUGAAGAACUCAACUUGACAGUUCCAAUAUGAGACACAGGAAUUUUCUGUUGUUUGGUAACUCAACAAAACAAUUCUUUACUAGUUUGGCAUGACUAAAAUUGCUUAAGGAAUAGGAUGUAUGAUCUGAUGCUCCUGAGUUUACUAUCCAUUGGUUUUUCUUUAUCAAGCUAGUAUUCACAUUCCCAUAUUCAUAUGACAAAUUAUUCAUAAUAGUAAAACAUAAGUGUCUUGAAACAAUACUUGCAAAGGAUGAAUUGGCUAGUGAGUGUUUGGUUUUGUAGGGUACUGUUGAGUUCUUACCAUCUCUUCCAUUCAUAUCAUUCACAUUCAAGAGGUCCAUGAUCUUGUUAACAUGCUGUUGUAGGAUUGAUAGUUGAGACAUGAAGCCUAUUCCACCCAAUUCGUCUUCUUGCUCUGUUUAAGACACAUUGUUUACUGCAGCCUUUCCUUUCUUGUUGUUUCCUUUCCCUUUUGUGAAUUUAAAAUCCUCUAGAAAGCCAGUGAUUCUGAAACACUUAUCUUUGGUGUGUCCUUUCUUCCCAAAAUGGUUACAUACUAUGUCUUUUUUCCACUUUUUCUUGUAUUCUACACUGACCAUCAUAGCAAACGAUUCUAUUAUUGCUUGACGUUGCAGCACAGCAUUUCUUUGGGAUUCUUCUGUCAAGAUCAAACUGUAAACUUUAUCUAGAGCAGGGAUAAGAUCCAUGAGAAUAAUUUGGGAUCUAAUUGCUGCAAAUGAUUCAUUCAACCCAUUCAAGAACUUGAAUACCAUGUCUUCUUGAUAAAGGUCAGAAUAUUUCUUGAAACAAGCAGGAUUGUAGCUCCCACAUUCGCAAUGUGGUAAUGGUCUAUAAUGCCUCAUUUCUUCCCAUAGUCCCUUCAACUCAAUAAAAUAUGUAUCAACUGUCCUAGUCCUUUGAGUUACAUUCCCUAGAACAUACUAUAAGUUACAAAGGUAUCGUCAGGUUAAGCAAAGUUUUGUUUGAGUGUAUUCCACGUCAUAAGCAGAAUCCAUAUAAAAUAUGGUUGAAGCAACUGGUUGAGUAAUUGAUUCCAGUAACCAUCCCACAAUAAGAUUAUUGCAGUGGAUCCGUGACUGGAAAAGGGGAUCUGUGAUCUUUGGCUUAGGUAUGGUUCCAUUGACAAACCCGAUCUUGUUUCUAAUCGAGAGUGCAAGUAGAAAAGACCUACUCUAGGUGAUGUAAUUACUGGUAGUGAGUUUGGGGUAGAUAACUACUGAACCAAGGUGGUCAGUAUGAUGAAAGUAAUAUGGUGACUGGGGAUCAGCAAUAGGAGGGAUUUGAAUGGUCCAUGUGCUGGUUUGGGUUGUGGUUUGUGAUGGUCUUAAUUCAUCAUAUUCGGACAUUAUUCUAUUGCUUUAAUCAAGCUCAAUGAUGAGUACAAAAAUAAAUAAGCAACCCAAAAAAGUUGCCUAGAGGCAAACUUACUAAUUCUGUGAAUGAUGACAGAUUCCUUCAAGGAUCAAAUUCCCGCUUUGAUACCAUGAAAGAAAUAGUGAUGCAGAGAAAGGACAGCAUAGUAAAUGAGGGAAUGUUUCUGAUCAUUCCAUUUCAUAAAGGAAAUCUGUACAAAAGUAGUAUUUAUAGUCUGUACAAAAGCGUAACCUGAUGAAAGAGAAAACUAUAACUAAUCCUAAGAUUAAUUACUUCAACUAACUAAACUAAUUUUUGAAAAAUACACUUUAUUAAUUAAACACUGCAUUUGAUGCCUUUCACUGGUUCCUUCUUUAUUUUAAAUGAAACGGUGCGUCUUGAGUUUUCCUUGUCGUACUUAUGGCUUCCUCUUUCUCAUAGUCUCGAUCUCUCUUCUUCCUUCUCUUCUUGUUUCUAGUUCAGCCUUCAUCAGGGAUUCAACCAUUUAUGAUGUUCUUGGACUUAUUUUGCAGCUCACUUUAGAUAUGCCAUUUCAAGUCUCUAACCUGAUAAGCCAAAGACUUCCAUGGCAUUAAAACCCCGGUAUGGGAGUAAAGCGGUCAAUUUGAUUAUACAAAGUGAGUCAACCAAUAAAAAACAGAUGCUCGAAAACAACAUAUACAACAAGCCCUGUGACCAAGAGAAGGGUAUCAUAAAGGCCAGAGCAUCCAAAAAACAGAGGCCAAAACCUAUACAUUUACCAACCCUCAGCUGUGAUUGCAGCAAACAAAAAAUAAAGAAAGGACACAGCUCUAAUUUGCAAUUGGAAUUCCAAAGCGAUAAGGGACUGUAAAAAAGUAUGAAUGAAGCAAAAGCACACUGAAUGGCACCAUCACAAACAUCCCGGGCCAUCAGAAACCAUGAAAUCAGGGGCUCACUAGCGGAAAACACAAAAAAAAACCAUUAUCACCAAUCAACAAAGCCACGAGAUGUAGAUGACAAACCAGAGCCAGCAUCUUAACAUGAAAAGUAAACAAGAGAUCCAUCGCUCCAUCAGACCGUUCCACCAGCUUAAAAACUCAUUGGUUCACAGUGCACAAAUGCCAGCAUCAAAAUCUUUAGCAAAGGAAAAGAAAACAUCCCCGCAUCUAGAUAAGAAACAGAGGAAUUUCACUAUUGUUCUUCUACUUAUUGUACAUACAGAGAGCAACGUAACAUUGAUUGGGUAAAUUAUUGAGAGCAAAAGAUCACUUAAAAUACAAAAAUAAGGAUAAGAAAAAGGGGAAUUUCACUCUUCUUCUUCUACUUAUUGUUUGUAGAGAGAGCAACAUAACAUUGAUUGGGUAAAUUAUUGAAAACAAGGGAUCCCUUCGCUUGACAACUCCAUGAAGCAAAGUAAUUUCAACACCUUGUUUUUUUUAUAUAUAAAUAUAAUAAAGUUUAACGCAAGUGAACCACCCAAACUUGAUUAGGAAUAGGCAAACAAAAGAAAGAAAUAGAAAGCAAAAGCAGCCUUUGUUUUACCCGUGUUUUGUUGACAGCCUCAACUACUCAUUUAUUUUGCAACUUCCCCUGAAUCAUUCUUUCAUGUAAGGUGUUAGCUGAUCCCCUGUGCUUCGGGACCAAAAUAUGUUCUCGAAGUGAACUGCAUUUUGAGUAGUGGUAGAUCCUUCGGUGACGUCUUGCUCAACUUGUCGUGGUAUCCUUCAGAAAAAUUGAAAUACUGAAAUGAAAAGCAAAAGUAUUAAUUUCUUAUGAUACAAAGGCAAAAGAAGAAUUAGCUAUGUUAUAUUUUAUAAGCAUUUUAGGUCAAGUUCAUAAACGAUAUUACUCAAUCAUGGAGAUAUGCUUAGUGGAGUCCAUUUGUCGAAAUAUGUUUAAUUUACAAACUAAAAUGAUAAAAUUACCUGAAUUUGAUUACAUAUAAUAGUUGGAUUAGGAAAAUACUUUUCCUUUUUUGGUUUUUGAAGACUGAAGAAAGAGAGGUUUAGAAAUUUUAAAUAUUUGUGGAUUUUGAAAAGAUAAUGUUUAAAAAAAAGUGUGUGAAAUUAAUGUGGUAGUGCAAUUCUCUAUGUUCCAAUUGGCUUUUGCACUUGUUUAAGAUAACAUACGGUUGUUGUCAAAAUAAUUGUUUUAUGACGAAGCAAUAGAAAAAUAUUAAGAAAUUGACUUUGUUCUUUUCAUCAAUUUGUCAGCCUAGUCGACCAAGUCUAAAACCAAAGCAACAAGGCUGCACAACCAGAGGACGGGGAAUGGACAGUAUGGAUCUCGAGGAGAGUUGCAUUCAUUGAAAUGCAUAGAAAAUUUUGUAAGAUUUGUAAGAGUAAGUAAACUGUUAUAAGUGAAAACUUAAACUCAGGUCCUCACUCCAAUUGCUAGAAAGAUUUCAAAUUUUUUAUGGUCAGUUUGGUAUUAGAAACAUUUCUUCUUCUGUUCAAGGUCAGAUAGAGAGAAUUUAUUGUUUCUCAUUUCUUUAGCGUUUUUUAGGGUUUGAUUUCUAGUAAUUGAAUUUUUUUUUUUUUAGUGAUUGUUUGCUUUCUUUACGGAUUAAAUCAGUACACUCUUUUAUUUUUUUUACCAUGUCAUGUAUCAAUUUUUCUUUUUUUGAAAAGUAAUUUCAUUGCAUAAGAACAGGGGAACCGACAAACUUUACAAAAGAUGGAUUGUAUUUUCCACUUGUCCUAUAAAUGCCAACAUUGUCACAUAAUAUUGCUCUUGUAUCCUACAAAUGCCAACAUGACAAGAGAUUAACACGCCCAUGGAUUCUAUCCAAAUAAGGGAGAGAGUUUGGAUAGUGAAAAAUAAUAUUUUAAGAGUUUAAUUAAAUAUAAUAAAAGAAUAGAUGAUUAUUUAAUUUUUUUUUGAAAUAAUACAUGUACUUUUCUAUCAUUUUAGUUAAAUACACGCCACUCGUAUUCUUAUAAGAUCAGAUUUUAAAUCAAAUGAAACUAUUAUGAAAAGAAAAGUACGUUUAAGUGAUAAUUGAAUGAGUUCAAGAUAGAGUUACUGAAUAUGAAAGUUUGAAUUUCUUUAAGUGUGGAUCAGUUUAUGAGUGUUGAAAAUAUUUGGCUCAAAGACAAAAUCCAAAAUCAUAAUUGAAGGAAAAGUGUAUAAAAGAAAUACCUUUAGUUGAACCAGCUCGUUAAUUUCUUUUUGAAUGAUGAAAUUUGUCAAUUUAGGGUAAUUCCAAACUUUCAACUUCUCCAAAGAUGGUGAUGACAUGAGAGAGUUUUCCAAGCAAAUGCAACUCAAAUUUAUCAAGUUUACAAGUUGUAAAUCUUGUAGGCAAGGGAGUGCAAUGGCACAAUCAACUCCAUUCUUUUCUUUUGCCAAUUGGAAGACUUGUUGCAAUCGAGGAGAAUCAGUUACCCAGAAUGAUUUCAACUGUGGAAGAGCUUGAGCCAAAGGAAUUUGAAAAAUAUCUUCUAAUAUUGGACAAUGACUUAUUCUUAGAUUUUCCAAUUUCAGCAAGAACGAAGAAUAGUAUUUUGUUUCUAUUUCAGCAUCACAGACCAACUUGGUAAUAAUGUGUUGCAGUCCAUCACACUGAUCUAUCUUGAGUUGUUCAAGGAGAACCAAGCUUUGAGCAAGGGAUGGUGAGUAGAGAUAGUUCAAUCUAUUGCAGUAACUAAUUUCUACAAACUUCAAGCUUUGGAGGCUGACAAAACGGGUGGACCCUUUCCAUCUCCAAUUCAAUUAUGGUAAUGAAUUUAGCUUCAUAAGUGUUAAAUUUGACAACAGCAGUCCUUGAUUUUCUUUUGUAUCAUGAAGAAACUCAUCUAUUUGAAAUACUUCUUGCAACUGGCCACAAUUAAAACACUUUCACUUCCUUUAGAUUUUGUAGCGUAGAAGAUAAAGAGACCAUUUCCAUGCAAUUCCUAAUUGUCAACUUCUCUAGUUUUUGUAGAAAGCCCUUUGGAAACUGACCGUUGCACAACAUUUUCAAACCAGUCAUUUUAUGCAUGUAUAAUUCCACCAAAUUGAACAAGGAAUUGGUUGAGACAUGCCCUUCUGUUGUAUCAAUCAAGCAUUCAAGCUCCUCGCCAUCGUAAAGUGCAAGAAAAGUUAAUUCAUUAAGCCACUUUGAAUCUACAUUUGGAAUGAGAUUUUUCUGAUACAUGACUCCUUUCAGGGUAAGAUUUUUGACAUUGUGUAAUAACUCCUUCAAUGCAUGCAAUUGAACGUCGUGAUCAUAAAUUCACAACAAAAUGAAACACAUUAGAAAAAUAGAAAGGUAGAUAAUGCUCUUUAAAUCAGAAUUGAAUUUUUUUUCUAUGCAUAAAAUUUAAAACAUUCCAAAGCUUAUUAACGUUUGAAAAACAUACCAAAGCCUGGAAUAUAAAUAGUGUACACGCUGAAAUUUAUUGGACACAUGGAAAUAUGAUUUAGCAAUAAAGUACACGUGGCAUGCAUGUAAGGAAGGAAAAUAAAAUAAAAUUUUUUUAUUGCCAUGUGCUUGUUUUUUUUUUUAUUAAAUUCAUUAAAUAUUUUAUUCUAUCAUGCAACGUACCUGUCUGCUAUUGUCAAGUCAUGCUUUCACAUGUCCUAUAAAUGCUAGCUUGGCUAGGAGUUAAAAUACCCAUGGACUCUAUCCAAAUGAGGGUGCUUGGAUAAUGAAAAUAACAUUGUGAGAGCUUAAUAAAAGAAAUACCUUUAGUUGAAUUUGUUCUUUAACUUCUUUUUGAAUGGUAAAAUUUAUUAAUUUAGGACAGUUGUAAAUUUUCAACUUCUCUAAGUUGAUGAGAUGGUGAUGAGAUGAGAAAGUUUUCCAAACAAAAGCAACUCAAAUUUAUCAUGUUUACUACUCGUAAAUCUUGUCGGCAGGGGAGUGCAAUGGCACGAUUAUCUCCAAUCUUUUCUUUUGUCAUAGUCUUGAGACUCUAGAGAUUAAGAAAAUGGGUGAAUCCUCUCCAUAUGCAGCUCAAUUCUAGUAAUGACUUAAGCUUCAAACAAGUUAAAUUUGACAAUGGUUGUACCUGAUUUUCAUGGUAUAAAAAAAAUAUAUAAUUUUUUAAUUAAUAAAUAUUGAAAUAUGAAUUCAUUGUACUUAAAUAUUGAGAAGACAUAUAUUUUUGAAAAAAUAUAAAAGGAAGUGUUAAAAGCCAAUAAUUUAGAAAGGUUAGAUAGUAAUUAUUUAUAUAUUUGAUUAUUCAAUAAAAGAAAGGUCAUUAGAAAAAGAAUAUACGAGAGCAUUAUUAAAGGAAAAAUGGAGAGAUAAGAGGUACCUCUAGCUUACCAUUUCUUUGUCAAAAGUAAGUGCUUGCUCCAAUUUUUCGCAUUCAGAUAUGGAGUUUCUCUAUAUGCAACAAACUUUGAGUAAGGUAAGGUGAGAAGAUAGAUUUCAGUUUAUCACAACCUUGAAUUAUUACAUCCUUCAGACUUUGUGGGCCUACGUGAUGAGUUGGCUCUUUCCAUAUACUCUCCAAUGCUGGUGAUAGCUGCAGCUCCAACUUUCUUAAAUUUGAAAUCGUCCGCAUCUGACUUUCUUCCUUUCCAAGAAGCCCAUCCAUUUGAAACAGUGAUUGCAAUUGCUCACGAUAGGAAAUGCUCAAUGUUUCUAACUUCUUUAAGAUGCUAGGUGAUUGACCAUGACACAACUCUUUCAAAGAAGUCAUUUGACCAAUGUAUAAUUUCACCAAAUUAGAGAAUGCAGUGGUUGGACUUUGUUCUCGUGUUGUAUCGAUCAAGCAUUCCAGCUGCUUGCAAAAUGAAAGCUCAAGAGAAGUUAAUUCCUUUAGUUCGCACUGAUCUACAUUUGAGACAAUAUUUUUGUGUUCCAUGGUGACACCGAACAGAGUAAGCUUUUCCACAUUGCAAAACAGGUCCUUAAAUUCAUUUAAUGAAGAUGAGAAACAACGAAUUAUCAAGGUUCUCGAGCUUAGCCCCGCCAAAUCUUCAAGAUAUCCAUUUACAGUUAUGUUGUAGCUUUGAAGUUUAGGGAACACAAAGUUUUCUUGAGAACAUUGAUGAAUAGAAACUCUCAGUGUUAAUGCAGUCAAACCAGACAAAGAAUUCAGCUCCAAUAAGUUGACAUUGUUUGUACCUGUCACGUGUAGCUCUUGGAGUGACGGUAACUUGUUACACACAAAUACAAAAUGUUCUUAAUGCAAUAAUAUAUAGCACUUUUAACCGAAUGAUAAAAAUAGCAAGAUAAUGAAAUGAAUAAGAUAACAUUAACUUUUUUAUUUCGUCAUUCUUAAAGAUACUUUUGUACUACAGGUUGCAAUGUUUCAUAAUAAUAGCAGUGACCAAAAGCUCAUGCUAGAUGUAUAUUUGUUUGUGGGGAAAAUUACUUUGUUGCAUUCCAAAGUGAGAAAAAUAUAGUGAUUUUAAUCUACGUAAUUCCACUAAUUCUUCUGGAAGCUCAUGAAUAUUAGUUUGAAGCAAUGCCAAAACCUCGAGGUUUUCCACAUUCCACAAUGAUGAGAUGUUCUCAAGCUCACAAUUUGUAACACACAAAGUUCUAAGAUUUAUCAAGAAUUGAAGUGCUUCUAGUUUGAGUACAACAUCUUGGAGAAGUAAAAUUCAAAAGGUUCUCAUUCUUCCAAAAAAAAUUACACAAAACUCUCAAUGAAUUCUUUCCUUUUAGAAACAAAAUCAAGAGUUUUGAAAAUAACUUUGUUAGGAAGAUGAUUAAUCUCAAUGCUUCAAAAGAAAAUUACCGUACAACAUUCAAAACUUUCACUCAGACCAUUUCAUCAAUCCAUCUUUUACCAUGAAUUUAUUUUCCCCUCUCGAUGUUAUCAAAUGAGCCAAAUCACGAAUCACAUCAAACAUUUUUACAGAUUCUUCAUCGUAAGUUUUCAAUAACAAACUAGACUAUUGGAGUGUAAUUAGAGCUUCAUGAAUUUUCCUCCUUAAGACUCCAGUUGAGUCAACAUUACCAAACAAUCCUUGACCAAUUCCACAUAUAGUCAACAUCUCAAUUGAUAUUUCAAAAUCUUGUGGAAAAAGGGAACACAGCAACAAACAUGACUUGACAUUAUCAUCUUCCAAAUAAUCAUAACUAAGCUCAGACGGCUAUAGAUACCUCCACAAACAUAUUGAUUAUCCAAAUGUCUCGAGUCUUUGAGUCGUUGAUUUGCUAUUAUCCACCCAUUUAAACUUUUACCUUUUAGAGAGUUUGCCACAGUUACAAUUACAAGAGGCAAACCAUUGCAUUUACGAGCAACCUACUUGGCUACCUUCAAGGUGGGAGAGUCAUCUUCUACACCAGCUUUACCUUUGACUAAAGCCCAUGCUUCAUCUUCAGAUAAGAUUAUUUAGCUGAGCUUUCUUUUGACAAUUCAUUCGAGUGCACACUUGUUGAAGAAGCGUGGUUAAAAAUUUUUUUCAACCCUUGUGAUCAUCACCCAAACAUCAUCAAGGAUUAUAAGGAUGUUCUUCAUGUCCUUUAUUCUCAGCCACAAUUGUUCUGCUCUUCCUUCUCUAGUCGUCAUUUGAAGUUUUAAAUGUAGGAAGUCUGCAAAUUUAUCUUGAAUAUUGUUGAUGUUUGGAGUUUGGGACACGGAUACAAUCACAACUUCAUCAAAGAGUUGCUUGGCUUGCCUUCCCACUUGUUUUGCCAAAGUGGGUUUACCCACUCCUCCCAUCCCAUAUAGUCCAAUCAUGUUCACAUCAUCCUUUCUCAAAGCCUCCAUGAUCUCUUUGAAAGCAGAACUCGAGGAUUCAGAAGGCAUGAAAUCUUUAGAUGGAAUGAACUCUAUCCCUUGAAGAGGAAGACGCUGACUGACUCGUUGAAAAUUACAGGUCUCUGCUUAAAGUUGAGAGAUAUAAAGCGUCUUCUUUGCUACUUUGAUACUUAAGCAGUAUCGCCAGCCCCAACUAGGACACCAAUUGAAACACUUGUUACACUCUAUUUCUUCUUCCAAACUCUGAGCUUCUCCCAAUUCUAUCUCUGCCUUUGUUAGCCACUCCUUAACGUCCUUCUUAAUUACCUCAGUUUGCCUUACAGCCUCAUCGACAUCAUCUUGCACCUGAUCUUUUUUCAAUUGAAAAGCUUUUCGCUGCUUCUUGAAAUCUUCAACAAUUUUGGCAAAACGGAAAAAGUAAGUGAGAUAAGGUCAUGCCUAUUCUGCUGCCAGAUUCCCUACAGUAUGUAAGACUGUGAAUGGCAAUUGUAUUCAGCCUGCAACAACAUUGCCCAUAGACUAGAAAACUCAAUAUCACAGAGAGGAGAGGAAAGAUAUGGGAUGAAACAAGAAAGGGAAGCAAAAUAAAAAAACAAAAAAGAGAUGAAGGAACAUGACCCUCUCAAAGAAAUAAAAACCACAACAUUGUACACCAGCCAAUGAAAACCCACAACCUUAAAACAUGUCGGAUCAAAGCAACACCUUAAGUGCCCUUGAUGAGUGGACCAGUUUCGAGCCACAGUAGAGCAACCACACCUCACUGCAAAAUACAAUAAAAAUAAAACACAUUAAGCACAAUGAAUUAAUGUCAGAAAAUGAUAAUGGCAGAUGUAGUGAGCAUAGACAAACUAGUCAUUUCAUUUGUUUUUUAUUAACCUUCCAUGCAAUUAAAGUAAAAAAGGGUGGUCAAACAGAUUCAGCAUGCUUGCAUUCUUUCUGCUUUUGCUAAGUGCCAGGAAUAAUUAUGAAAAUAUGUAUAAUUCAUAAAAUCAUGUUUACCUGCUGUGGUUGUUGGUAAGCUCCUGGUUGCUGGUAAUUCCCGUAUCCAAGAUAGCCCCCACAGUACAUGUUAGGAUCUUGGGGAGGAGGUGCAUAUCCAUAUGCUUCAAAUCCUUGAGCAUAUCCAUAACAUCCACCAUUCCACUGGGCCUGAUCUGGUUGAGCCUGAAACUCCAACAGAUUUCCCUCCUAGUUUGCAGAAAUAUAUAUAGCAAGGUUUUAAUUACAAAAUACCAUGAUUUUAAAUACAAAACCUGAUUGCUUGAAGGACUACAUCCCCAUGAAAGUCAAAUGUUUCUUCCUCCUAAUACGAUGCCAUUCAAAACUGAUAAAGCUUGCUCCGCGUUAGUCCUGAAGUAUAUCAAAUUGCAGAAUAAAUUAAUAUAAUAUAAUAAUAUUUCACGCACUUAAAUAUUCGGAAGAAUUUACAGCUUACCUGUUAGCAUAUUGAACAAAACCACAACGCUUGUUAGCAGGAAUUUUUACAUGAACUACCUCACCCAGCUGGCUAAAUAUUUGUUUUAAUUGGUCUUCAGAAACACUAGGAUCCAAACCACCAACAAAUAUCUGCAUUUAAGCAUCUAAGAUUUCAGUUGACCACACCAUGAAAUAAGUAUAUUAAUAUAUAUAAAAAGGCUACCCACUGUGGUAUUAUUUGGAUCAUUCUCGCCAGGAUUUCCUUGAGUAUUCUGGUAAGAAGCUGCAAAUGAUAAAUACUUGUAAACUACCAUAGAAUGAGAUGAUAAAAAAGCUCAUUACUUCUCAAAACUCAAUUUAAACAUUGUUGAAAAAACCAAAGCAUUAAGAUAAUACACUUAAAAAUACUAAAAAAGUUCAAAAAAAUUCCCUCCGUGGCAUGCAAAAGAACAAAAAUGUAAAACCACCAGCUAUACAUCACUCAAAAGUUACAAUUAAAACCAUAAACCUCCUUUGGGUUACAUCAAGGCUUACCAUUACCAGGGAAAGUAAAAAGUAUCAGAUUAAAUGGAUUUCAAUAGUAGCCCAAAAAGAAAUCAUUAAUUACAUUACACUCAGGGAAUCAGUAAAGGUCCUAUUCUUUCAUUAACCUUUUACAAUAGCAUGAAAAGGAGAAAAAGGAAAAUUGAAAUCAGAGACUUAACUUUUCUCUGCACUUGACAAGAAAUAUUUCCUUUUUCUCCUUUCUUUCACACAUUUUUUGUAAGGGGGGGGGGGAGGGAGGGAGGAAGUUGUCGAGGCUUAAAUAGAAUGAUUCACAACUUCAACUUCAAAGAUUAUGUUUUAGUAGAAAGAACCUAUCUGCUAAACUAAUUUCAGAAAUGCUUUAACAUUCUCUGCGUAGACAGAAACCUAUAGAGAUUAUAUUAGUAGCCACAAAAUGAUAAGAUGAAGAACAUAUUUAGAAACUAAGGAAAUUCCUCUAAACUGAAGUGACGCAAAACCGCAAAUGACAAGUAGAAAAAGAAUGCCUUGAAAAUGCAAUAUUAAUACUGGUAGAUGCAUACACAGCUAGGCCUGCACUAUUUAGGUUUUCGAAAUAAAGCAUGGACGAGUGAUCCACUUCCAUUGAGGUUUAAUCCAUUAACUGAAAAUGCCUUUAACUACAAGUUCCAGGUUUCUUUCCUGACUCAAUUUGUCCUCAUUUGUAAAAGAACAAUAGAAUGAGGACAAAGAAGUUACUAUAACUUUUAAAAGAAGCACAGAUAUAAAAUGCAAUAGAACAAAAACUGCCCCAAGGUUCAUUAACAGAAUGGUGCAUGAUAACAUCCAUAGCAACUUUACCCAUGGCUGCUUCACCUAGUUUUGAGCAUUACAGGUUGAAUUUAAAGGAAACAAAGAGGAGUGUGUAAACAUAUGCAAGUAUCGAAAGGGAACUGAUCUAUGACAAAAUUAAAAAAAAAAAAAAAAGUUUCUAGACUGGUAAAAUAAUCUAAAGAAAGAUUUAAAGGAAACAUGUUGGGAAAACUGAAACAAAUUGUACUUGACUGGAAUACUUAAUAAGGAACUGGAAAAGUAAUUUACAAAUGUAGCACAAAUACUGCCACAAGAAAAUGAGGCUUACGACAUAAACAAAGUAACUGACCUAAAAUGAGGCCACGCAUUAAAGUGGAAUCAUUUCAGCUGAUACCAGUUCCAGGAUCCCCAAAGUGAAAGCCUCUUGGUGUCCUGCUUUAAGACAACAUGAGCUUUAUAUAAGGUUGUGAAUGUUUUAAUAUAAUUAAACGUGCCCAAGUUUACAAAGGCAAAUUGGAAGGAAAUGACUUUGCAUAAAUUCCGCUGCUCUUCAAGUGCAUAACUGAAAGAAUUCGAAUUUUGAGGAUACUGUAACAACUAACAAGUAACAACUUCAACUCAGAAAAUUAAAACCCAAAAACAAAAAUAGAAUAACCAACAAGCAUUCAACUUGUCAAGUCAAAGUACUCUAAGAUAAAUCAUGGCAAAUAAAAACUAUUUAAAAACCAUGCAACCUUCAUACGUAAAUCAAGAUAAAUAAUGACCUUAACAAAACCCAUAAGAUAGUACCUUUCGGAUACUGCUGACCAGUGACUGGCUUCUUAUUAGCAGCUGGACCAAUCCGCAUUGCCCUUGUUGAACAAUAAAUCCCGUUCAUUUCGGUCAUGGCACGAAGCUGCUCAGUUUCAUCACCAAACCUCACAAAGCCAUAACCUUUAGACCGUUCUGUAGUCCUAUCAGUGACAACUUUGGCACCCUUCACAGAUGGGUAAACAGCUUUAAAAGUCUCUUGCAACAUAUAAUCUGAAACAUCAGCAGCCAAAUCCCCAACAAAGAUUGUGUAAUCAGGACCCUCAUCUUGCCUCUUUUCCCCAUAUCCGAGUGCCGCCCAAUUCAACCUAAAAUUCUGCUCAGAAUUCGGCAUUGGCACCCCAUUAUACGACUGCAAAACCCUCUCAGCUGCCGCACGUGACACAAACUCGAUAAACCAUACCCCUCUGGUAGCCCCGUUUGCUUAUUCCUAAUCACCUUAAGCUGCAGCCACCUAAAAAACCCCAAAAAAUAUUAAACUUCCUUUAAUUACUUCUUACUGAUUUUUUUACUUAAGCAGUUAAGUUUAAAAGGAAAAGAAAUGAAAUUCAUUUAAAUAACAAAAGGGAAUAAUAUUUUGAUUUAUUAAAAUAUAAAUAAAACUGCGAAAUUUAUUCCACUAUAUUUGCUCCGUUUAAUUAAAUUUUAUUAUAUUUUUUUACUAUUUUACUAUUUACUUAGGCACUCUUAAAUCUUUUUUUUUUUUCUAAAAGCCCCUAAUUUUUUUUCUAAAAUAAUAUAAUUAACUAAUUAAUUACCUCUCCAGUGUGAGCGAAGAUGUUGAUGAGGUAAUUCUCAUCCAUCCACUGCUGAAGAUCACCGAUCCAGAGGGAUCGAAUCUCGCUGGAGCCGGCGGAGACUGAACCGGUGGAGUACUGCUCAAUCUGACCGGGCGGAGGAACGGGUUGCGGAGCCCAACCGGAAGGUGGAUGAACCGGCUGACCCGCCUGCUGCUGCUGUUGUUGUUGUUGCAUCAUCAUCCACGGCUGCGACUGCGGUUGCUGCUGUUACUGCUGGGUUUGAGACUGAUCGGCUGCCAUGGACUGCGGCGGAGCUACGCCUCCUGCUGGGGGUUGUUGCAUCAUACUCGAUAGAUAGAUAGGUAAGAGAAUCGGGAGAUCUCAGAGGAGAGGAAACCUUAGGGGUAAAUUGAAAUUUGGUGCUAAUAAGUAUAGAAAAAAAAUUUAAAAAUUAAGUAAUUAAAUGGAAUUGAAAUUUGAAAAUUAUUAAUAUAUUUUUAUGGUAUAAAAAUUAACUAUUAUUUUAUUUUAUUCCCUUUAUAAAUUUUAUGACUUUUAAUUAUGAUGAUUUAGGAGAUGUUUGAUAAAUUAUUUCUUAAUCUAUUAAAUAAGAAAUUUUUUUUUAUCAUUUCCCUUCGUCUCAUUAUCUUUGUUAUUUAUUGAUUUUUUUUUUGUUAAAUAAACUCUAACUUUGAUCAUUAUUUUUAAAAAAUUGCGAAGUUAUAAAAUUUUGAAUUUUAAAUUUUUUUAUUUUUUUUUGAAUUUUUAAUUUUAUAUAGUAGUCGUGUAAUAUGAUAAGAGAGGUACAACAUGGUAAGAAAAAGAAAUUAAAUUGAACUUAAUAAUUCUAAGUGCAUGUAGAAAUGGUCCAAACCCUUUUUAUAAUUCUUAGUGUAAGCAUUACUUAGUAAAAUUUUCUUCUAUCAAUGAGUAAUUACUUCAUUUUAAAUGCUUUUUGUGAACUUGUUGCCUGAACUGUACUACCAUGGCCAGAUCUUACAGGCUGGAGUACCAAUCAAACUCUCAAUGUUUCAAUAAACCACUUGGAACCUUCAUAAAAUAAAAAUCUACUUGGCUUGUAUAGGAAAAUUAAAGUUUAAUUUCCCAUGUCUUGAUUUAAAAUACAGAAAUAAAGAUAAGAAACAGAAAAAUUUUAAGCUUAUUCUUCUACUUAUUGUAGAUACAGAGAGAAAUAUAACAUUGAUUAGGUAAAUUAUUGAAAGCAAGUGAUCCCUUUGCUUGACAACUCUGUGAAGCCAACAUCUUGAUCAACCCAAAGCACAAUAAUUUCAACUACCUGUUUUUUUGUUUAUGUAAAUAAUAAAGAUUAGCACAAGUAAACCACUAAAAUUUGAUUAGGACUAGGCAAACAAGUGAGAGAAAUGAAAAUGGAAAGUAGCCUUUGAUUUACCUGUGUUUAGUUAAUGGCUCCAACGUACUCAUUGAUGUUUAAACAUGCCUUUGCAACUUCCCCUGCAAUCAUCUCAUAGUUCUUCCUUGUAAGGUGGUAGCCUGUAACAAAUGCUCUUGGACCGUAGAAUGGUCUUGGCGUCUUGCUUAACUGGUUGCGGUGUCUUUUUAAACAAUUGAAACAAGGAAAUGUAAAACAAAAGUAUUAAUGUUACAUGUUAUGAGAGUAAAAGAAAAAAUAGACAUAUUAUAAUUUAUAAGCAUUUUAGGCCAAAAAUUCAUUAAAAGUAAUGAAAUCAUUCACUAAAAGUGAUAUUCUAGACCAAUCUUUUUGUUGCAGUACUACUACUCAAUCAUUUAAGUAAUUUUAGUGAAGACUUUGAAAAAUUAUGCAGUAUAAUAUUAUUAAAGACUCUAAUUGCCUUUGCACAUACUAAAUAAAAGCGUAAACUUAAUUCACUAAUCAAUAAUAAAAACUCUUAAUCAUCAAUAACGAUUAUGUUGGGAGGAUAAGGAGAAUGAAUAAGGUAUUUUUAGUUUUAGUGAAUAAUAUUCUUGCAAAAGUCCAUGAAGAUGGCUUCAAAGGAUUUGGGAUCAAUUUGGAAAGGUUGUCAAUACAUUGUAGAGAGAAAUAAACGCAAAUACAGUUAGAGGUAUCCUUUUAUCAUAUUUGGAUAUUUUAAUAAGGAUAAAAAAGUAGUCCAAAAUUUAAAUGGAGUCUGGCUUCUUAACCAAAGGCUAGAGGUCAAUAUAGCCAGCUAAGGAAGCCAUGAUUCAUUCUGAAGGAGGAAGCAAAAAGGAAGCUUCUGAUGCGCCUAGUGUUAACCACAUUAGGAACGGAACCUGCAGUGGGAUUUUGAGACAACUUGGUUUUAUUCACUAAGCCAUCUUAUGCUCUGUUAUUGAAAGGUGCUUUUGAAAAAGGUGGAGCUUCAAAUGAAGAGAGAGAGAAGAUGAUCUUCAAUGUCUUAACAAGCAUGGAAAACAUGCUUUGGUUGAAGAGAAGUGAUGUGGUAACAACAUAAUGUAAUUCAGAUUUAGCAAAUUUAAUGGAAUUAUUUAAAAUGGAAGGCAUUUCAGGGCUGCUUAUGAGGAGUUUGUCUCUCAAAAGAAUUUGUGCUAACCUUUGAGGAUAAGGAGCUGUUGGAAGCGCUCAAGGAUAAAGGUUGGGAUUGGCUUAACAAAUGGUUUACUAAGGUGGAAACAUAGUUAGAGAAUUUUUCAUCAAAACUCCUUAACAAGUGGGUGAUUGCACAGGAUAUCCUUUUGAUGUGUGAAAUAGGCAUAUUAUAAAUUAUAAGCAUUUUAGGCCAAAUUCAUUAAAAGUGAUAUUCUAGACUAAGUUUUGGUUGUAGUGUCAUUCUCAAUCAUUUAAGUAAUUUAAAGACUUUGAAGAUUAUGCCUUAAAAUAGACAAGACUAAAGUUUUCAGGGUGUAUACCUCUGUUUUGGCAUGCACAUAUUCCUUUGAAUCUAUGAAGAAACCUGUAGUCAUCUUGGGACAUCCUUCUACUUUGAAAUAAUGCAAAGCCGACAAUACAAAGUGAUAUCCCCUUGGACAAAAGUCAACGAGGCUUGGUAGUUCUUCAAGUGAUAAAGUCAUUAAUUGAUCAAACUUUAUCUCUUUUUCGGUUGUCGCUUCUGCUUCAUCUUCAAGUUCAAAUACUUGCUCCAAUUUAGAGUUCCCUAUAACCCAUAACUUUUUAAGUUUUGGAAGACAAAGAGCAGAUCCAAGAGGAAGGAGACGUUUCAACUUUUUGCAAUAUUGAACAGAAAUCAUGGUCAAAUUAGGAAAGCUUAUAGGUUGGAGAUCACCAUCUGAUGAUGAACAAACUUGAUCCUCAGCAAUGAUUUGGUCCAAUUCAUCACAAUUUUGUAUUUCUAGAUUGACCAACCGUGAUAAACUUUGAGCAGUUGUAGGUGAAAAUAUGUAUCUUAGCCUCUUGCAAUCAAUCACCUUCAAAAUUGUAAGGUUUUCAAGAGUUACAACCUGAGAGACAUCCUUCCAUAUAAUCCACUUUUCAGAUAAAUCCUCCAGGUGGAGUUCCUUUAUACGUCCAUGAACCUGA
RNAcentral lists this long non-coding RNA (142057 nucleotides) under Theobroma cacao (cacao). Its description in RNAcentral is "long non-coding RNA (TCAC_LNC004177)". Lineage: Eukaryota; Viridiplantae; Streptophyta; Magnoliopsida; Malvales; Malvaceae. The record is from RNAcentral.